UCAAACUUAUUCUAAGUUUAAAUAUGCUCCAUUUAGACAAUACUUCAUUUAGUACUUUUUAGUAUAAACUAGCGAUUUGGUGGUACCAAAGUCGGUUUUUAACAUCAUUAAUUUAGGUCAAACGUUAAUCGUCUCCAAAACCACUCUAGUUUUUUUCUAAUCUUUUCAUUAAGUUACUUCUAGACAUAUUUGUAUUUUAAUUAUCACAUAAGAGAAGUAUUUAAAUUUUGACGUGGAAGAGUGAGUUUUUGAUUUUCACAUAAAAAAUAACUUUGUUAAUUCAAAAUACAAAAAUGUUUUUUAAUUAUUCAAUCACUAACACUAUAGAACCAUGGGAUAAAGAAUAAAACAAUUCUGAUGCUUGAAAACUCCUCUCACUAUUGUUAUAGUGCAUACAUUUUUCUUGCAACACGCUCAGCAUAAAAGCUUAUCAACUUGAACUUUCUAGAUGCAAACGUACUUUGUAGAACACUACAUGCAUAACUUAUAAUAGUGUUAGUGAUUCAUAAUUUUCUCUUGAAAAGCAAAUAGAAUUCGAAACACUACGUACACAUGCACACACACAUACAAUGCAUAACUUACAAUAAGAGAAUAAAUAACCCUAUCGAGAAGAAAAAGCAAACUAAAUAACCGCAAGAUUAGAAUUUUUUGUUAAGAAUACAGAAUUAAGUAUUAAAACUUCUUGUAAUGAAACUUGUGCAGUAAUUUUUUAAGGUUGACUUCUAUUGGCAGUUCAAAAAUAAGUUUGACUUUCUAGCAUUGUACAAACAAAGCAUACAUGCAAAUCUUCUUCUCCCGAAAACAUCAACAUCAUGAGUGUUAUAAUACAUAUAGAGCAGCCAUUUGGAAUUUAAUUUCUCUCUUAAUAAAAGUAGCCAACAUUUAUUUAAUUUAUUUGAUAUAUAUAUUUUAUAAGCUACCUCCACAAGCACCCAAUUCCUAGUGGAAUUGGACUUGAAAAAAAAAAGUACAAAGAAUCUCACAUCAAAGUAGAAAACACAUCACAAUUUAAAAUAUCAAAUUAUCAAAAGUUCUAUAUCAAUGUAAGAUAACUCUUCCACAAAGAGAAAUAGAGUCAACAUGCUUUUAUUAUAUGUUCCUUUCAAAAAAAAAAAAAAAAGCUUUUAUUAUAUGUUGUGAUUAUAUAAUAUAAUGUAGACAAGCAACCCCCACUAGACCACAAAUUAUUUUAGUAAUUUAACAAUUCUUUUUGGUUUGGAUUUUUCAAUCCCCAAAAAGUCUUAUAAUUUUUUAUAAUUACACAAAAGGUUGGCGUGCAAUAACCACAUCUGAACUUGUCCACAUCCAAGUGUGUUUUUAGUUGAAAAGUAGAAGACUCGUGUUUUCUACUCACAGGUGUAAAGAAGGUAUUGUAAUUGAAAUUUAAUUUCUUAAAAGCAAGAUUAAAAAGCAUGUCAAUGUAGGACAAGAAUGUCACCAUUAUUCUGUUUAUUGGACACCCUUAUCUAAUUUAAUUUGGUUUUAGCCACUAAUAUCAAAGAAUUUUGUCUAUAUUCACCUAAUUUGUUCUUUAUAUGGGAAGGUCGUUGUUUAUGAAAUCUUCCCUAAAUAAUCUAUGUGUCUAAUAAUUUGAAUACUUGUCUUGAAAUUAUUGGAUGAUAGUGAGAAAUAUACCCCCGAUGUUCAUGGAAUCAUAAACCCAUGGACGAAGGCAUGCAUUACGAAAAAUUGAGCACCUACAUCAAAGAGAAUCAAAGUUUAGGUUUAUGUAUGCUCUAUCAUGGUGUAUUCGUGCACCAUGACAUUCCAUGAGAUGCACCAUGACUUAACUAUUAUAUUGCAGAGAGGUAUCAAUAAUGAUCUUUGAAGUAGAGUGGCCUUGCUGCCACGAUCCACUGAGAUUCAACCCUUGUCGUUUUGAUUCGUCCCUAAAAAAAAAUGAUAUUUGAAUUUGGUCUCAAACUAAUGCAGAAGAUUUACAAUUGUUGAAGAUCAUCAAAGUCAUGAUCUGUAUAUUUAUUGAGCAACUUUUUGAACUUUCCCUAAUCUUCACAUAAAAGUCUUACAAUAAAAAUAAUAAUAAUGAAACCACUCACAAAUUCUUUGAUAACUUAGUUUAGUGAGCAAAUUAGAGAUGAAUUUCAUAUUUUUGCUCCCUAAAUUUCUGUUAUUAGUAUAAUUUUGGCAAGUAUUCUAAUUGGAAAGAUGCUCCAAGGGAUCCUUUCAUCUGAAAAAAAUAAAGAGAACCUAAAUGAUUUCUCUAUAUAGCGUAGCAUGUAAUUUCAAAUCUUGGAUAAAAAUAUCAUAUUUUGCAAUUCAAUGGCCCCGUUUGCCACAAAAUAACGGAUGACAUAUAAGAUUGUUGAUAGGUGAUAGAGAAUAAGAUAGUUUUGGUGGUGUCUGGAGCUCGAACUCUGACCUUGCAUAUAUUAUGCAUUGUCCUUGCAAACUAAGUUAAGUUUACGGGGACAAAUAAUAAAGUAGUUGAUUGAACAUAUAGUGUUCAGUGAAAUUAAUGUUUGAACUAAUUUAUAAAUAUGAAAUAAGUUAAAAAAAUGCAUGUUAAAUCAAUAUUUAAUUUUUUCUCUCUCAAUAAGAUAAGAAUGGUAAAAUAAAGAGAGAGAAAAAGAUAAGAUAUAACCAACUUGAAUCAACUUAUAAAAAAAAGCACUCCAUAUACUAGUAAAAUAAGUUGUAAGCUCGUGAGAAAACAAUUGUUAUCAAACAUUUUUUGUGUGGUCAUAUGAGCUUAUAAAGAGCUAGCUUAUUGUGCGUUGUGACAAAUGUAAGGUGAGAUAGAAGUUCCACAUCAGAUGAAAAAGUGAUCUUGCCUCAUUAAAACGAUGGUUGAGAUCAUUUGACCUUUAGAAACUCAACAAUGUGAUCUUGCCACAUUAAAGUGCACACAAACAUGAGUUGGUCAAAGGGAGGGCGCACCCAUGCGUGUGUUCAGUGCAUGUUGGUGUGUGUGUCAAGCGUAUGUUGACACAUGUAAAACGUUUAUGUGGCGAUGAUGUGUACUGAAACAAAAAAUUCCUAAUAUCAAUUAACUUAAGGCCAAACUUGGUUCGACUGGACAACGACGUCACACUUUUGGUGGUCAGCUUCAGUGCGUCAUCACCCGUUUACAAAAUUGCUUACCUCCAAUCGCACAGUAGAGCCCGAUCUCCACUAUAUAAACAUGUUGUGUGUAAACUCUCCAAUAUAAAACUUUAAGGAAUUUUUCAAUUCACACACAAUCAGAUCUAGUAUUCCAACAAAUUUCAGUCACAUACAUUGCACAUGGAAAUUGGUAAUCCGUUCGUUUCUUCCAUGCAAUUCGUAGCUUUCUUCCCUUUGGCACAAGCAAAUUAAUCUUCUUAAGUUACACGUUUUCUUUCUAAAGGAAAGUUACAUUUAAAAGAUCAUAUUGCUAAACAAAUCAAUAAUCUCUCUAUCAUGGUUAAUUAAUUAUCAAUAGUUUCCUAAUUGAACAGUACAAACAAAAAGGACAUAAAUGUUAAAGAAAAGCCACCCAACUUUUCAAUUUAGUGUAUAUGGUCUCCUAUCCAACCUUUAUAUUUUUGCUACUAUUAAAUUAUUAUCUAUUUUGUUAUCAUGGGAUACUUUCGACAUUAAUUAAUUAAUUUUGUUGUAAAGUGAAAUGGACUAUGUGGCUCAGGAACAUCUGUUUGUAGUGGCGUGGAGAUCCUAAAGUUAGCUUUUCUGGUCGAUCGAUAGAGCCAAUGAUCUCUGAGUCACAUAUAAGAUGAAACUAUUUUAGUUUAGUUUAAUUUUUAAAGGAGAAUAUAAAUAUAUAACCUAGUGAUUCAACCACGGUUCCCUUAUUUCUUCACGUACUUGCAUUUGCAUACAUGGAUGUGGGGUGGUAGGUUAGCAAAAAUAAAACUCCUACAUGUAUAUUAUUAUGUUUUACAUAUGCAUUGUUUAAAUUAUGUGUAUCACUCUUGCCAACCAAAAAAAUAAAUUGUGUAGCACAGGCAUACACUUUUUACCUAUAUAGCUUUAUGAUCAAUAUAAUUAUGUGCUGAUGGUGUAUCUAGCAAACUAUUCUAUAUAUUUUGAGGUCAAUGAGGACCACUUAAGUUUUAAAAUAAAUAUAAGGUCUUUAAGAUAAUUUUCUAAAAUCCAAAUAAUUUGAUCCAUUAAAAUAUUUUAAGAAAUCCAAAUAACCAGAAAGGUUAAAAAAAUAAAUAACCAGAAAGGUGCAUAAUUAUAUGUAUUUUACAAACAUAAUCUGAAUAAAUACAUGUAUACAUAAAAAUGAAAUUUAGUAAUAUUUAUACAUGGAGGUUGAGUAGCUCAACUUACUACUAGAAAAACACGAAUUAGAGUCGGAAUUUAGGGAGGAAAAAAAUUUGUAACUAAUUGUGACGGUUUUAAAGACGGAUAUUCAUAUACACCACAAAAAUUGAGAGGACAAACAUUAGUGACAUAAUGGAUUAAUUAUCCGUCACAAAAAUUCCGUCACUAAAUCCCUCAAAAAAUUGAUUAGUUAAAUGUUUGUUAUGGAAAUGAUCCUUCUCAAAUGUUUCCCUCACUAAAACCAUCACUAAUGUCAACUGCAUAGUUAAAGAACAAUUGAAGGCUUACAAGGAGUUGAUCGUGCAUCGCAAUAAGAUUAACGUUUGUUUAGGGAGCAAAUGACUAAAUUUAUGAAAAUGUUUUCUCAAGGUCAUCUAAUUUAUGAAAAUAUUUUGAUUUUGGUUUUUCAAGAACAAUGUGCUACUUCUAAUACCAUUAAAUUUUUUGAAAAGUGUUUGUUAAGAAACUUAUUUUGAGAGUUUCCUUAUGACUUUUAUGUAUUUUAAGAGUGUUGAACAAUGGUUGUAAAUUUAUUGAAAGUAUCCUUGACGUUUAUGUUUUAUGGUGAUGAAUGCAUGUGAUGCUCAUGAAGACAAUUUAUAAAGUGUUUUUUUAUUGUGUAUUUAUAAUUUCCAACAAGUUUCAUAUGGUUUAAUAUAGUAAAUGCAUUUGCAAUAAUAAUAUAAUUAAUGAAAGCUGGCAAGAAAUUAAACAUUAGAUGAGGAAUGCAAAUUUUUGUUUGAAUUUUCUCACUAAUUAGUGACGAAAAUAAAUUGUCAUAAAAUCAUAAGUGUAGUCUGUGAGGGAAUUCAGUUUCGUCACAAUUAGGGACAUAAUAUACCCUCACAAUCUGUGAGGGAAUACCAAUCAGUCAUUAAUUAGUGAUAAAUAUUGGUGAAAAGGAUGGAAUGGUCCCUCACAAUUAGCGACGGAUUUUAUCCAUAUCCAUUAGCGACGGAAACCAAAAUCCCUCACCAAUAUUUAGCAAGGUCAAAAUUCGGAACGGAUUACCGGUCGUCACAAAAUUCGUUUGUGAGAAUUAUAGUAGUUUAUUGACGGAUUUCUACCCUCUCUAAAAUUGAUUUUUCUAGUAGUGUGACAAAGAGAAAAAGAAAAAAAAAAUUGAUAUAACGACCAAUAGUUUUUAAUAUUACAGAAAUGAUAACUAAACACAUAAAUUUAGCCACAAAUACGACACCAGGGGUAAAAUCGUAAUUUCCAUUAAAAAACAUGUGCAUAAUUGGUUUUCCAACAGAAACUGAGGGGUAUUUUCGUGAAUUUUCAUUCAAUUUCUUUCUCUCUCUAAACUUUCUCGUUGUCUUCUCCGAUCCACCUUAUGUUCUCACCACCACUGCAUUUUCUCCAAUCCACCCACUGUUCCACCACCAUACCCUCUUCUUGUUUUAUAGAUCAGGUCCCAAGGAAAGAAAUUUGCAUAGGAGAGAGAUCUGUAAAAGAGAGAGAUGUAGAGAAGAGUGAGAACAGGAGAGAGAUGGCAGAGGACGACUGCCGAUCGUUGUGGGUUUGCGGAGAAGAGAGAAAUUGAGAUUUGAUUUGCAAAUGAGUAUGGGUGGUCGUCGACGGAGUUGAAGAGAUGGAUGGAGUCGACGACGGUGGCUGGUGGCCGGAAGGGGUGUGUUCGAGAGUUGCAGAGACGGCACAAGAGAUGAUGACUUGCAAAGAUGGUGUUGGGAUGGUAGUUCGCAGAUGAAAAGAAGACGGUCUGAGUUGCAGGGAAAAGAUUAAAAUAAAAUAGAAAGCAUAAAUGAAUAAGGAUGUCGUACGGUGUCGUAUUCUUGUCCAAAAACUUGUGUCCAGUUAUCAUUCCUGUUAAUAUUAAGUGAGACUUAAUUUUUUUUUUUUAAUAUAUGAAGUCUAUUUUAUCUGCAUAUGAUGCCUUUAUUAGAAGAUGUGUUAGGGGUCUGCUACAAUAACUUAACUAAGAAGAUGAUGAAGAAGAAUGCACAUAUAACUUUCAAAGCAUGUGUGAGACACACUAACCUUUAGGUUCGGCUCGUUCCCACCAAUUAUGUCAACAAAAUGCAAAAUGGUAUAACGGUGAAUCCCCUUCAGGAUACUUUAAAAUCUUUGACAUGACUUGCACAUUCAUACUAAGCGUAUCGAACAAUGUUAAUUUACAAAACAAAGUUUUGUCGAUUUCUCUCGUGCACUAGAGAAAAGAAAGAAUGAUAUAGUAUUAUUUUAGGCAGUAUUUUGACUCACAAGAAUGUGACAUUCUAUUCUAUUUUUUUGAAUGAUUUUCCUACUCCAAAGUAUAUCUAUUUAUAGAGAAACUUAUGUUUUUUUUUUUUUUUGUGAAGAGAUACAACUCUUCAACAGAGAUUUUGCAAUGACAAGAUGCAGUGAUUAUAUUGGUCAAAUAGUCAAGCAAUACAUCUUUUCACUUAAAUGUCUCUAUUCAAUCAUUGCAACUUUUCAAAUUUAUAUUUUGGAAAUUCCUUUCACAACCUUUUUAUUUGUAAAAUCUAAAGAAAAAUACUUUUUGUUGGUGUGUCUAAAACGAUAGUUGCUUAUAAAGGACUCUUAUUAUGUUUAAUUCUCGUUUUUCAUCUUCGUAAUAUAUUAAAUAAAUCAACGUAGAAUUAAACAUAAUAAAAGUAUUUUAUACUUAUAAACAUAUUUUUUUGAAGGAACUUUUUCAAAAUUUGUGUUGGAUCACAAUCUCACAAAACCGGUUCCACUUAUGUCUUAUCCCUUUCAAUGCCAGACUUUUACUGACUUAUUAUUCAUACAUAAUAUCAAAAUUAAGAGGUUUAUUUUUUUAUAUAAGAAAAUAAUGGUUCACACACACUUUUUUAUAUGUUGAAUAAAUUAUUUCUAAAAAAAUAUAUUAAAUUAAUUAACAUGGAUAUAUAACCAUUGUUUAGUUAGGUCAAAUGUUUAUUUGUUAGAAUCACUAAUGCAUUCAACGAUGUUUGUUCAAUUGGUAAAAGUUGACUCAUAUUUUAUGUUCUAUAUACGUGAGUUCAAUUUUCGCAUUUGUAUAUAUUUUGAUCUAGUUCCCCUCUUUUUGUAUAUAUUUUUCUCAUUUUUUAAUAAAAUUUUAGAGUUUGGCGGUAUAUGAUGGAGGUUUCUCGGGAUACCAACCUAGUUGGUUUGUCGAUGUUUCCUUUUGAUAUAUGUCCUCUCUUCUUAUCUAGUAUAAAUAAAAAAAAAUCUCUCGUAUUUGUGGUUAUAACCUUGUUAGCUGAUAAAAAAUUUAAGAAAAUGUAUCCACUCUCAACAUUUCAUAAGAAAAUGUAUCCACGCAGCCAUGCGAGUGUGCUUUGCGAUCUUAUCUGUUCCUGUAAUUGUGACAUGGUGUUGUAAUUGAACAGUGUGAGAUUAAUUUUUCUCUUCAACCAUGUAACAUCUACGCACAGCUAAAUUCUUGCGGUAGAUAAAGGACCAUAAUAAACAAAUAAAUUCCAUACAACAAAUAUUUUAGUGCACAUAUAAUUUUCAACACUAGAGACCGGUGAGUAGGUAUAAAUAUUCAAAAUAUAAUUAAAAAUAUAAUUAUAUAUGUAUUUGUAAAACCUCUCAACAAAGUUUUUCCAGGUAAUUACAUAGCAGAUACAUCAUACAUGUGCUCCGUUCCAAAGUUUUUCCAGGUUGUUAUAUGGAAUGCGAAGUUCAACAAGAUUCCAUGGAGAAAAAUUUGAUGGUAGAGAAUUUAAUGGAUACGCAUUCCAUUCAAAGCUUCUCAAAUUGUUAGGCAAAAAAUCAAGACCCCCACAAAGAUGCACAUAAUUAAUUCCCUUAACAUCUUGAUUGUGGCCUUCGAAAACAGGUAAUCUUCGGUUUGACAUAUUUGUAAAUGCUUUAGAGCUCAAAUUUAUGCAGGUAAAUUUGAGCCAUUUCUAUGCAUAUGCUUUCAAGUGCACUACUCCCCUAAUAAAUGAAAAUUAGAAUCAAUGUUAAUACUUUGUGGUAAGUUGCAGUUAAAAACACACACAUACAUACAUGUUUUUUGGAAUGCAAAGCUAUAUAUCAUUCAUACAUUAUUGUUUGUCAACACAUCACAAAUUUCGCUAGCAUUCCACAAUCUACUGCGUUUUCCAGGGUUUUUGAUAGAUUCUUCCCGAACAAUUUGCCUAUCCAUUUCUUGUAUCAAGUCAUGUAUCUCUAUGUGACUGUUUAAAGUAAUAGUUACAAGAGCCUUGUCUAACAAGUUUCUUAUCCCAAUAUCUGCAAAGAAACCAUAGGCAUUUAAUAUUUUUGUUACACUGCUGCUGCUAGAAAUAUAUUUUUCUCUGUAUCAUCUAAUUCAUCAUAACUUAAUCUCAACACCUUUUGAAUUUCAGCAUUGGAAAUUUCCUUCAGUUUAUUUAGAGCACUAUCCCAUUCUUUUUUACUUUUUGUACGAAGAAAUGAACCCAGAACUUUCAAAGCCAAAUGGUUGCCUUUUGCAUAAGAAACUACAUUGUUUGAUAUUUCCUACAAACAUUUUUGUAAGAAAUAAAUUAAAGGGAUAAAAUUUCAGUCAUACAUGAGAGUUUCAGUCCAGGACCUCCAACUACUGAUUUCUUCACACACACGCGCGCGCACGUACAAGUUUUGAUAUAUGAAACAUUUUUUAUUUGCAUAUGAGGUUUUACUAGCAUUACUUUUGGAUCAACACACACACACACACAAGUUUGAUAUAUGAAACCUUUUUUAUUUGCAUAACUCUGAUUAUAGGAUACAUGUAUGGUAAUAAGAAGGCAAGUUGAAUGCGAGUUUUGCCGCUCUUUCCCAAACCCUCUUGUAAAAAUACCUACAUAUUAUCCCUAUUUAUGACAAUGAAUCUUGACUCAAUUUAUAAUGAGUUGACUCCUACCAAAUAAGGGUAUGAAUUCAAUUCUUGUUGCCAAUGUGAGGACAUCUUUAAAGGAGGAUAUGUAAAUUCCUAUGCUAGUGAUCUCUAAUCCUUGAUGUCUGCUCUAGCUCUAGUGAGCCUCCAAAAUCUAAUUCACAUAAACUUUUCUUUAUAAAUAAAAGAUUUUACUUUUUUUUUUUUUUUUUUUUUUUUUUUUUUUACUAUCUCAUCUUAAAUUUUGUUGUAGGCCUCAAAUAUAGAAGAUAAAAAGAGUUUGGUUUUGUUUAUGUAACAUGUUUGUCGAAAGUUAAAACUCACUAAGAAAUUACAUCCCUUCGACUAAGUUGGAAGAUAUCCCUUACCAUCUCAUCCAUAUAGAUGAACUAAAACUAAUUUAUAAGACUAAAUUAUCAUAUUAUAAAUUUGAAGGAUUAAAUUAUCCAACCCUUUUAAUUUUUCAAAGAUCGAAAUAUAUGCCAUUUGAGAGAGAUAAAUGUAAAUAUUUUUGUAAGUGUUCUUUGAAUUCUAAGGUCUUCGUUAUCUUGAACUUAGAUACCAUCUCUCCGGUCUAAAUUUUAAUUAAAAAAUAAUUAAAAUACAUAUUAGAUGAGAUGACACGGGUCUCUUAUAGUUUAACUAAAGUCAUGGUUUCAAAUCCAAUCUUGAACAUGCAGCAACAUUAACACACUUAAAGAGAGCUUGCCGCCCAUUUAAAUCCCACAAGACUCAAGUGAUUAGUCUCCACAAUUACGCACGAGAAGGAUACCUGAUUUGAAAAACAAAUAAUCAAUUGGGCCUAAUAGACAAUUCUCGCAUCUCAGCCUUAUUAUCUCUACAAACUUCAAUCCGAAAAAGAUACGACACACAAGAGUUGAAAAUCCAAACGACAGUGUUUGUUGAUUAAAAUGUCCUCAACCAAUAAUUAAAUUAUUGAUAUGCUUAGUUGUCAAUCCAAACAUGUCAUAUAUAGGAACGCAAAAACAAAACUCAUUUUUGGGCAGUUUGAGAUGGGAAGAUAUAUGAUAGAUGCUUAAUAUGGCUUGUUCUCGUGAGCUUAGUUCAGUUGGUAGAGACAACAUAUAAUAUAUGUAAGGUCCAGGUUCAAAUCCCGACCACCAUAAAAGAAUGCUUAAUAUAGGUUAUUAAUACUUGGCUUUUAUAUGUGUUUAUUCCCUGCAAAUAGGGGUCAUUUAAAAAUUGGUCCCUGUAUUCUUUAAUCCUGACAAUUUGUCCUGCCAAAAUUUAAUCAUUUAAUAUUUCGUCUCUCUCCCCACUUAAUCACUACCACGUCACUAAUUACAGGGAUAUUUUUGUAAUUUCAUGUUUGUAAUUUCAGCGACGUGGCAUUAAUUAACUGGGCUGAGGGACCAAUUUUGAAGUGAUUAAAUUUUGGUAGGGCAAAAUGCCAGGAUUAAGGAAUACAGAGACCAUUUUUUAAAUGACCUUUAUUUGCAGGGACUAAAGACACACAUAUGAAAGCCUUAAUACUUUUUGAAGCAAAAUUGAUUUGAAAAGGUUCGAAAGAGAAAAGAACACAACCAAGUUGUUUGGGCUCCACUGGCAAGGAGCUCCUUACAAUGAUGUACCCUGGAAAUACCGAGUUCGACUCCUAGGGGAACAAUGCUUGACUAGUACACAUGUCUCUAUAUACGAGCCGGAUUAGACGUUCAUAUUUAGUGGAUCGGAAACCGGUGCAAAGUACAUUCAAAGAUCUUUAGAUGUAGGUUCAUCAAAGUAUGACCUUCUAUAUCCUCGUUGAUAAUGCAAAUUUAAGAAAUUGGAUUUCAACUGAGUUGUGUGUAAAGUUUCCUAUGGCCUUAAUCUACGUGCAUCCACGGUAUCUCCUCCUCCUCCAGAAUCAAUUCCAAUGUCUUCCAUCUCAUCUUCCUCUCAUGACGAUCUUCACCUUAGAAAUGAAUAUUUUCAACUACUCCCUCUCUUUUUGAUAUGACAAAGGGGGGAAUGAAUUAAGGAGCUAAAUUUAGAAAUUUGAGAAGUAAUAUUUUGUGUACUCUAGAAAUGAAUAUUUAGAAAUGAAAUUUGAGAAGUAAUUUAGAAAUUAAUAUUUUCAACCACACGAUCUAAUGUUUGCUUAUUUCUCCUACUAGUAUUUUAAUUUCUAAAUUAGGAUUAAUUGCUUUUUAUUUUGUUUUAAACCAUUUGAAUAUUCAAGAAAAUCAUUUGUGAUGUAAUUUAUUUAGUAUGAAACUAUGAAUGAUAUAUUAUGGUUCAAGUAAAUCACAAGUUUAGUUACUCAAUUUGCAUUUUAAAACUUUAAUAUGAUAUUGAAUGCUAAAAUUUUAGGGAGAGCUCUUUGUUAAAAAUAUACAAAUAUUGUUACUGAUUUGCUUAAUGAGAAUCAUAAAUUAAAAUCUAAUUCAACAAGUUUGUCAUCAUAAAAAAUAAGAGUUGCUGAGGUAAAAUUCCAAUUUUAUAAUAAACAUUUGAAGAAUAUUUUUAAGACUGAUAUCUAACCUGUACUUUUGAGUGGUUUAAUUUAUAGACAGGUUCUGAUUAUGAUACAAGCAUCUCAUAUUCGCGACAUAAUUUAAUCCAUCUUUGUGACAUGAUGCAUCCCUCUAAAUUGCGAUAGAUUGAUAUUUUGUAACAAAAUCCAUCACUAAUUUGUGGUCAAAAUCAAUAAUUAUAUGUUAUGUUUUCGUUUGGUAUUAGUGAUGGAAGAAUUAAGAGUUUGUUUGAGUUCAAGUGGUUAAUGAGUUCCACAUAUGAUGAAUUGUUUAAGAGAAUCUGAAUUCGAUUUCUGAGUGAAAUAAUUCUAUUAUUAACCAAACUUUACUUAUCUUCUGAUCGAACUCCAAAUUAUCAAGACUAUUUCCAUUGAGAACUAGAGGGUUAACACAACCAAAAAAACUAAGAGUUGUCUAAUAUGAACCUCCUAAAAAAGGUUUAAAGUUGGACAUUUACUAUUUUUAGCAAAAGAUUGAAUUUUAUAAUAAUAAUAGUAAAAGGAAAAAAAUGUGUAAUGUUUUAUCAAAACUUACAAAAAUCGAAUUUUUCUAGAAGUCGAAAUUUUUUGGUGGAAUCUAGAGAUCAAUUUUAGAUUAUGUCCAUCUAAAGUCGAUCAUUUCCGUUUAGAGAUCGACUUUAGAUAGACAUGAAAAACUCAUAUAUGUGAGGAUACAAUUAUGUCGCAAUUGGCUAAAAUUUCUAGAUCUCCUAGCUAAAUAUUUAAUGUCCAACAUCCACGGUUUUGUUUAUGUGGUUACAUUAAUUAGUUUGCGACGAAAUUGUGUUGCUUUAGCGACAAAUCACAUACCCUAUCUAAAUUUAGUUUUUUUUCUUCUUCUAAUGGAGUGGCCAAUAAUAAAUAGUUUCUUUUAAGGGAUAAUAAAUAGUUUCUUCAAAAAAAAAAUAGCCAAACACAAAAGCUAUCGGAAAAAAGCCCAAGGACCCAAAAAGAUCCCCGGUCACACACAAAACCAACAAAAAAUGAAGCCCAUCCCAACACGCCAACAUGAGAAAUAAAGACAAAAAACACCCACAUGACAGAAGAACCUCGAAAUCCUGGAACCACCCAAACCCUCAAAGACAUAUAAGAUCCAUAUGUGUCAAACAACAUUGAACCCUAAAGGUGUCAACGUACAAAGAAUUGGUUGUCUCCCACUCGUAAGGGGAGCCGCGCGAUGCCUAGAGAAUUUACCAAAGAAUCACUCCCAAGAAUGAAAAAUAAUCCAAUCAACAUGUUGCUGCUCAGUCUCGAAGUUACUUCUUGAGAAAGGUCAUUACGAACUUUUCAAAUAUACCACACAUUCGCAUGCCCUAGCUCUCCUCCUAUAUACACCUAAAAGAGAACACACCAACUAAAUGUUAAGAACUCGGACACUGCAUAUCAAAUGCUCAUACACGACUACCAUAUUUGAUGUACUGAUUGUGUACUCUUUUUUUUUAUCCAAAAGUACUAAAAGUAAAUGAAGAAAGAAUAUGAGGAAGUAUACAUAGUACAUUUUUAUUUGUCUAAAAAGUAGUGAAAAUUUAACAUGGUUGGUUAUUAUAAAGUAAAACUAGCAGCCCUAAACACCGUAGUAGCAAACUUAAGCCAAACCCAUGCUGGCCCAUCAACUUAUAUAAUAAUUACCCACGAACGUUAGUGGAAAAACUCGGUUGCAUAUUUUAUUGUCUCCCCUAUAAUUGUUAUAACCUACAAAUACUUAUACGUCACUUAAAUUUGAGCAAUCUCAUCCAUAAAUUCCCACCCCACAAGGCCACAACAACGAUUAAAGAAACAAAUUAAGAGAGAUUAUACAUACAUAUACACUCCUACUUAGGUCCAUUCCACCAAUUAAAGGAAUCACAAACAAGAAGAGAAAAAUAAAAUAGCUAGAGAGAAAUACAUAAAGAUGAGUGAAGAAUGUGGUGGAAACACUAUUGCUACCUCUACUACUCCAUUAAACUGGUGGUAUCUUCAAGCAAAUUCUCUUUCUUCUAAUUGGAAUGAUGUUAAACAUGCAUGGAACAACCAAAUGAAUAAUCCAAAUUCUUCCUCUUCUUGUGAGGAUCAAGAUAUAUCAGUUUCUUCUACAUCUUUCACCAAUGCAUCAAACCAUUCAAGCCUCACUGUUGAAUCCUCUCGAAGAGUAUUCGUCGAGCCGCAUGCACCACCUUCCUCCAACGACUUCAUGGCCGAACAUGCUUCGGAUAACCAACUAUGGAGUCAUGUUUUAUCGUAAGUUUCGUAAAUUGUUAAUUAUUACAAUUGUGCUAUAUGUUAUAAUGAAAACUAGUCUCAAUAUCACGAAAUAAUGUGCGUUAGAAUUUCAGUACAAAGGAAAAAAAAUUCAUAUGCUAUUGACUGAAAACAUGGAUCUGUCCAAUGAUAUUAUUUUGUGACACUUCUUAAUGGAACCCCUUCAUGACAGUAAACAAUUUCCUAAUUAUUAAUAAAUAUCUGAUGUUUUUACUGCUAUAUAUUAUUGAAACUGGCAAAAAAUUUUAUUGCUAUAUAAGAGACAAAUCUUUUACAGUUUUAGGUUAGAAAUUUUGUGAAGUUUAAGGGUGUUUUAAGUUAGGUAUAUAGGGUUAAAGUAUACGAUGGUUUUUUUCAGUGUGAGUAAAUAAUAUUCUUCUAGGCCUUUGCUUUCCACUAUCUAUAACAUGCUAACAGCUGUUAUGUGCACUAUAAUCAGUGUUUUCACACUAUGCAACAAUGAUCUCUUGUUUAUCCAUCCACAUACCAAUAAAAACCCUCUUGGAUUCUGUAAGAUAUAUAAUUAAAAAGUAAAUUUAUUAUAUAUUUUAGUAUAUAUACAGCUAAUUAGCUUUUUGUUUUGAUAAGAAAUGUUUGUAUAUUUUAAUUACAACUAAUUUACUUUCUUAUGUAAAAUAAUUUAUAGAGGUGUUGAUUCAAAUGGAGAGUUACACAACAACCAAGAAAUUGGAGAGAAUUUCUUGGAUGGACUAUCAUCAAAAACCAUGACAAACACUAUGUUUGAUGAACCAGCUUGUGACUAUUUGAAGAAACUUGAUACAACAAGUUGGGAAUAUAAUACUAGUGGUUCAACUUCAUUCAAUACUAAUUUUGAGAAGCACUUAAAUGGGUACAGUGAAGCUCUUAUUGAGAAUAAUGAAAGGUUGACAAAAUUAUCCAAUCUUGUAAGCACUUGGUCUAUUGCCCCACCUGACCCUGAAGUUAGUAGCCACUUUGAUUCACAAACAAAUAACAAUUUGUCUACUAAUUUGAAUAAUUCUAAUUCGUCCAAUAUGGAUCAUAAUCACUACACACAUGAUUCUGACCCUAAUUGUCAUUUCAAACUACCUUUUGGUGAUUCCACAUCAUGUACUAUUAGAGAAGGAGUAGGUAAUAAAAUGUUCCCUAGUUGCCUUGAUAUUCAAGACAUGAAUAAGGUUAAGGAAGAAUAUCAUCAUCAUGCAAGUGAAGUGAUGCAAGGACAUGUAUUUAGAAAAUCACUUAAUCCAAAUGGAUAUCUUGAUGGAUUUAACUCAGUGGGAGAUCACAAUGGCAAAUUUUAUGAAGGGUUGCCAAAUAUUUCACCAUGCACCAAAAAUUUCUCAGAUGUUAUAUCCUUUAAUAGUAGGCUUGGAAGGCCAGUUGUUGGAAUCCAUCCACAAAGGCCUAAUAUGAGAUACUCAAACUUAUCUGAGUCAAAGAAACAAGGGCUUCAAACACCAUCACAUGUGAGUUUUUUCUUCUUCUUUUAUAGACAAAUUUUAUUUGUUAAUUUGUUUUGUUAGCAGCAUACAAAUUUCACUUAAAAUAGUGAUGAUCCAUCUUUAUAUCCUAUAUUUUUGAGAGAUCCAUAUUUUUCUAAAACGGUAAAAUUUAUUAAUAAUUAAGUUUCUGCACUAGACGAACAGAGACCUGUAAAAUAUAUAUGAGACAAAUCCGAAAAAAUAUAUGAAGUAGCGACAAAAAAUUUAAAAAGAAAUUUUUAUAAUGUAUUUGUCUCUAUAAAUUAGACAUGGAAAUUUAAUUAUUUUUGUUUCUAAUUUCUUGGUUGAUUUAACUUUUUUUAGUAUGGCAACUAAUUUCUAUUCAAAAUUUAGAGAAAAAGUCAUGCUAGCUCUGACAUUAUUUUGUCAAAUAAAAUGUGUAUGCAAUUAAUUUAUGCAGAUGAGAACCACUAAUGGAAGAGGAGAGGGAACAACACGUGAAGUAAAGAAGAAAAGAUCUGAAGAAUCAUCAGAAGCAAGUUUGAAAAAGCCUAAGCAAGAUACUUCAACAACAAAUUCAUCUUCAAAGGUACAUAAAUAUAUUUAUUAUAUAUUAUGUAAUAUACGUACCAACAUGAACUAAUUAUGAGUGUAAAAAAGUCAUAUAAAGUGGGGGAAACCUUUUUAUUUUGUGUAUUAAUGUAAAUUAAGAAACUUCUAUUGAUUGUUUAAAAGGUGCAAGCACCUAAAGUCAAGCUAGGAGACAAGAUCACAGCCCUUCAACAAAUUGUGUCUCCAUUUGGAAAGGUUACUACAGAAUGCACUAAUCCCCACACCCUCUUCCCUUUUUCAUUCCUAUCUUUUUUGUAUAAAUAAUUCACAGUGCUUUUACUUUUCUCACUACCUACUUCAUAAUAAUCAAUUUAUUUUAUUUUUCUUUGUUGAAUUUCAGACUGAUACAGCAUCUGUGCUGUUUGAAGCAAUAGGGUACAUAAAGUAUCUUGAAGAACAAGUCCAGGUGUGUAUCAUUAUGGAAAAGUUCCCAUUCAUUAUGCAUUAUAUGUAACUAUAUAGUAUAUAAUAUACAUUAUUGUUGCUUUUCUCCUCCUUUUCAUUUUUAAUUAAUGCCAAGGAAACUUGACUUCUAGGAUUAUUAGUUCUUUAUCAAAAUGAAUAAACUAACAACAAUGCUGUGUUGAGCGAUUACACAUUUUCCAUGAAUAUCUCAUGAGCUUCAUCAACUAUAUAAUAUAAGGAGAUUUUAAAUAACACCUAACUAAAAUCUAAUUAUGAUUAGUAAAAAUAUGUGCCCCUGCCAGUAUGUUAAUCUUAGCUGCAACAAAUUACAAAAUUGUAUACUAUUAGUAGAUUAAAAACAAAACAAAAUGAAAAAUAAAAAUUUUAUAGGGACUAAACAUGUUUAACCAUGUACCAAAAAAAAAACAUAUUUAACCAUAUAUACUUUAAGUGAUUAAAGAUGCAGGUUUUUUUUAUCAUAACCCUUCCAUUCCUAGAAAAUGGCCUAUAUAAUACAUGUUCCGGCCGGAAAGUAAGUAAAGUCUGACAAAUAAUCAUUUUAAGUCAUAAUUUGAAACCAAGUUUCUUCUAAACUAUUGGUAUUAAAGGUGCAGCUUCAAACACAAACAGUUCAACUAUAAGUAAUAUAAUCAUCUUUUUCUUCAUUAUAUACAAUUAACAGUUUAAUUUAUCUUUAAUUAAUUCUUUUUACGUUCAUAAUUAUUAUGCAGUUACUGAGCAACCCUUACUUGAAGGCAAAUUCACACAAGGUAAUUAAGAAAUUAAUCUAUAUAUAGAUAUCUCUAUUAAGUACUUUUCAAAAUUAAAUUAUUCUCUCAAAAUUUCACUCUUAAUUAGAGAUGAUUAACAUAAUAAUUAAUCCAGGAUCCAAGGGGAAGCUACUUCGAUAGAAAAGAUAAGGAGGAUGCAAAGCUAGACCUUCGAAGUAAAGGUCUUUGUUUAGUUCCUACUUCAUGUACCCCUAUAGUUUAUAGAGAGAACAAUGGGCCAGAUUACUGGACACCAGCGUAUAGAGGAUGUAUGUAUAGGUGAUUAAUAACACAUGCAUAUGACUUAUGCCAAAAAUAGUAUGUGGUUGUAUGUACUAUAAUCUUGGAAAUUAUAAGAUCUCGUCAAUAAAUCAUAUAUUAUCCUGAAUGUAACUAUUUAUUUAUUGUCUUGAUGUAAUGCCUGGUUACACGAGUAUACACAUUUUAGUUGACCUUCAAACAAGGGCUAGUACUUAGCAUUAUUGAUUUUUCUUUUUUUAAAGUUCUCUUACUAGAAAGAAUGUGUUUUUCAUACUAAAAAAUUACUUGAGUAAAAAAAACGAUAUUAAUAAAAAGACUCUUAAAGUAAAAAUGUUUCUCUCAGUGAUAUAGACAAAAGAUGCACAUUUUACCAAUUUAGCUCUCCAAUUACAAACAAAUUAUUAACAGUCACAAUUGUUGGAUGAUGUAAAAAUUUGACAUUAACUAAUGUUUUUUUUACGGAUUAAUAAUUUUUUUCUACGAAUAUAUAUUCAAUUUUCAUUUUCUAUAGUUUUAUUCAAAUUGCUAACGAAGGAAAUGAAACACUCAUGUAAUGUAUAUGUGUGAUAGGGAGAAGGUGAUAAGCAAACUAGCUAGGAUGAAUGUAUUUUCAAAAUCAAUGAAAAUAAUGUUUAGGCACUUUCAAAGUUUAUCAAAAAGUUUUAUAUGUUUUAAAAAAAAUGUAAAAGAAGAUUGUGAUGAAAAUAUUCUUUUAUGUUCAUUUGUUGAAGUGAAAAUAAAAAAAAAUAAAAUAAUAUUUAUUAGGUAUAAUUCAGAGUAUAAUUAAUCUCACAUUGAGUCUCUCAUUAGUUGGUUAGUCAAAAGAAUAUGAAAUUCAUUUUAUUUUCUAAUCGAAAAUUAAUUAUAGCGAAGCAAUUAGAUAAUUCACACCUAUAAUACAAUCUUUAAUUUUCUAAUAGGUGUAAAUUCUCUUAUAGGUGUGAAUUAUAGCAAUUAGGUAAUUUUCUAAUACAUACCUAUAAAAUUAUCUAAUCUAAUUGUUAUAAGAAACUUCUAAGGUACACUCAGAAAGUGAGGUGUACCGGUACUCAUGCUUCAUAAUUUUAUAAAUUAACGAUCAUUUUUUAUGAAAUAAAUAGUUAUUUGUUAAUAUUAAUAUUUUAUAGAACAUCAUUUCAUAAGAAAAAACAUCAUUUCAUUGUUUAUAAGAAUUAUAAUAAUUUUUUUUACAUAUUAUCAUAAAAAAUAAUCAAUGUUCUCAAUUAUGAGUGAAAAAAAUUCAAAAAAAAUUAAUUUUAUUUCGUUGACACUUUUGAUAAAUAAGAUUUAAUUAUUAUAAUUAUAGAUGAUAAAAAAUAAUAUUUUUCUUUAAAAAAACAACUCAUUUAACUAUUAAUUUAAAAAAUGAGUAUACCAAUACACUCAAAUAUAUUGGAUGUACCAUAAAAUUUGCAUUGUUAUAAUUAUCUUAUACCGAAGUAAUUAGAUAAUUCACAGGUGUGAAUUUUUUGAUGAUUGUAUUAUAAGUGUGAAUUAUCCAAUUGCUUCGCUAUAAUUAAUCUCCACCUAAAAUUUCACUAAUCAACUUUAGUUGAGUCUCUCUUCUCAAUUACUACCUUCGUCCUAAUUAUAAGACUCUUUUGAAAAAAUAAUGGGAAUUAAGAUAGUGGAUAUUUGUAUUAAAUAUGUUUGUAAUUACUAUUGUUUUUACAAUUUUAUCCUUUAAGAAAUAGGGUUGGCUUAUGUUUUCAACAUUUUAUUUAUUGCUGAUUGAAGAAAAAGAUGUAUAAUAAAUAGGGGCAUGUAUGUAAAGAAAUAAUUAAUGUAGUUGGAAAUAGAAAAGGGGUCUUAUAAAAAGGGACAAAAUUUUUUUCUCAAAAGGGUCUUAUAAUUAGGGACGGAGGUAGUAUGUUUUUUUUUCUUCAUCCAAAAAAACCCUUUUUAAAGUGAAAUAUCAUAGAGUUAUUUAUUUUUUCGCAAAGGACUCACCAAAUAAUGUAUACAUCACCUCAAACCCUAGUCGUCACCCUUUUCUUCUUCUUUUCAGAGGGGUGAUUUAGGGUUAUUUUUGACACAAAAUCACCCCUCCGAAUUGUUUUUUCUUCUAUCAUAAUUAAAUAACUGAUUUCACAUAUUUUCAGUUUUCUUUCGUUUGAUUUGUGAUUACGUCGUCUCUGAACGACUCUGUUUGUUUUGAUUUCCCGUCUUUAUCCGGUGUGUUUUUGAUUUCCCAUCUUAGUGCGGUGUUUAUUUGAUUCAGGUUGAAAGAUUAGCUUUAAGCAAGUGCAGAUCCGAUCAAUGACAAUGACUUUGGCGUCGUCAACGUUGCAGAUUCGGAGACAUGAGUAUUCCGGAGACAUGAAUAUAGUCAUAUUAAUUAUAUUUGUAGGCAUAGGUACUUUGCCGUUUUAUGCUAUUAACAUGGAUGCUGUGAGUUUGUUCACAGAUUCAUCCUUUUUAUUUUUAGCAAAUUUGAAUUUGUAUUGUAUCGAUGUACUCUAUCAAUUUGAAAGAAUGCAUAUUGUUUAUUUUUGUCAAAAAAAUAAUAAUAAUGUAUACAUCACCUUAUACCGUAAGAAGCAUAAAAGACACUCAUUAACAAAAUAUUUGAAUAAGAAAGCAUAGCCUGAACUAUAUAAGCUUUGGAAAGUUAAUGAAAACAAAAUAUAGUUCUCCAAAUCUAAAAACCAAGCUGAUUAAAAUUGUUGAAAUUGAACAUUUGAGUUGACUCUAGUGUUUGUCACGAUCAAUUUGCAAGAGAAGGACCAAAUUUGACAUGUAAAUCAAAAUAUUUGAUAAAAGAAUUAGUGUGCAUGUUCAUCACCUGAUGUACAGAGAAAAAUACUAAAUAAAUUAUAUAUUCAUGGAUGGUCAACUGAGAGUUAGCUAAGUGUGCAUCACAUUAAAAACUUUUGUAAUAUAUUGUAACUUUUUAGGUUAUUGUCACUAAUUCUCAGUACUUUAGAAUAUGUGAAAUUGUAGAUAGAUUCUUCAUAUAUAUAGAAUCUUCAUACAUAAAAGGUUCACACUCCAUUUUAUACUCCUUAAAUAUGGUAUCGUUUUUAAUUUUUUUUGUAUAAUCAGUAGAAUCAUAUUAUUAAUUGACUGUAGAAAAACAAAACCAUAUAUGGUGGAACAGCAUGGAUGGUUUUGAACAUGUCCACUCACUAACAUUGAACGAUUUAGGAUGAUUUAAACAAGUAAAAGAUGGGAUUGAUUCUAGAAGUAGAGAGAAUGACGUAUUGUUAAGUGCCAAUGAGAAAUUGGUCAAAGGGGAGAUGAGCAAAAAAGCCAAUUGCAAGGUUGGUGGUGCACUCAAACAUAGAUCAGUCAUGCUUCUUAUAAUGACAACCAAGACAAACACACCACCCUCACAAAUCCUCACAAUUUUUUUGGAACAAAAGUAGUUUUUUUUUUUCAUAAUCCAAAUAUAUGGAAUUGAUAUAAUGAUAUAAUUCAUUUCAGUAAUUUUGAAAUUGAUAGUAAUUUCAAAUUUUUAGAAACAUCACUCCCUUCUUUUUCUCUUCUCCUCUUUUCAUCUUCUUCGUUCGUCGAUAAGGAGUGGUUUAGAAUUAAUUUUUUUUGGCAUAAAUCACUCAUCUAAUUAAUUUUUCUAUCUUUUUAUAUAAGUGAUUUUUCGUAUAUUUUUUUUUUUUGUGAUUUUGUCAAUUUAGUACGGCCUAUUAUUUUGUUUGCCAUCUUUGCUGCUAUGUUAGUUUGUUUUUUCGUUUUGUUCUGGUGUUUAUUCUAUUUAAUUGAUAUAUUAGAUUUGAUCUGAAAGCAUUGAUAUCUCAAACACUUUAAUUUUAUUGCAUUGAUAGGCUUUAUCAUAUUUGUAUUUAUAUUUUUCUCAUUUUCCUUAUGUUCUGAGAUAGAAUAUCAAUCAUGGCAAUUUGAAUUUUGAAAUGAUAGGAAUUGAUAUUCACUUUGGCAAUUUUGAAAACUACGGAAUUGAAUUUUGAAAUAAUUUAGAUCUAAAAGAGUUGAUAUUUUUUAACCUUUUUUUUUUUUUUUGUUUUUUUACCUAAAAAAAUAUUUUUUUUCUACAUCUUGUUCGUAUAAGGAUAUUAAUUUAUUUUAUAGACUAAUAAAAAGAUUAACAUCCUUCUUCUUCUUCAGCCUACAAACUAGUUCAUCACCACCACCGACAACCUCCAUAACACUGUUAAACGUUUAAAUCCAACAUCAACAAUAGCAAACAACACCAAGAACCAUUUCCUUCCAAUAAACAAACACAAACUAAAAAUUCUUAUUCAUCGUCAACUCAAACUCAUACCACAAUCUCCGUCAUCAUCAUCGCAAUACCAGAAAACAUUUUCCCUUCAAACUAACAAACCCAAACGAAGAAACUUGCAAACUCGCUUUUGUUGCCUAUAAUUGGAUUUGCACCAUAAGAAUUUUGUUUGUGAAUUUAGAUGGUUUUAUGCUUUUAUGUGGUCGAACGUGGCAUUUGAAGCACUUUCCAUUAACAAUGUUGAUAAACUUUUUUGAACAAACAAUGUUGAUAAACUUAAAGUUGGAUGCAAUAAGCUAUUAAGGUUCAUAGUGCAAAUCGUUUUCUUUUGUUGCUAAGUUUUUUUUUGUUUUUAAAUCUUUCUUUUAUUGGAUUUGGUCCCUUGCCAAUUUCAUUUUUUUUGGUUUUCGUCCCUCUCACUUAUUGACUAAUCAACUCAUUUGCCACGUGUCAUUUGCUUGCCACAUCAUCCAUUGUCACGCCAUCAUCUGAUUGCUCUCAUACAUGUUUUUGUAACAAAUGAUGACAGCAUGAAUGAAAAUCAAAACGUUUGCAUCUUACAUAAUUUGUAUAAAAAAAUGUUUUGAGCCUGAAUUAGAAGAAGCCCGAUCUCUUUUUUUACCAUAUCAUUAAAAAUUUAUAAAGACAAUAUUUUAAACUUUUCUAAUUACCUUUUACGCCAUCAAUCACUUUUAUAUUACCAUUUUUGUAUGUGUAUAGAAUUUUUUUAUACAAUUUCGUCAAAUUUAAUGGAAAAUAUAACAUAUAGCACAACUCUUUUAACAAAGGUUAUAAGUUCAAUCCAGCUAUGAAAUGUAGCAAUGUUAAAUAUUUUGAAGAGAAGCAUUGCGAUUCAUUGCUUUUCAUCAUCUCCCAUUUUGAUGAAUGAAUUGGUAGCAAUUCUCUUUUUAAUUCGUUCAUUCAUGGGUGGAGCUGGGCUUUGUUUCUUCCAUGCCUCCUAAUUGGCCUUUUAUGUAACUUUGCUUUUCGGAAAUUGUUUUUCUCCAUUUUGUUUUUGCUUAUUUUAUUUAUAUGUCUACGUGAGGGACGUUAUACCCCCACACCUCUACACUUAUAUCUUACCCAACAAUUUUUAAAAAUUCCAAUUUUACCCCUUUUACUAUAUAAUCUUUUACACAUAAAUUUUUCACCCUCAUUUUCAACAUCUCUUAAUUAAGGAUGAGUUCACCGCCACAUGAUAUUUUUCUUGAUACUUAUUUCCUUUUUUGUUUUUCACUAUCAAACGUUUCCGAAAAUAUUUCGGAAUAUUCAUAUAUACGUUUACAAAAAUAAUAUGAGAACUAGUCUCUCUUCAAAUGAAUGAUGCAACACAACUUAUCUUUCUCCUUUGAUGGAAAAAAUUGUUCUAAUACCAAUUAUUGAAAGAAAAAAUCAAUAAAAAAUCUUUAAACAAGCGGCAACACAACCACAAAAUAUGUAAAAGAGACAAAAACAAAUCACAAGACUGUUUAUCGACACUUCACACCUUCAUUCAUAAUAUCUUAACAAAAUAUUUGUUACAAAAAUAUGCAUACUUUUACUAGGAAUUGCAAACCCUCUUAUACAAUUAUAAUUUUUGCAUAGAUAUAUGCAAACUAAUCUUUCUCAAUUACAAUUUUUGUAAGAAAAACUACAAACUCUUUUAUGACACACAACUACCCAACCUCUUUUUUUUUUUUUCAUUACUCGAUGUGCGAUGUGAAAGAAUAUCAAUUUUAGAGAACAAAUGACUAUAAUUUAUAGGUGGCCUUUAUGAUUUUUCGCACAAAUUUUCAUACUGUGAAAUGUGAAUAGAUGCAUGUGCAGAGAUGGAGUUCAUAAUUUAAAUCUUACGUUAAAAAUAAAACAAGUUUUUAAUGUUAUAGUUUAAAAAUAAAAAAUUGUUUCUUAUAUACAAUAUUUUUAUGAAUAUUUACAUAGUUUUUAAAAAAAAUUAAUAAUGAAUGGUAUAUUCGUGUCCUGUAUGACACAAUGAAACAUAUGCACAUGAAUAAAUUAUACAUUAAGCCUAAUCAUAUGAUCUGAAAAGAUUUUCUCUACAUCUCGUCGAGCUAGCAAGGUAGAUAGAUGUCAACUAAUAUAUAUACAUUAAUUUUUAAUUUGAAUUUUUUUUAACAGCGUUGGAUUGACUUAUAUGUGAUAUUUUAUUUCAUAUUAGGGUAGAGUCUGCUCAUUGGAAACUGAAGCAAAUGUUGGAAAACAGCAAAGAUGACUUGUGCAAAUGUUGGAAGGGUAUGCACAACAUGAAGUUGCAAUUAGGAAAAAUCAUAGCUUCAUUUCAAAAAAGUUUUUAUGAAGUUGAACACGCACACACAAGUCUAUUUUAUGAAAAAUUGCGUGGAUUUGUUUCUAGAGCUGCUUUAACAUGCAUUGUUGUUGAGUUUGAAAGAGUUAGAUAUAUGGAAAUCGACGAAUCGACAUGUGGUUGCAAACUCAGAACAACAUAUGGAUUGCCUUGUGCUUGUGAGUUAGGAAGAUAUAAAAUUAGUGGUAUACCUAUACCAUUAGAUUCAAUUCAUAUUCAAUGGAAGAAAUUAAGCAUGGAAAAGUCAACAAGAGGAAGACACGGAAACUGGAUAAAACGAUUGAAACUAAUAAAACCUUAUUAUAUGACUAAUAGAAUAAAAACACCCCCUUUGAAUUACAAAGUGUGGCUAGAAGGGAACAAAUACAUUAUACAGUAUAAGCAAAGAGUGUGUUAAUUACUUACAUGACCAUACCACAGGGAGCUUUUCUAUACUUGACAUUAAAUUUAAGACAGUACACGUUUACUUAAGCUUAAUUUUACUAUAUUUAGUUAGCAAAAACAGCUUUUCAACUACAGUAGUUGUUUGAAUCCUUUAAAAAAAUACAAGUAAUUGUUUUAACUUUUAAUCACACAAAUAAACUACUCCAAAAUCCAAAUACAUAAACAAGCUUGGCUAAUGUGCUCUUGAUCUUUACAGACAAAGCAACAAUCACCCUUUAAAGUCUAAACAAUCCCAUUACUUAGAGAUACACAUAAGAAAGCACAAAGAAGCCAAAUCCGAUAUAAAAAAUAAAUGUGAUACAUACACAAGUCACAUAUAAAUAAUACUUCAUCAUCAGGGAACAAUAUAUCAGUCUUUUCCAUGUACAACGAUUCAUUAAGCAAUUAAAAUAGCAAUUGCUAAUAAGAGGCGCGGACAUGACCUCAAAAUAACAGAAUUAUCACAACAGACAACAAGUAAGGAUGGAAUAACACAAUUAAGUAAGUAAUGGACAUAGUAUGAAUAACUAAAUGAAUUCUACGAAAACAAUGUAACUAUAUUUCAUUUCCAUUAAUUGCAUAUAUAGAGGUAACCUUGAUCAGUAGUAUAUCUAUGCCCAUUAAUUAGUAUAUCUAUAAAAAAAAAUAGUAGAUCAUGACAAAAGCUACUUCAGAGAGUUAAACAAAAAAUUAAAAAAGUAAUUUUUUUUUGCGCCUGAACUGGAAUUCUUGGCCAAACGAUUCCGGGAAUAAUUAACCGAAAUACUUUGAACGCGUUUUCCGGAAACUACCGGAACACUUCACACAUGGUUUCCGGAAAUCAACCGGAACACUUUGGUUAACACGAUUCCUCGGACGAUUCCAUGAAAGGACGACGGCAAUAUUUCCAGAAAACGGUUUCGUGGAAGGAUUUAUAACACUAACCCAGAAAAUUUUGAAAAACCUAACCGUGAACGAUUCGUGAAUGAUUCCAGAAAAUAAUUCAGAACAAACACAUGGAAUUAGUGGAUGAGACAGAACACAGAAUCAGAAUAAAUGAUGCUUACUUGUUUGUUGGAAGAAGAAUCAGAAGAGGGUUUUCCAGAAAAGGGGAUUGAACGUUGAAGGAGAAGGGUUUAGAGUGUGUGGGGGUGAAAAGUGAAGGGUAAUUUUGGUAGUUUGUGUUAAAUGUUGGGGUAUAGGUAUAAAUGUAGGGGUGUAGGGUAUAACGUCCCUACGUUAACUCAUGUUGAAAAAAUCGAACGUGAGUUAACUCACGUUGGGCAUAAUUAAGGGAAUGAGCAAUUUAUUGCUUUUUUCAAAUAAAAAGUUGCUUAAAAACACAUGAAAAUGACACAAACCGCUGUAGUUAUCUAAGCUUAGGGUUUUUGGUCAUUUUCAUGUGUUUUUAAGCAACUUCUUAUGUGAUUUUUUUUUUUUUUUUAAUGUUUGUAACAGCUAAGUUUAUCAACUAUUAGUCAGCUUAUAGUUUCUUAUAAUAAUAUGAGAUUUCUUUUUGGGCGAGCGUGUUUAGUUUUUUUUUAAUAAAAAUAGAUAAAUAAAAUAACUUUAAUCAUUUAAUAGUGUUUGUUUAGGUUUUUAUUUUAAAUAUUAUUGUUUUACUCUAAAAUGAAAAGCUAUUAGAAUUAACUAUCUUUAAAAAUUUUUUUUUUUUUUCAAAAAUAUAGAGGUAACACAUGAACAAGUUUUUCUAAAAAAAAAAACAAUUAUUUUUAUAGAAGUAAACAAACAGAAAUAAUUUCAGAUUUUUUAAAGAAACCUCUAAAAAGAUCUCUAGAUUUUUAUAAUACAAAAUCUUUUUUCUUUUUAAGUUGAAACAAAACACCCUUAAUCUCUUUUAUUUGAUUUACCCUAGUUACAUCGCAUAAACCUUGAAUUUCACCAUUUCUAGAAAGAAAAAAAAAGGGUUAAAUAUGUUUUUGGUCUCUAUAAAUAUACCAACUUUUCGUUUUAGUCCCUCUAAAAUUUUCCUUCAACUUUUAGUCCCUAAAAAAUUUUCAAUUACUACUUUUGGUCCCUAUUUUUAAUUUAAUUUUUGUAUUUUUUAAUAAAAUUGUACAGAAAUGUGUAAAAUAUUCUAAAAAAAAUAAAGAAAUUAGAAUUUUUUAACAAAACACAAAUUAAAUAUGAAUUUUUAACUGUAAAAAAUAUAAAAAUUCAUAUUAAAUUCAUGAUUUGUUAAAAAAUUCUAAAUUUUUUUUGAAGUGAUUCUUAUAAUAUUUUGAAUUUUUAUGGAAAAUUUUAUUAAAAAAUAUGAAUUCUAGAUAUGAGUUUACUUUAAAAAGAGACCAAAAGUGAAAAUUGAAAAUUUUAUAGGAACUAAAAGUUGAAGGAAAAUUUUAGAGGGACUAAAUGAAAAGUUGACAUAUUUAUAGGGACUAAAAAUAUAUUUAACCCAAAAAAAAAAUACCCUUAAUUUGUUUUCAAAUUUUAACGUGACCACUGCAGCAACUAUAGACAAGGGAAAAUAUGGCGAUACACGCAGACUCCAUCGGUAAGAAACCUAGGUGUUUCUAGAAAGUUUAGUGGAAUAAUGAUAGUCAUAGUUGAGUCUCAUUGUUUACAAAUGCCAUUUGUAAAUUUUAUUUUGAAGGUGAGAAAAACACAAGAAGGGGGUUGAAGUGUGUUAACUUUUUCUUUUCUUUCUCUAUCUGAAACAAGCAGGUCAGAAGCAGGUAGAAUUCUACUUCUGAAGAGAUGUUCAGAACUAAAUGCAGCGGAUACGAAUAGAGAGAAAGAGAGAAAAAAGACACAGACAAUUUAUACAGGUUCCUUCCACAAACUGGAAGUCAGUCAUGUCCCCCUUGCACUUCCAAGGGGAGUUCACUAUGUAAUAUCUGAUUACAAAUGCUCACUACUAAACUUAGUAUGAGACUUCAAAUUGCUCAAGCACAACUGCAAGAGACUUCCUAUGCUCCUGAACACAAUCAAGAGACUUCUAUUGCUCAAGCACAACUGCAAGAGACUUCUAAAUUCAAACAGAAUUACAAUGAAAAAUGUUUGAGGUUGAACACUUGAUAUACAAUCAAUGGUGUUCACAAUACAAAUCACAGACUCUAGAAUUCCUAAGAUAUAAGCUUUGUUAUGAAAUUCUAAGUGAACUUUGAAGUGAAGAGCAAUUUCAACAGAGUUUUAGCUUAACUGAUGCGUAGUAUUGUUCUUUAGUAACUCUGAGUCUUCACUCCUUUAUAUAGAGUUGUGAAAGAGACGUUGAAAUGUCUUCUUAUUCAAAAUAGAGUCGUUUGAAGCUCUUGAUCUAUCACCAAUGAUCUUUUGCCUGAUAUGGUUAUUGUCCUAUGAAGGAUCAAUUUCAAAUGUGUUCCCAAUGUGAAUAAACAUUGUUGCAGGCAGAGCUGUUAUCCUUGUCUUGUAGCAGAGACAAACUCAUAAUAGUGGAGGUAGUGGUUGUACACUUCGUACAAACGUACUAUGUCAACGCUCUUUGAAGAAAAAGCAUCCAAUGCAUUUCAAAAUAGUCGUGCCACAAUUUUCCAGUCUUCUGCAAUCUUUAGGCGAGUUAGAGUCCUUGAAACAGCUUUUGAAAAUUUAAGUUCAAUCUUCUGAUGAACUGCAGCUUCUGGUGAUACACAGCUUCUGAUGAACUUGCUUCUGAUGACGUCAUCACUUCAGAAGCACUUUGUCUUUAGGCGCACUUCAAACUUCAGGAGCAGUUUUCUUCAGACGCUCGAAGCUUCUCUUUUUGUUGAUAUACUUGCUCUUUAUUUGUUCUUUGAAGACCAAUUUAAUAUGACAAUUUUUUUUCUAUAGUCCUGUACACUUGAACAAAUAUUAGCGUAUCCAAUUGACAAUUUUUAAUACUUUAUUAUCAUCAAAACUCUCAAGGGUUAUUAUUGCUAAACAAAUUUUAUUCCAACACAUUUUACAUACAUAAUCAAUCAAACAAUAUGUUACUCGCAUUUCUUUUUACUUUAUAUUUAGUUAUGUUUUUAUUAGCUUAGUUCUCAAAAAUCACAACGGAAGAACGUAGUUUCUUUCUACUUUAUACUUACACUCUUUAAAGAAUGGAAGAACAUCGUUUCUUUCUUGGCAUAAUCGUUUGGAGGAAAAGAGAAUCAUUGUUGAGAUCUAUUAGCCAGUUCAUCAGCUAAUUUGGCAACAAUUUGUAAUAAUAAAAUUGUUGUAUUAAUAAAAACAAAGCAAGGUGAGGACUAAAAAUUACCAAAUAACUGUGUGAAUAUUGGUAAUAAGAUAGGAAAUAAGAGAAGGAGUGAUAAAGAAAGGGGUAAGGGCUACAAGGGUCAGUGGCCCCAAACCAUCAUCUACGAAGGACACAGUAGCCUGUGCAAUAGCAGCAUGUACAAUAGUGACAUAUUUUACCCUCCAAUUCAUCACUCUUUGCUAGCAAGAAAACUUUUAAAUUUUACCACACAUAAUUAAUUUUCCAAUACAAAUUAAAUGAAAGAAAACACACAUAGAAAGAGAUAUUGUUAUAUAUGCAUACGGGUGGACAAGCAUGCAUGUAAAGUAGCAAAAUAAAUUAUUUAAAUAUUCAUAUGACACAAAAUGAUUGAGGAAUAUAACAAGAGAGGGUAGCUAAAUUUUACACACAAGAAAACAAUAGCCAGAAGAUAAAUAGCUAGGUAUAUUGUUUUCUUCUCCUCGUCUCUUCAUUACUCUUGUCUCCUUAGAUCCUUUCCUCUUGCAACCUUUUUGCUCUCAAUCUGUGAGUUUUUUUUUCUACUUUUUCUUCUGACAUGAAAAAAACAACCACAAAAAAAUCAAAUAUAUAUAUAUUUCAGCUCUUUCUAGCUUCUUUAAAUUAUUUUGUUAUAUAGUUUCUUUAAUUUAACUGAUCUCUUUUUUGUUAUCCUUGUUCCAUGAGAGAAGGAAACAUGUUAAUGAAAUUUUUCUUUUAGAAGAAGAAUUAAACAUUUGAUUAUUAAGUUUUUGUUUAAAAAUUUCAGAUUGCAAAAUAUAUAAUUAUGGCGGCUGCUUCUUCAUCUACAUCAUUCUUUGGAAUCAGAGAAGAAAAUCAAAGUCAAAUAACACAUCAUCAUCCUCAUCCUCAAUCAACUACUACUUCUGCUACUUCCUCAGCUCCUUCAACCACAGUUCCUCAAAAGAAAAGAAGGAAUCAACCUGGAACACCAAGCAAGUAGCUUAAUUAUUUUUAUUUUCAUUAUUACUUAAAGCUUCAACAUGCACACACCCUUCUCGAAUUUUUUUUUUUUUUUUUUUUUGUAUUAUUUUCUCAAAAAACAAGCAUAAUGAAACCCUAAAUCAUGAACAUGAGUUAGGGCUCUGAAUUUCUUUUACAAAAAAGCUAUAUAAGAACUAUGUUUAGGGUGCAUGCAGUCUCCUCCAAUUUUAUUCUCAAAAGCAUAUGAGACUUCGGUUUUAAUUUUUGUAAUAAUUUUUCUAACUUCUACUGUUUUUUACUACUAUUACCAUGAGUUUGUGGCUUUUAAAUGGAAAAAAUAACAAUAAAACAUAGUUCUUCAUUUCAUGGUGCAUAUAUAUUCAAUUAUGAAUACUUCUUUUGAUGUUAAAAAAACUAGAAUUUUAUAAUAUUUUUCUUAUACAAAAAAAUAUAUAAUAUUUUGUUGUUUUGGCAUUUUUCAUGGUAAAAAGAUCCAGAUGCAGAAGUGAUAGCACUAUCUCCCAAGACUCUAAUGGCAACAAAUAGAUUUAUAUGUGAGGUUUGCAAUAAAGGGUUUCAAAGGGAGCAAAAUCUUCAACUUCAUAGAAGAGGACACAAUCUUCCUUGGAAGCUAAAGCAAAAGUCCAACAAAGAGCCAAGGAGAAAGGUUUAUUUGUGUCCUGAGCCCACAUGCGUCCAUCACGACCCUUCAAGAGCUUUAGGAGAUCUAACUGGAAUUAAAAAGCAUUUCUCUCGUAAGCACGGUGAGAAGAAGUGGAAAUGUGAAAAAUGCUCAAAGAAAUAUGCUGUUCAAUCUGACUGGAAAGCACAUUCUAAGACUUGUGGUACUAGAGAAUAUAGAUGUGAUUGUGGCACCCUCUUCUCUAGGUAACAAACAUCAUCUUUAUAUUUAUAUCUUCACAUCGAUGUUAGUCUAAUUAUAUUUCAUAAAUAUGAAUUCAUCACUCUAUAUACAUAAUAUAUGCUACACUUUUGCCAAAUGUUAGGGUUAUACUUAUAUGGUUUGGUAUUGAAUAUUAUUUUAUUUUAUAGAAGUUAGUGUUUGAUUAUUUUUUUACUACCAAUUUUAUUAUAAGAAUUCGAUUAUUUUAAUCAUGUUUUUUUUCAUCAUUCAAUUGCAAGGAAAAUGGUCAUAAGUCAUAACAAUCUGAAGUUUUGCAAGAAAGCAAGUAAAAUCCAACCAAACCGUAGAUCAAACUCAUAGACUCCUUAUAUAUCGUUCUCUUUCUUUCCUCUUCGUAUUGAGCUCUAAUUUAUCUAAAUUGAAGUACUCUUUAAACUUCUUUACUAAGGAACCUUUUACAUAUAAAAAGGUGUGUGUAUAUAUAUAAAUAUAAUAAGUUGAAUUUUUUUACAAUAAGUAAAAACACACAAAGGUUAAAUUUGAACAACAGUCUCUUUUAUGUUCUUAUCCCAAAAAAAAGUGAACAAGAGCUUUCACCCUUUCUCUGUUAGUUUGUGUUUGGGUGUUAGUGAAGGUGUAUAUUGUAUGGCGCAGGAGACUGCAUGCACGUGAGUACACUGUUCAAAUGUAGUACAAAAAUUGAAAUGUUUGAAGGAAAAAAAAUCAACUUUGGUUUUAGGGAACCGUGCCCAUAAUCUUUUAACGUUCACGUGUAGUGAAACAACAUAAUAACUUUGUUCUCAUAUGAAAUGGAUUGGAGGAGAUGCUGGGUUUUGUUCUCUUUCUUGUUAGCUAUUUCUAGUUUUCAAAAUUCAAAUACAUUUCCAUGUUCUUUUUAGCAAUGGGUCCAAGGUGACUAAUUUCCAUGUUACUAACAGAAAAUUCUCUUCAUUAAUUGGUCAUGUUUCUCAUAUAGAUUUGCUAGAAAUUAUGUGAUAUAACGAAUUAUCUUGGUAGAAUAUAGACAAGUAUUGAGGUUGCUUGCAUUUAUUAAGUAGGCCCCAUAUUGAAAUUUUUGAGUAUUGACUUUCAUCAUAGUUGCAAACAAUUCUCUCUUUUAUUGAUCAAAGAAAGACCUCAAAUUAGAAGUUUGAUUUAGAAAUUCUUGGUUUGUUUCAAAUUUUGGCAUAAUCCCAUGGGCCCUCUACUUCAAUUGUAGUUUUCUUAAUUUCAACAUACUAUACUAGUUUCAAUUAAUUCCAAUUAAAACAAUUAGGUUACUCAUAUUCAUUACACAAAUAUAUGGGAUUAUAAUAUGAACUUCCAAAGGCGAACAUAACUAUUUUUGGUAAAUUUUAAUACAAUAUUAGAUAUGUUCUCCUUUUUACUAUAUAUGGUAGGGGUCUACAUUAUACCCACCCAAAAAAAUUGACAAUGAUAUAUAUAUGUUGCUUAAUUCUUUGUAAUUAAUUUUGGUGCAGGCGUGACAGUUUCAUCACUCAUAGGGCAUUUUGUGAUGCACUAGCACAAGAGAGUGUAUUAAGACACCAUAACCCUUUUGGGAGUACUCAUCAAUUGUAUGCCACAAACCAUCACAUUAGUUUAGGCCAAAUAUCCCAUCAAUUGCAAAAUCAUCAGAACCAAAUUACAUCAUCCACUAGCAACAAUAACAACCUUUUGCGCCUUGGAUCAGCACCACCAAAAUUUGAACAAAACUUAAUCUCAUCACCACCUUUAAAUCACUCUUCAUCAUUUGGACACUCAAUCCCAUCUUCAUCACCAUUCUUCAAUAUGAGUGAUAUUUCAAAUCAAUCCUUUGAAGAACAACAAUCUCAACAAGGACAAUUCUUAAACAAACAACUACAUGGUCUAAUGCAUCUUCCUGAUCUUCAAGGCAAUACAAAUACAAACAAUUCAAAUUCUUCCAAUCUUUUCAACCUUAUGGUUCAUGAUCAAUUCAACAACAUGAGUAGUACCCAAGGAACAACACUUUACAUUAACAACAAUAGCUCUUUAAGUGAUCAUCAAGUUGGUUUUGUCAAUUCAAUGCAACAUGGUCAAAACAUGUCUAGUCCUCACAUGUCUGCCACUGCAUUGCUUCAAAAAGCUUCUCAGAUUGGUUCAACUAAUUCUACCAACAAUAACAAAGGUAGUAAUAAUGAUCAUAAAUCAGGUGAUAGGGACUUUGUUGUGUCUGAUCACAACAACAUCAAUGCCACUUUUGGAAAUAGAAGUUCAAGUAUUGAAAAUGAUCAUGACAACAACGAUCUUCAUGGAUUGAUAAACUCUAUUGCAAAUGGAAACACAUCAUCCAUAUUUGGCAAUGAAAGCAAUCUUAAUAUGAGAUUUGGUGGAUCUGAUAAGUUAACUUUAGAUUUUCUUGGUGUUGGAGGAAUGGUCAGAAAUAUGAGUGGUGGAUUUUCACAAAGUGAACAACAACGUGACAUGAUGAAUACUAGUAUGGUUUCUUUGAAUCAUGACCUAAAAUCAGCACAUUCAAGUCAACAUUUUGGAAGCUCAAAUAUCUUGCAAUGAAGAUUGGGGUGAGAAAUUUAUUAAUUUAAGGAAAUAUUGCUUGUUAGUUACAUGUGAAUUAUUCAUUAAUUAAGUAGUAAACUUUGUUUCAAACAUUUAUUUAUUUUAUUUUUGUUUUCCUCAAAAGAAGUGCAGUUCAUUGGUAAAAUGAGGUUCCAAUUCUAGAAAUUACUACAAAUUACAAUCCCUUAUUUUAUUUUAACACGUCCCUUUCCUUAUUCUUUGCUCUCUAUGAUGUGAUAGAGAGAUGUAAUAAAUUCACUUUUGAAUUUCAUGUGUGAGCGAACAUGAGAUAAUAAAGUUUAUAGAAAAAAAAAAUUGAUUCAUUAUAGAUUUUCCUCUAAGAAAAUUAUUUCUCAAUCACAGAGGGUAAAAUUCCAUGCUCGAACCAAGAAAAAAUAUUCAACCUAACAAUUUCAGCAUUGUUAGUUGUGCUAGGUUUUACGGACCAGGACAUCAUCGUUGUCUACCAAUUUUUUUUUACAGAUUUGAGGCGAUUUAAUUUGGUUGAUAAACACGAGUAAAUUACUCAAAUGCCCCUUGGCAGUUAACUGCCGAAAUUUUAAAAAAUCGGCUGCAGUUAACUGUCGAGAAAUUUCAAACCUGAAAUUAAAUAAGGAAAUACACCUAUGUUUUCCUUAAUUAAAUUUAAAUCUUUAAUCCUUUUAAGGAAUUAAACAUAAUUAUUUUUAUGAUUUCAUUCAUAUGAUUUUGUUGCUAUAAAUGAAGAAAUAUGAGAGAUGAAUAAUAUCUGUAAUCGGUAGUUAAUAGACCUAAAAUGAUGAUUCAAUAAAAAAAAUGCAACAACAAAAACGUUACAAAUGAUAGAAUAAUUAUAUUUGUAAUUAUUAGUAAUUAAUUUCAUUGAUGUUGUUAUUAUUCAUAAGUUUGACUAACCUAUUAUUACUUUAUACUAAUAUUUUAGAUAUUAUUACUUUAAUUAACAUGAAAAACGCAACAACAAAAAAUAAGGGGGAUUUAUUGGAUUAAGAUUCUAUGGGAUUUUAAAAGAUUUUUUAAUUAUGAAAAAGUCUUGUGGUAUUCAAUCAAAACUUUUUGCAGCCGGUUCUUUAAAAUUUCAACAGUUAACUGUCGAAGGAUAUUUGAGUAAAUUACUCGUAUUUCUCAGUCAAACCAAAAGUGUGAACAGCAAUACUCAAUUUCAAAAACAUGUAUAUGCCACGGUAAAUAAAGCCAGUUGUUGACUUGUUGAUAGUUGUGUUGUUAUUACUUGUGUACAAAUGCUUACCAAACGAGGGUGGGAUGUUGGCACUCUGUUAUGUUAAGAAUCUUCACGUUUUGGCUAUAUUCCAAUGGAAGCGACAGAGCCUCAUUUCCGUUCAAUUUCAUCUUUGUUUUUUUAUAUACGACGUACAAAUACUAACUAACUAAAGGUACAUUAACUUUAAAAUAAAGCAAGAAAUUUUGUAGUAUUGCUUACCUAAUAUAUAUAUACCUUACUUUUAAAAAUACAUAUUAAAAUAUAUGUAAUAAAAAAUUAUAUUAAAUGCUAUAUAAAUGUUAAAUGUUAGAGUCUCACAUUGAAUAUGAGAAUAGUAUAACAAUAUGUUUACAAGUUAUUUAUAAUAGGUUCUUAAUAAUAAUACUAAAUAAAUAUCAAAACUUAUUUAUAUAGAAGUUAUUUUAGUAUUAUUAAGAGCCUAUACUUUUUUUUUGAGCAAAAGAGCCUAUACUUAAUUGAUAAGAAAUUGUUACCAAUAUACCAACUCCAUUAAGUACCAUAAAUUUGAGAAAGAGACCUUGCAUAUUUUUCAGGUGAUUUUGUUGACAUCUUUUUCUCUUAACACUAGGAAGGACCCUUUAGUUUUUCAUUGUAAUAUAAAUAUUCUUGUACAAGUUGACUACCUUUGAAUUUGCAUGUCGUCGUUGAUGGCUAUAUAUAGGGUUAGAUCUAACGUCAUUGUUCAUUUGGUGGAAGAUUUUUAUGAGGAGUGUGUGGUACAUAACAUAUGCAACAUAAAUAACAUAUUAGCAGUAGUCUCUGCAAUGUUCGUUAUUGUAAUUACUGGUAAAAUAGCUGCGACACUUUUGUCGCAUGUAAAUUCCUUCUUCACAUGGAAAUCACCCGUCCGUGAGUGAGUGAAUGAAUGAGUGACUAUUAACCAACCAACCCAGUCAUUUCAUUUCGCCUUCACUCUCUACCCGUUACAGUUUUUCUAACUUUCUUUCUUUAGAUUGAGUAACUUCAAUAAUGCAAUGCAACUAAAGAUUAUUACUUACAACUUCUAUGCUCAAAUAAUUGUUGCAAUGCAAUUAAACACUCACUCAUGCGUGUCCCCGUGAGCCUAAUCCAGUUUGUAGAGACAUUGCAUUAUAUAUAUAGAGGUUGGGGUUCAAACUCAAACACUCUACUUAUUCACCUUAAAAAAAAUGAAUUUAAGUCAAUUGGCUACCUGACUAAAAAAAAACGCACUCAUAUGUUUUAUUUCAUAAGCUGGUUUUAGACCUUUUUAUCUGAAAAACUUAUCUCACAUUGUAGUUGAUAUGUAUGGUUAGACCUUUUGUGAGGUUUGUGUGUCCCCUAGUCUAUCACUCUCUCACAGUUAAACUACUUUGUUUUUGAGAGGUUUGUAUACCUUACUUAAAAACAACUAUCAUUCUCUCAUCAAUUUCAUCAUUAAGCUAUUAAAAUUAACUAAAAAGUACCUAAACUAUUCUCACAUAUAACUAUUAGCCCCUUGGUUGACAAAGUUAAUUUUUUUUAUGAUGGUUUAUGGACUAAAUUGAUAUAUUUUUUAUAGUUUAAAGAUCUUCUAGUUGAUUUUAAUAACUCGAAGGCUAUAUAUGUGAAAAAAUUGAUAGUUUAAGGAACAAGUUGAUUGUUUAUUCUUAAUUUGAUUGAAGUCUACUGGCACACAAAUUUACAAGGAUACGGUGGAUAUGGGGAAGUUAUACCUGAUAUCCCUACAUUUAAUCUUUUACCCCCUACAAAUUGUUGAAAAUGCCAAAUUUACCUUUUAUCAUUUCACUUCACCCUGCAUAAAAUUUUAGCCAACAAUACACUUCCGAGAUUUAAUACUCCAAUUUUCGGAAUAUUCAUAUCAAAUUUUUAUGGUAGAUUAAUUUGUAAACCGGAACAAUUGAGUAAAGAAUUAUUAUCAGAAUUCUUUCUUCUUUCAUCGAGGUUUGAGAGACAAUGAAAGAUGGAAAAUAGAAUACAACAACCUGUAUUAGUUAAUAUAAAAUUAAGUGCAAAGCAAAGAUCAUGAUACCAAACCUCAUCAAUUCUUCUUCCAAUUCAUUUUAUUUAGAUCUAAAAAAAUGAAAGGCCGUAUAUUUCUGGAGUAGAAUUUUAGAUGUAAGGUUGGGAAAUCAAAAAACCUGGCUAAAACUGCAGAAACCUGUUUUCUGAAUUCUUUCUAAAAAAACAGUGUAAAAAAAUGCUUGUCUCUUUAUCUGUAGAUCUAAAAAAAAAUCAUUUCUAAUUCAUCUUGUUUGGAAAUAUGAAUACGAAAAGUUGUAUAUUUUAAUUUUUUUUAUUUUUACAAAAUACCGUUGUUGGGAAUGUGAAUAAUCUAAGAUUAAAUGUAGGGGUGGUAAAAGAUUAAAUGUAGGGGUAUAUGGUAUAAUAUCCUGGAUAUGGUAGGCUUAUAUUACUUAGAACCCAAAUCAUGUUACUUAGGCCCGUCAUCAUGGACUUUUUUCAUGUGGUUUCCAUGCAGGCUAGUUGAAUAUUGCUCUUUAGGCAUCCAUGUUUUGCUCUCAGACAUUUUGAAAUUAUUAUUUUACCUCAAUGAAAAUUAAUUACCAUUUGUUGAUGAACGAUGGUUAGUUUUCAUUCUCUUAUGAACAGUAGUUAAUUGUCGUUCUAGGGCAUUUUAUGUGGUUCAGAUUGCGCAGACAGUUUUUGUGGUCCACGAUACAUAAAAACUUCUAUAAAUUGGUGUGUUUGGUUCAUUUGAAACCACACCACAAAAUCAUGAAUAUUUAUCUAGUAGAUCCGAACACCAAAUUAGCGCAGUUAACUACAACGGGGAAAACUCAAUAUGUUUAGGGUUCAGGUUAAUGCUAUAUCGGUUGACUUGAAGGAACAUAGUUGGACCAAAUUAACAGUCGACUCAACCACAAAGACACAAGAAAGGUGGAAAGUGUUGAGUAUCGUCAUCCAUUCGUUUGACUCAUAUGAAAGCGUCAAGUUCACCCAUAUGAAGUUCAAGAACAACGACAUCGUGAGAACCAUCAAGUUAGACGCUUCAUUGGUCAAAUAUUUUUUAGAUGUUCCGGAAAGUUUGAUUCAGAUUAGGACCUUCAAAGAAAACAGGACUUGCAUGGAUAGACCAAAAGAAAUAAGUAUGUCUUAUUCGUGAUUUUGUAUGUGUUUUAUUAUGUUGUUAAAUUAUGUUAGUGUAUUGUGUUUUAUUAUGUUUAAUGUAUGUUUUUGUUAACUUAUGUCAUUGAAAUUAUGUUAAUGUAUUGUAUUUUAUUAUGUUUAAUGUAUGUUCUUCUGAGCUUUCCUUUGUAACUAAUGAUUAACUACAGUUUCUUCUGAAAACAACAAUUAACUAUUGUUCCUAGAAUGGGAGUUAACUCUUGUUUAACAACGAAAAAUAAUUAAUUAUUAUUUCGGAUAAAAUAGUCAAUUUGAGACGUGUUAAAACAAAGUAUGAGUGUCUAACGAACAAUUUUCAAGAUAGUUUAGUCCUUUUUGGGUUCUACCUUUUUUUUUUAUGAGUAACUUCUACACCUAGUUUCCAUUCUUUUUUGUGUUAAUUGUCCGAUUUCUUAGCAUGUGCGUAACUCACGCAGCGUGACUUAAGUCACACAUGUGUAAAAACUAAGUCAUGUAUUUUUUACACUUGCGCUAAUUAACUAACGCAAGGGUAUUUUCGGCAACACUGCAGGGCGCGAGUGUUUUGUGUUGGGUGAAGAGCAGAAUUCUAAAGUCAUAUAUAUAUAUUAUGGUUUUAAAAGGGUAAUUGCUAAAUCAGAUUCAUAGGAAGCAACUAAGUUAAUAUUGAAAGGGCAUGGUAAAGGGCACCCUUGUUCUCAUAUCAUUUCUCAUAUUUCUAAUUUUCUUGUCUAAUUCAUGAGUUACAAGUUUCAACGUGUCUAACGUGAAGCCAACAAAGUCGUGAAUGCUUUUGCAAGGAAUAUCCAACUUCAAAGUAUUAGCGCAGCUUUAACUUGAUGAACAAACUUAGAGUUUUCUAGGGUUUUAAUUUGAUUUUGUUGAAAUAGAGAGAGAAUGAGAAGAAUGGGUGAAUGAGGAGACAAGAAGUAUUAAAGUUGUGAUUUCAUUUAUAUGUAAAAAUACACAUGAAAGUAGCUUAUAUACAUGGUUUUUUGCUAGGUUACUUGAAGUACAAGUCAUAUAACAAACCCUAAAUACCUUAAGCUAAAAUCUAGUAAAUUUGUAACAAACUAUUAACAAACUAAACUAACUAGAUUUCUAAUGUGAUUAACCAAACAAGCUUGAUUAGAUCACUAACAAACUUGAAUUAUCAACUAACACAAAGUUGCGAUAAUAUAAAAAUAAUAUCAGAACUAGUCUCUCUUCAAAUGAAUGAUGCAUCACAACUUAUCUUUCUCCUUUGAUGGAAAAAUUUGUUCUAAUACCAAUUAUUGAAGGAAAAAAAUCAAUAAAAAAUCUUUAAACAAGCGGGAACACAACCACAAAAUAAGUAAAAGAGAUAAAAACAAAUCACAAGCCUAUUUUUCGAUACUUCACAGUUCACACCUUCAUUCAUAAUAUCUUAACAAAAUAUUUGUUACAAAAAUAUGCAUAGUUUUACUAGGAAUUGCAAACCCUCUUGUACAAUUAUAAUUUUUGCACAGAAAUAUUGCAAACUAAUCUUUCUCAAUUACAAUUUUUGUAAGAAAAACUACAAACUCUUUCAUGACACACAACUACCCAACCUCUUUUUUUUUUUUUUUUUUUUUCAUUACUCGAUGUGCGAUGUGAAAGAAUAUCAAUUUUAGAGAACAAAUGGCUAUAAUUUAUAGGUGGCCUUUAUGAUUUUUGGCACAAAUUUUCAUACUGUGAAAUGUGAAUAGAUGCAUGUGCAGAGAUGGAGUUCAUAAUUUAAAUCUUACGUUAAAAAUAAAACAAGUUUUUAAUGUUAUAGUUUAAAAAUAAAAAAUUGUUUCUUAUAUACAAUAUUUUUAUGAAUAUUUACAUAGUUCUUAAAAAAAUUAAUAAUGAAUGGUAUAUUCGUGUCCUGUAUGACACAAUGAAACAUAUGCACAUGAUUAAAUUAUACAUUAAGCCUAAUCAUAUGAUCUGAAAAGAUUUUCUCUACAUUUCGUCGAGCUAGCAAGGUAGAUAGAUGUCAACUAAUAAGUUGAUGAAAUCGGCUAAAAAAGAUUCCCAGUUGAAGUUUAUUAUUUUUUUGGUGCAACCCAGUUGAAGAUUUUAUUAACUUUGAUGAUGGCUCUGAACUACCAAGUUUUCUAGAACUUGAACAAGUCCUUAAUUUUAGUUGAAUUGCAAUACUAUGUCUAUAUGUAUAGUAUACCGUUUCUGGUUUCAUAGUCUGUUAAUUUUAAGGAAUUUUUUCAAGUGGCUCAAAAAAAACAUAUACAGUACAUUCUUUAGUUUUAUUUACAUCGUUUUCAAUCUCUUUCGCUUUUUUAAAUAUUUACGCAGAAAACAUUUUUUUUUUUUUUUCAAUCAGAAAGAGGCAAAAUUAAGAUUUGCAUUGGUUUUAGUCAUCACCUACUACAUUAAAUUACUAUUUGUGGAAAAUAUUGUUUAUAGCGUGAAACUGUGCUCUGACUGGCUCACAUGCAAACGGACAGUGGCAAUAUUGUUUAAGGAAGUAUUAAUCUUUUUUUUUUUUUUUUUUUUGACAGAAACCAUAUAGUAUUAAUCUAUUAUUACUACUAUAUAUGCAUAAAAAAGGACCAAUUAACCGACAUGCUUUGAGUUAUUUUGUGUUUUUUUUUUUUAUUGUUUCUGAAAAAAUCAACCAACAUGCUUCUUUUUUUGCGCUAACUAAAACUAAUUUAUUUAUGCUACUAAUCAAUUUAUUAAGACUAAAACUUGAGUACAAGUUAGUCUUUUUUUUUGUAGUUGGUGACCUACAAGUGGUACUCUUGUACUCAUUAUACUCAAAGUCAAGGGUACAUGCGUAUGUGUUAUGCUGAAUUCGAAAAUUCAUAGUCAAGACCCAGCAAUAUCAAGAUAUAUACACACAUGUCCUAAAGUGCAUUCUGGAGAAUAAGAACUACAAGUCUAAAGUUUUUCUUUUUGUUAGUAAAGUUAUUUUAGUCCAAGUUUAGACUAUACAACGCUGACUAUGAAAUAUGAAAGGAAAAAAAAACCUUCAAUUUUUGUCAAAAAAAUAAAUUCCAUUGUCUCUAACUAAUUAUUGAAAUUUUAAACAUGUGUUUGGUCUAACGGUAUGGUAGAAAAAAUCACGGCAAAAAUUCACGGUAACUACAAAAUCUAAAAAUUUGUAAUUUCUUUGAAAUUUGAGUUUGUAACUUCGAACGUCAAAUAAUCGUUCAUUAAGUCUCUAAAGCUCACAUGAUCAGACCAGCUUUGAUUGCAAAAUAUGACCAACUAAUUACUAAUAAACAUUUAAUUUUGUUAGCAGAUCAAUUUAUCUGUUUAAUGUUAAAAUAAAUCUGAUCCAAUUCAAUACUUUUGGACAUAGAUUGAAAUGGUUUCCCCCCCCCCCCCCCCCCCUUUUUUUUUUUUUUUUUUGUAAACUAGGUAUCCUCCGCGCGCAACUGCGGAGACUAAUCCCUCGAGCAUUGUGAGACCCAAAUGGACGGCAGACUCUCCCUAAGAGUUUUAACGCUGCUGGAGGUAUUGUAAAUAAUAUUUUGUGUUAUAUUAUUUUUAAGAGUGUAUAUUUCUAUAUAAAAAGAGUGAGUUUUGCCUUCAACCUCGAGGUAAUCGGUUUGAGACCUAGGCACUGAGAACAUGAGUUUUUUCGAUUAGCUCUUUAAAAAAUUAUUUAUAGGAGGAAUAAUUGUUUUUAUGGAAUUUGUCGUGUAAUAAAAAUCUAAAUCGUCUAGUCUACAAUUUUGUAUAGUCUUCAAUUAUGUUGUGAAUUCGGGCUUUGAAACUUCACACCAAUCCAAACUAUGAUGUGUGGAGAAAGUAUCAAUGGCAACCAACAACCAAAUUAACCAUAAGCAAUAACAAUAAUAUAUACCAAGUCUAUAAACCAAGUGCAUAGCAAAAUCACAAUCCAACCAAAUAAUAAACAAGAUAAAAGAGUAAAGAAAAAUAGACAACAACACCAAGAGAUUGUUCACCCAGUUCGGUCCAACCAUGACCUACUCUGGAGGAGAGAUUGAUCUCUUCAAUCCACUAUCAAUGAGUUCUUACAAAGAGAUACAAAUGAGUUACAAGAAAUUAGCUUCAACAAGCUCACAAAAAACAACCCUAAUUUCUACCAAUUUUCCCAAUCUCACCAAUGAACAAGACACUCAUGAUUUUUACUCUCCCAAGGUGUUUACAAUUGUUUCACAACUCUAGAAUCUAACCCCCAAAAGAGAACCAACUCUUAGCCUUUGAUUUCACUUAGGAUCUUCUCUUUUGGUUUCACAAGACUCACCCAAGUUGCUCGCAAAUGACUCUCCACUCAUGUGUUUCCCAACCCCAUGAAUCUUCUCCAAAAGGCACCAACCCUUUUCACAAGAGCCCCCUCUUUUGGUUCUCCAAGAUUCACAUCUUGAAGCUUUGAACCUCACCCAAAGACCCUCAACCUUUAGUAUCUAAAACCCUAAAAGUUUCAUCCUUUGGUUGUUAUGGGAUUCACCAAGCUUACCCAACAAAUGGAUCAGGGAGUGUUUAAAACAUGUUUCAGAUCUGUCAAAAUCGUGUCACAUUUUGCCUUCAGAACCAAACAUGCAUUCGGCAUCAGAAAUCGUGACACGGUUGCCAAAUCGUGUCAUGAUUCUUCACUUUCAUAAAGACUUAAUUUUGAGUCAUAUAUAUACCAACAAAUUCAAAUUAUAUAAAUGGACGGUAUAUUCUUUAGUAAAAGUAUUAUUUCACAAUUUAAUACGUAUUAUUAAAAGAAAUUAGAAACAAUUAUCAAAAAAUUAUGAUAGAUAAUAUAUUAAACUCGUCUAGUGUGUGUGUAUUUUUGAAGGAUAGUGUGUGUGUGUAUUAACAUCAUUCUCUAAUUAUUUUUGUAGGGAAACAAUGUUGGUUAAAUUGAUGUGUACUUUUUUUUGUAAAAAAUAAUCGACGUAUUUUUAAAUGAGAUUUACAUGUAGAGAGAGACAGCGGUAGACAUAGUAGUAGAACAAUUAAAAUUUAAAAGACCACUUUACAAAUUGCACCAAGUGGUCCUCUAAAAAAGAUCACCGACAGUUGCUUCACUUUACCUUCAUAUAUUUUAGAGCAAUGAUAUUUGAACAAUUAUUUAGUACAACAUUUUUUGACAAUCUUCUUUUUCUCUCUUUUUAUUGGUCAAAAAUAAUGAAGAGAAAAAAGAAGAGAUAGAGUAAAAAUAUAAUAUGAAUAUGAGAAAAAAAAUUGUCUAAAAAUUAUCACAAAAUGGUUGUACAAAUAUUAUUUCUCCAUAUUUUAGACACAGGCUAAUCAUUAAUUAAUUUGUGUAAAAAAAAACAAUAAUAUUAUUUUGACAACAUUAUUCAACACCUUAUCUUUCUUUCAAAAAACAUUAUUCAACACCUUAUGUUCAUAUUAUCAUUUGAUUUUCUUAAUUAUGUUUUACAUCAGUCACAUCAAGUGACAUUUUACACGCUUAUCAAUUUUUUUUGUCAAGUAGCCUAGUGUUUAGAACUCAUAUAAUUUAAUUGUGAAGAAAUGAAGUGUCAGAGAUUCGAACUCCAACCCCUGCAUAUAAUAUGCAAUAUCCCUACCAACUGAACUAAGCUCACGAAGAUCGCGGUUAUCAAUUUUUGUAGUUCAAAUAACAUCACUAAAAAAAGCUACGAGGCAGACGCACAAAUUUUCAUUGAGCAGUUGUGUUAAUUAAUUUUAUAACGCAAGGAAAAUGGUGAAGUUUUUGUGAAUAGAGAAAUGAUAUAUAUACAAUCAUUUUCAAACAACUUUUGUAAUAACUUUAUCUCUCAUUUUUAUAUUUUAUUUUUAUUUUUUUCUCUAUUAUUUUGGUUUUCGUUUAUGAUUUUUUGUAAGAAAAUGAUUGUCUAUGUAGUUAUCAAUCACAUUGAUGUUCAAAUAACAUUGCUUUUGUGAAUAAUGCAAAAUAGUUUCUCGGAACAAUCAAUUAUUCAAUUGAUAUUUACGAAAUUAGUUUUUGUAGGGUGUCCCUAUAAAUCACAUAUACUUUAAAACAGUCAUAUGUAUUCACGAUUCGAGAUCUUAUAAAAAAACCAUUCCAGAUCAUGUAUGAAAAUGAAAUAUAUAUUUUUUUUGACUGGUGUAUGAAAAUGAAAUAUUUUCAAAAAUAAAAUAUACUCUCUGCCCAUAUAAUGUCAGCGUAGGUGUCGGUGUUUUUCUACCGACUAUAAGAAAAACUGUAAAAUAAAUAAAACAAUAUAGUAAUUUAAAUUAGUGAUUGUAAAUUAUUGUCUUAAAUGUAUAGUUCAAUAUAAUAGAUUAAAAAUGAUGAAAAAAAUAUUAAUUUAAGAGUAGAAUUGAAAUAACAUAUAUGUUUUCGAUAGUUUAACUAAAUUGAUAAAGACAUUGCAUAAUAAUAUACAAGUGUUUUGAAAUUCCAUUUAUUCAUUACAUGUGAAUUUUUAGAUAUUAAACUAUUUGGAAAAUAAAAUAAAAUAUCAAAUAAUUAAGGUUUAAAUAUGUAAGUAGUCCCUGUAAUUUCGCGUAUUUUUGUUUUCGUUCCUGUAAGUUAUUUUGUUCUAAAACAAACUCUGUAUUUUGCUAACCUUUUGGAAAAGGUCCUUGCCGUCAGCUUCCGUCAACAAAAACGCCAUGGUGGCUAACGGAGCACACGUGGCAGUUCAUGAGUUGGCAAAGUUGAUGAGAUGGAAUGAGAGAUGAUAAGUUGUUAAAAUACAGGGACUAAAAUCAAAAACGUAAAUUGACACAGGGAUGAAAUUAAAAAAACGUUUAAUCUUCUUUUUCCUCUCAAAUUUCAGUCUUCUUCUUCCUCUCAAACUUUCCCCAAUCUAUCCCAUACCUUGCGCCCUUGAACCAAAACUCAUAUCCUUCAACAAUUUAUUCUAAUUCCAUUACUCAAUCAUAUUGUGUGUUUUGAUUGUAAUGUUAAGUUGAAACAUUGUAUGCUACUUAAGUUUGAUUAAUUUAGUGAUGGUUGUUGCGAUUGAUUGCAAAUUCAUUCAUAAAGUUUGUAGAUAAUAAAGGCAAGAAUACAUCUUUUUCAUCCCUCUUUUUUUUCCACAAUUCCCUCUUAUUCUUCCAGAUUGCUACAAUUACCAUACAUAAAUAGUCAGAUCCCCUUUCAUCUUUUCUCACUCACAUUCAAAUUCAAACUCUAAUUUCUCAAAUUUUUGCUUUUGAAUUGUGUAAUUUUGUGUUUUUAUGUAAUUGGUGUAGAGAGUUUAUGUUGUUUUAAUGUGUUGAUUAAGAGUGGGUCUUGUUGUUGUUGAUUGAUGAUUAUUAGUUUUGUUUAAAAAAAUAUAUAUGUUUGUUGUUUUCUUUCUUUUCCUGGGUUUGGUGUUGAUGAUUUAUGAAUAUGGUGAUGAAGAUGAAGAAGACAAUGAAGGAAGAAGAAGAAUAAGAUCUUGAUUUUAAAUUUGAAAUUUUGAUUUUACGUUUUUUAUUUUAGUCCCUGUGGUAAUUUACGCUUUUGAUUUUAGUCCCUGACUUUACACAACUAAUCAUCUCUCAUGCCAUCUCAUCAAAUGUGCCAAGUCAUGACCUGCCACCUGUGCUCCGUUAGCCACAAUGGCGUUUUUGUUGACAGAAGCUGAUGGUAAGGACCAUUUUCAAAAGGUCAAAAAGAUACAAGGUUUAUUUUAUAUAAAAAAAAAAACUUACAAGGACGAAAACAAAAAAUACGCGAACUUAGAGGAACCUUUUACAUAUUUAAGCCAAUAACUAAUAGCACUUAUUUUGGUACAUUUCUCUUUUGCAAAUGUGAAACUUAAUAUUGGAUGGGGUCAAUAAUUUUGAGAAUGAAUAAACCCAUUAUUUAGUCUUUUAAUUUUUUUUUUCCAUCCAUCAGGUUUCUAAACUAUUUACAAACACUAAAUGUCCUUAAGACAUAGCUCAAGUAACAAUAUUGAUAUUGAGAAGUUGGAUAUUUUCAUCCGAGUUUGAACUCGAAUUCUUGCAAUUACGAGUGUGAAUUUCAGGUAAUUUAUAUCAAUUUAUCUGUAAACAAAAGGAGAUAUAUACGCGUAACAAAUAGGUCUAAUGCAAAUUAACAACUUAUUUUUAGUUUAUAAAAUAUAUGAAAUUUAAUCCUUUAGUCCCUAGUAUAUUUUAACAAUGGGCACUAAAGCAACAUAUAUUUCAUAUAUUUUAAAUACUACUACAUCUUUCCUUAUGUAUAAGCUCAUUUGACAUUUUCACAUAUAUUAAAAAAGUUAGUAGUGUCUUGACAAAAAAGAAGCUCCUUAGAGUUUCCUUAUGUAUAUUUUUUUAAACCGAAAAAAUUGUGUACAAAAAAUGACUAUUAUUACUAAAAAAAAUCUUUUGCAUAUAGAUGUGUUCAACAUUUAUUUUGCAAUUCUCAAGACAAAUCAGUGGUACAUCUUAAUAAGUGAUAUAUUUGUUAGGAAAAAAAAUUACUAUAUGUAUCUAGUUAUUUGCAAGACUAAUGAUUCUUAGCAAAUAUGCUUAUAUUGAGAGAACUUUUUUCUAAAGAGAGCUUAUAAUUAGAGACUAAGAUUUUGCCAAAAAAUAAAGAAAAAUUAGAGAAUAAGGUUUAUACUAUACUUUAGAAACUAAUUUGAUGAGAUACGACUAAAUCGAAGAUAUAUUUUUUUAGAAUAGUGUUAGAACCUUAGAAAUUAUAAUCAAUAGAAAUAGAAAUGUUCCUUACAGAUCCAUAAUAGUGACAAUCUUGUCUUUUCUUUUGAGGAAAUAAUAAUAAAGGUGGUGCCAACAUUUCAACAAACCUAGCUAUUUUAAUUAUUCUGUUCUCACAGCCUGCACCUUAGAUCAAAUCCAAAUUGGGUCAUCACCGUUCCAAAAUGCUUAGGGACGUUACUCUAAAUGUCAAUAUGAAUGAGUAAUUCAAAUAGUUAACAUAGCCCGCCAGCCUUAUAUAAUAAUAUCAAUAUAUGUCGACUAAUUAUCGAGAUGCUAAAUUGGAGUACACUUCACAAACAAAAAUCUUUCAUAAGGCGUUUUUUCUCUUAAUACAUUUUUUCUUUUCUUAUGCUAGUAACAUUUACUCUGUAUUGGCCUUCCUAAGAAGAAGUUGGAUAGUAGCAAUGUGUUCGUGAGACUGCUGAUAUCUUAAAAGAAUGUUCUCAUAGAUUCCACUUUUUUAGUAAGCUUUUAUGUGUAUGAGUUUGCAAAUUUAACCCUUUUUAAUUCGGAUAGAUUUAUAAGUCACACCUUCAAGUACAAUCGACAAAAUUUCAGUAAUAAUUACGGUUUAGGGUUUAUGGGUCUAGAUCUACUAAAAAUGAGUGGGUGUAUAAAUUAGUAUAUCCUAGAGUUUAUUAUCUUACGUUCGAUCUUCUUUGCAGAAACUCGUGCAUGUUCGUGAUAUAUAUUUUCGCGAGAAGUACAUUUCCCUAAAACAAAAUCAACCACUGACAUAAACACGUCAAAUGUAAGCCGGUAAAUCCAAGCUUUACUAACACGAGUUAUAUUAUAUCAUUGGCAUCAGCUACUUAAGAACUACUGUAGAAAAUUUACAGCAAGUCAUCGAGGCUUAAUAAAAUGUGUUGAUAUAGUUACAAAGAUAAAUUAAAUAGCAGAGCAUACAUGAAGAGAACAAAUGUAGAGCAACCCCUUAAACAAACCCUCUCAGUAAGGUAUCUUCACAUUACUCUAAGUUCAUAAAAGAUGACUUUAAAAACGAUUAUUUCAAAAUGCAAGUAUUCUCCGACCCCUUUUUCCCGGAUCUAGAUCUAAUAGUGUAAGGAUAUAUAUAAAUCAUUGUCACAUUUUACAACUCAAGAGUUUACCUCAACUCGUUUUGUUUAGGUAAAUUCGACUCGAGAACUCGUAUGACUUUACCUAAAAUUAAAAUUAUAUAAAAUUUAUUAUAUAUGCAUGACAUAUGUAAGUUAAUAUAAUAUUGUAAAUAGGUCAAUAGUGCAAAAUAUGACUUAAUUACAAAGACAAAUUAUACCAUAAUAAAAUGUUAUGCUCAACUUAGCUUCAAAAUACAAAAAUUAACGCACAAAAUCAUAAGUCUCUAAGUUUAAGCCAUCCAUAAAACCAUCCAAAAAAAGAAAGUUUCACAAGUUCCUAAAGUUAUUAAUAAAACUAUCUAAAAAAUAAAGUAGUUAAUUUCUUCAAAACGUCAACAAACACCACCACAACAACCCUAACCAGUGUCACAAUCACCGGCGUUGAAAUAUGAAUUUCCACCGUCUGAAUCACAACCCUAAAUGGUAUGUGCUCCCCUGUUCAUGGUUUGAGAACUUAGAAAAGAAAAAGGGCAAUCCGGUGCACUAAAGCUCCCACAUACGCAGGGUCCGGGAAGGGGUCCCACCAUUUUUUGUGUAUUGUACGCAACCUUACCCUGUUUUUGAUCACAAAAGAAAAAGAAACGUUUCAUUUUAGGAACAACUUGUCACUGUAAAGGUAACUAUUAAUUAAACGUUUCAGUCUUUGGGGUUGUAGAAAAGGAAUUGGAUUUUGAAAAAAAUGGGCACAUAAAAAGGGCCAAUUUUUAGAUGUAAACUCGUAAAACUCAGUAAACUCGGUCGAGUUUACACGAGUUUACCUAGUGUUAACUCGGUCAAACUCGUUAAACCUUCCAAUUUUACCAGAAACCGAGUUUACCUCCGAAUUAACAUGAUUUUGGCACCUACGUAAACUCGAAGAGUUAACACUCAAUUUGCGGAACAUUGCAUAUAUAUUUAAAGAUAUAUGUAUAAUUAUAGAGAAAGUAGAGAAGGGAUAUACCAUUUUAUGUAGGGUUAUUAUGUAUCAAAUCAUAAAGAGUCGAGAGUUGUAUUAUACCAUAAUAUUCUUCCGUAAACUGGUAGUCAUGAUCAUGACGUAUAUUAUUCAAGUAUAUGCAAAAACAUGUCUGUAUCUAGUCUAAAUUUUUGACCAAAUGCAUGUAUUUGCUUAUAUUUUGUUACUACUUACUACUCGCCAAGUAAUGCUCAAUAUCUAAUAUAUAUAUUUCAAGACCAUCAAAGAUAACUCAGUUGAACAAUACAUAAUAUAUGCAAGGUUCGGGGUAUAUUACAUUUUCAAUUAUUCUAAUAAUAAAUUUAAAUGACACUUAAAUUAUACAACUAUUAAAUAGAUCUUAGUACCGUAAAAUUUAUAUUCGAGACUUGCUAGGGAGAACCAUCAACCUCAACAAAAAUUUCUACUUGAAUCUAACGCAAACAAAAGGUCCAACCAUCUAUGAAUCUCCGUUGAUAUCACAAAUGAUGUUUGAUACAAGAGAGACAUAUUAGAACAUAAUCUAUGUACAAUCUACAUUAAAAUAAAAAACAAGUCUACAGUCAUAUAAAUAACACAAUUUCAAAAUCUCAAAAUUAGGUAUGAAAACAAAAUGAUUAGAAAAAUAAAUGAUUCAAUCAUUCCGAGAUUUGUGCAAAAAAAAAAAAAAAAACAUUUUGAAAAUACAAUGUUAGAAACUUAUGAUCAAUAUAUAUUUUUCCUUACACAUCAAAAAUAAUUAAGCUAUAUUCUUGUCUUUUCAUUUUGGGCAAACUAAAAUUAAAAUCAAGGUAGUGUCAAUGUUUCUAUAGUCCUAGCUAUUUGAUUUUCUUCUAAGCUAACAAGAGUCUUCCAAAAUCAAAUUCGCGCUCAAAAUUAAAGCAACUUGGGUGGUAACCAUUCCAAAAUACUUAGGGCCACAUUGCUCUAAAAGUCAAUAAGAAUAAGUAAUAAUUCAAAGAUAGCCAACCUUAUAGUAUAUUUUAAUAUGAAUGUAUGCAUGUUUCCUAGAAGGUGAGUAAGCUAACUAAUCAAGAUACUUUGUUGGAGUUAAAUAUGGUAAAGAAUCCAACUAUAAAAUGGGGACUUGCCCCAGCAUUCUUUCACAAACCAAAACCAACUUCUAAGAAAAAAAUGAGGUCCCUAAUGGCCUCUGCUUCUCUCACUCUUGCAUUAGCCAUCCUCUUUUUGAGUUUCCCAUCUGAAAUUUCAGCAAACAAAUACGCAUAUUCCUCUCCACCACCACCACAUUACUCAUCUCCUCCACCUCCACCGGUUCACACUUACCCUAAACCAGUCUACCACUCUCCACCACCACCAGUUCACACCUACCCUAAACCAGUUUACCACUCUCCACCACCACCAGUUCACAAGUACCCUCACCCUAAACCAGUAUACCACUCUCCACCACCCCCAGUUCACAAGUACCCUCAUCCACACCCAGUCUACCAUUCUCCACCACCCCCAGUUCACAAGUACCCCCAUCCUCACCCAGUGUACCACUCUCCCCCACCACCACCACCAAAGAAGUCCUACAAAUACCCAUCUCCCCCACCACCACCAGUUCACACCUACCCUAAACCAGUCUACCACUCUCCUCCACCCCCAGUUCAUCACACCUACCCUAAACCAGUCUACCACUCUCCUCCACCCCCAGUUCACACCUACCCUCACCCUAAACCAGUCUACCACUCUCCACCACCCCCAGUUCACACUUACCCUAAACCAGUCUACCACUCCCCACCACCACCAGUUCACACCUACGUCCCUCACCCUAAGCCAGUCUACCACUCUCCACCACCACCAGUUCACACCUAUCCCCCACAUGUUCCCCACCCAGUUUACCAUUCUCCUCCUCCUCCAGUUCAUUCCCCACCUCCACCACACUAUUACUACAAAUCACCUCCUCCACCUUACCACAACUAGAUAGCCCAUAAUUGGCAUCACACCAUAUGGUAACUUUUCAUGCAACAUAUAUAUUAUAACUUUUCAUAUUCUCUCUUUAUUAACUAGUUAUCGGUAUGAUUGUCGAGUAUAUACUAACAAGGCUAAUUUGAAAUGAAACUUCAUGUGCAAUGAAACAUUCUUUUACUGGUUAAUAUUUUAUUCUAUGUUUCAUUGAAAUUAAUAUUUUUCUAAUAGUAUUUGGUUAUUAAGGGAUUAGAGUAUAUCAGACAUAAACUGACAGAUCAAUAUAUUUGCAUUUGUGUAGGAUCUAAACAGAAAGUGUGAAAGCAAAGAAAGCCAUGCACAAAGAAGAUCAAGGGGAUUCUUCACAUAUAUUUCGUCAGCAUUUGAUUAAGAUUGUUUAGAGGGCUCCGUUUAUUUGUAUUUAAUUUGUGUUUUUGUUGUAUUAUCCACAGCUGUAAGGCACUGCCCCAAUAUGCAUGUGUCUGCAGUUGUUUUCAUGCAUUGUAAUUUUCAAAGUUCGGCUUUGUAUCAAGCUGACUCACAAACUAAAUAAAUAUAUAUCCCCUAUUAUAGUAAUCUGUCCCUUUCAUCUAUGACUCCUUUUAUAUUACUAUUCUUGUGAUAAAAAUAAUCUGUGUUUAUUUGUUUCUACUAAUUAUUUUUGGUUUACCUUUCUCCGUACAAAUAAAAUUUAGUUUAAAAGUGAAUUUGACAGCACUUUUAAGAGAAACCUAAAAGAAAUAGAAGAAUAAUGCUUCUCAAAAGAUUAAAAAAAGACCACUAUAUUAUAUAUAUGUGAACCAAGGAUCAUGUCUCAAUGUGUGUGUUUUUUCUUUUAACGAGAAAGAUCUAUAAUUAUAAUGUAAACAAGAGUACAAUGAGUACUACAACUCACUACAAAAAGAGGUGCAACACUUCAAACGAAAAAAAUAGCACACACCAUAAGCAAUACAAAAGCAUUAGUCUACAAAGCCAAUAGGGUGGCAUUUAACAUGGGGCAGUAAAAUUUUAUCCCACCAUGGAAAAGUGGAUCCAUUAUGGGCAGGUGGCAGUUUUAACUUGCUGCAGUUAAAAAAAGAAGAAAAAAAAAAUUACUUAUUAUUUUAUUCGGUUUCAACUUGCUAUUUCACCUCCUUGUUGCUGCAAUAAAAAAGGAUCUCCAGUAAAUUUGCUCCAAACCAACCCCAUCGGCCAUCUCUACACCUCAUCUGCGCCAAUCCACCAUUGUGUUUUUCUCUUACCAUCUUCAUGAGGAGCUGUUGAGAGUGAUGCCCAAUUGGCCAUGAAAUAUAUCCAACCAAUUUGCGCUCAAAUUUUCCAUGAAUGCAAAACAGACUCCUUUUGUUUGACACAUGCAUUUAUAUUUGUUUGGAUGGUAUCAUUGUGGAGAUGGUUGGAGAAAAUUUCAUGAAGUGAUUCUUCUAUUAGCUGAGGAAGAAAUUGGAAAAGAAUCAUUAUUUUUUUCUACCCAUUAUUUUAUAUGUAUAUAACUGUGUCGGUUUCUUUUCAAUUUUUUGGUUUGAAUGGAAUUUUAUUAAAUUUGAAAAACCAGUUUAUUUUUCCUCGAAAAAAGAAAUAGUUUAUUUUCUAAUAUAAAAGUGUUAUUCUACCACCUGACCAAAAAAAGUGUUAUUCUACCAAAAAAUAUUUAAUUAAAAGCGUUAAUUAUACCCAAAAAUACAAAAAAAAAAUUGCUUUUAAUUAGUAAAUAUGUUGUGGCUCAUACUCGAAGGUUACUUUAUAAGCCCCCCUCAUAUCUCUCUAGGCCCCCUAAAGUUACAAAAAUAUCCUCAAAUAACACAUUCUGUACAUACCUACGGAAGGUGAAUGUUUUUAAUUUUAUUUUUGCAGCUUCUGUACAUACCUACCGGACAGAGAAUUGAGGCAAAUAUUUAGGAAACUAAUAUGAAAAAAAGCCUGAAACUGAGUCCAUAAAUUCUCCAUUGAUGAAAAGCUUUUAAAACUUUAUAGUUGGAAUCUUUACAAAGGAGUCUAAGAUGAUGUGAUUUGCCAUCUCUAUUUCUCUGUCUACCUUUCAACAGGGACUACAAAGAGAAAAUUUUCAAUUGAGAAAAACUAUGAACUUCCUGAUGAACAAAUGGACAAGUUAUCACAAUUGGGGCUGAGAGGUUUCGUUGCCCAGAAGUCCUUUUCCAUCCAUCUAUGAUUUCAAAAUAUCUAUUUGGAAUGUAACUACAGAAAGUGUAAAUCUGAAAAUGUGAAAAUAUGCCUCCGGUAUGUACAUACCGAAGGUGCAAAAUGUGGAGAGAAAAAAUAUGCACUACCGGUUUGUAUCUACUGAAUGUGUUGUGAAGGUUAUUUUUGUAUUUUUAGGAGGCCUAAAAAGAUAUUGGAGGGGCCUAAAAAGUAACCUUCCAUUCUUAGAAGAAAAAAAAAUGGAAGCCAACAUCCAAACACAUAAAAGCCCACAAUCAAUUAUAAACAUAAACAAUUUGUUGUGGGGUAAAAAUUUUUGUAGUAGGUUUAAUUGGCAAAAAGUUAGAAGAAGGUUGCCAUCAACAAAUCUGAACCAUUCACUUAAAAUAUUAAUAUAUCAAUGGUUAAAACAUCAACUUUUUUAUGAUGGGAAAAAACUUCACUUUCCCAUUUUAAACCCCACCAGCCAAUAGAGAGAAACUACAUCAAAAGCUACACCACCUCAACAAGAACAAAAAGAUAAAUGGAGAAAAUUGAACCCGAAAUUUAUCAAGGACAGUCUCAAUUUGUGUGUUUUGAUACUUUUGUGUCUCAAAAUAAUUGAAUCAUUUGUAAAAUAAAAAAAAUUGUCUCACAAUAAUUUACUCGUUUCGCUUUUCAAUACAAUAUUAAUUACUUUUUUUUUAUUUAUAACUCUAAUUAAUACUACUUUCAUCAUUCCAAAUUUAAUAUCAAUAUAUUGAAUUUGGAGUAACGUAGAAUGUACAAAUAUUUGACAACACACUUAAAACCAUUUUUCACUCUUUCACUUAUAUAUUUUUUCUUAAUAUAUGUGAAAUGAACAAACGACUCACUUAUAUUAUAAAUCAGAGAAGUAUUUAGUUCAAGACUUUGUAUUGCUAAACUUUGACAUGUCUUGUGUUUAGUUUAGCCCCUUUAUUGAACAGGAAAAAAUACCGCAACUUCAGUAUCCCGGGCUAAAUGCCACCCCCCAUUCCCCAUAAGUUGCCAAAAGAAUAAAUAAACUCUGCUUUUGAUACAUAGACAUCCCUCGUUCCAACCAUCUAUGCAUAAAGACUCAAUAUAACGGCAAUUCAUCGAAGUACAUAAACCAAUUGUUUAAGGUGUACUAUUAGAGAAUCAAACCGAGGAACUAGUGGCGGAGCCAGGAAAUUUAUGGAGCUUGGGCAAAAAAUUAAUCGUAAAUUCACAUGUGACAUAAUAUAUAAACAGUCAUAAAUUGAAAGAAAAAUUUUUUUUUUCCUAAAAAAAAUUGAAAUAAAAGAUGUUUAUCAUUUUGUAAACAAAAGUACAAUUUAAAAUAUGAUUAUUAAUUGAAAUUGACCACGUAAUAUACAUGAAGUCUGAAAAUUGACCCUGCUGUAAUUAAAUAACAUGUAUUCUGACCAUGUAAUUCGAGAUUUUUAUUAUUUAUAACAUGUAAUAUACGCGAAGUCCAAAAAAGCAACCGAGAGAUUUAAUUUUUUCAUGAUUUCCUAGAGGCGAGUUAAGAACGUUAAAAUAUGGCUUUAACAAAAAAAAUAUAAAUUUUCGACAAACGACAAAUUAAUUAUGAUUUUUUAAAGUGUCAAAAGCUCAAAAAACAAAACAACGGAAAUCUCAAUCAAUAAAUCGAAUUUUGAGCUCAUUAUUUGCAGAGAGAUCUAUAAAAAUACAUAAAAAGGAUCUGUAAAGUUUCAUAGCAUUUCGAAGUCGUUUAAAUUUAUUUUGAUUUUUCAACUGAAACAUGUAAAAUUGAAAUUUUGUUUCGCGUAAGCGUAUACUCACAAGUCAAAUUUAGUUCCCUAAUUUUGUAGGCAUGACUAGAACAUGAUAAGAACCUUCACAAUGAAAUUUUGUAAUUUUUAAACUAGAUACAAAUUAAUUAUAAAUUGUUUAAGAAAUUCAUAAUUAUGAUGGAAUAAAAAUUCAUAAUUAAUUUAUCCCUGGUCGAAGAAAUUUAAUUUUGAGUAAAGCUAUAUUUUAACGUGCUAAAUAUGUAUGAAAAAAAUAGUGAAAAAAUUCAACAUGUAGGGCACAUUUUUAGACUACACGUAUAUUAUAGAGUGGUCAAAAUUAAAUAAGAAGAAAUUCAAGUUGCAAUGCUAGAAUAUAUAUUUUUUAUUUUAUUGGGUCAUUUUUCAAACAUAAAGUAUAUUACAAGGUCAAUUUGAACAAUUAACCCGUUAAAAUAAGAGAGAUGAACCCGUCAAUAGCGUACUAAAUAAAAUUUCAAGACUUAUUUGCGUGUGACAAUUUUCAGAUUGCCCAAAUUUUUCUUUUUGUAAAUGUGUUAACGGGCUUUUGGGUUGAGUCUAAUGUGCAAAAAUUAUCGAUCGAGCCCGGGCGAUCGUCUGGGGUCGCCAUACGGUAGAACCGCCCCUGCUAGGAACGAGGGGCGGAUCCACUUAGGUGUUAUGUGGAGCUAAAGCUCCACAUGUUUUUUCCUUUUUUUUUUGUUAUAAUUGAUAAAACGAAAAAGAAGUGACUUAGUAAAUAAUUCUCUCAUUUUCCCUUCUCUCUUAGUCUCGUAAAGUCAUUUCUAGUUUUUACGUGACAAAUUAUUGAGGAUGUCUGAGUUUUAUCCAAAUGAUUUUAUAGAUAUGUCGGAAGUGACGUUACGCACUCAACUUGUGAAUUAUGUUACAAAUGUUUAAAAUUUGCUAAGUUCAAAGGGCUUUUAGAUCUUUAUGCAAAACUUGUGGAAACAAAUAAGUGCAAACAAGAUGUAUGUUAGCACACUACUGUAUAUUAGACUAUUUGAUCUGCGAGUUUUUGUGUUUCUUACACAAUCUCGACGAGAAUAAUAUUUAUCGAUUAACAAAAAAUACAUUUAACUAAUUUGCAUUAUUAUACAAGGGUGAUUAAAUGGAGUAAGCCGAAUAGAGGUCGAAUGAAAUGUAAUAUUGAUGCAUCGUUUCCUAAUAAUGAGAACCGAAUUUGAAUAGGCAUUUGCAUUUGGGAUGAUGAAGGUGCAUUUGUGAUUGCAAUAACAUAAUGUUUAACUUCAAAGUGUGAUGUGCACAUUGAUGAAGCAUUGGGUUUGUUGACAACUCUUCAAUGGGUGCAUGAGUUACAUACAGUUAGGGCCUAUAGAGUUCGAACUUGAUUCCAAAAAAAGUGGUUGAUAGCUUUGGAGCUAAUAGGCAUGAUUCGACGGAAUUUGGAGCUAUUAUUAAUUAUUGUAAAAUAUUGUUUAAUCAUUUAUAUGAAAACUCGAGUGUAGAGUUUGUUCGGAGACAAGCAAAUGGGGUUGUCCAUGAAUUAGCAAAGGCGGCCACAUUAUCGAUUAGUUUCCAUAUUUUGGUUAUGCCACCACAUUGUAUUGAACACAUUUUAAUUAAUGAUAUUCUAUAAGUUUUCCCCUCUAAAAAAAAAACUAAUUUGCAUUAUUAUUUAUAUGAAAUUUUAACUACAUAUAUACCGAAAGUAUAGAUUUGCCCAUGGUAGAAACCCGUCAAAAUUUGUUAUUUCCACCAAUUAGUGAAUACUAUCCAUUUUACAAAGCCAUCAUUCGGUUAAGAAACUGUCAAAUUGUUAUCCUGCAUUCACUUAUAAUAGCAUGUGUCUUUCACUGUUAGACAAACAAACAAAUAUUAACAGCUUAAACUUUUUGAGAAUUUGUACAUAUUUUAAAAAAAUAUCAUAUGAAUAUGUAUUUAAUCUCACUUUUUGUACUUUACUACUAAAGAAGGUUUCAGAUUUCGCCACCAGAAUACUUUCCAUGUACUUCUCUUAUUUUAUCAUCACAUCUCUCACUUUCUUCUUUCAAGGUAGUUUUAUGAUCUAUUAAAAAGUUCACGGGGAAAUAAACAUCUAAGUAGGUUUUAGGCUAUGCCAAACUCUUUAAAAAGUUACGUUAGAUCCUUAAAAAAAGUUAUGUUAGAUCCUUAAAAGAUCAGAUUGAGAGACAAGGAAAGGGGCAUGUAAUUUCUUGGAUUGCUACAUGAAUAUCUACAAGUACAGACAAUUCAAUUUAGGAUUAAUGGUGUUUUUGGAUUAUUAUUGAAGAAGAAGAAGGUGAGGGGGGUACAUUACAACAAGCAGGGCAGUAUCUGAGGCAGGGUCGAAGAGGGCGACCGUCCUAGGUCCCAAAAAAUAUAUACGAAAUUUGGGCCCCAAAAUUUAUUUUUAAGGGUCUAUUAAGCCCUAAAAAAAUUGUUUAGUUUUUUGAAUCAGAUUUGAUGUUUAUAUAUAUUUAUUAGUCAGGAUCCAAAUUGCAGGUUCGCCCUAAGCCACCAUCAGAAACGGCCUUGACAACAAACCCAAUUAUGCUCUCAAAUUUUGGUCUAUGGUAUGGCCAAGGCAAACAUGAAAAUGAUAUAGUUUGGCAUAGAAACUACAUCUUUGCAAUGGUUUUUGGCUAAAUAGAAGGAAGUGCCUUGUUUGUUUCCUGAAUGGUGUUAUAAUUCCUAGAUAUAGAUGAAUAAAUAGACUCUAAGUUGGUGUUAGUAUGUGGUUUGUUUUGUCUCUAUCUUUUCUUUUGAAAUGGUUAGGUUAGCCUUGUACUCUUUAUCAAUAAAAUUUCCAUGCACUUAAAUAAAAACAUGACAAAACUGAUAAAAGAAAAGAAGAAGAAGAAGAAAAAGAUGAUUACUGCUCCAAUCUCGGAUACAAGGUGACAACUAGGGUACUCAUGGAAGAAUGGUGGGUAAUUUACCCCAACCAAUACACAUUAGCCACAUAAACACAUUUUUAAGUGGUAUUAAUGAACUAUCUUGACUCCACCAAUAAAUUUCUCAUUUUCAUUGGUUGGUGGGUAAAUUAUAUAUCCACCAUUCUUCAAAGAUAAUCUAGAAAAAACCCAGAUACAAACAAAACUGGUCAAAUAAAGUCAAUGUAUUUGGACAAAAGUUUGGACCAAAUACAUCAAUAAUAAACUUAGAUCAAAUAUACUUAUAAAUGUUUGUGCUUUUGUUUUAUAAUGUAAUAAACUUUGUGGAUUGCAUUCGUUUCCUUCUGUGAUGGACCAACAUCGAUUAGUCUUAGAACAGGACAACAUAAGUUCUGCCGACAAAUGUAUAUUAUUAUACAGCCAGCAUCCUGCGGAAAUUAAUUAUCUUGAAUGGAUUUUAUUCAUUGAUUUCAAAAAAUGAAUGGGAAAAAAUUGAAAAUCCAAUUGUCAUCUAAUUUGAUGUGCAACUCACAUUAUGUUUCGAUAUUCACUCAUUAAUGAUUUUUUUUAGGGAAACAUAAUAUUCAUGAGUGAAAAUUGAAACAAUUGUCGAAAAAUGUUCCAGUGACCAAAUCCAGAGUAAUAAUCAAACCUAAUUUUACGUAGCAUAAUAAAAAUCAUUGAAAAUGCAGAAAAUACAAAUUCAAGGUAUACAAUAUGUUUACGAUUUUUCUUCACUAAAACUCUUUUACAACUUUGCUUGUGCAGACAAAAUGGUGUUGUUCCAAAGUAUAAAAGUAAACAUAAGUGUAGGAAAGGAGAGAAAAGACGAUGAUUUAAAUACUUGAAGUUGAAGGGAAAGGAGACACUAUGGUCACAAAUAUGUGUAAUGAACAAAAGUAACCCAAAAAAAAACUAACUAUGGUCACAAACUUAAACAAAAUAACCCUUAAAAAAAAAGAACUUCUACGGUACAUGUAACGCCCUCUUUGAAUUAUUUGUUUUAUUUGAUUAUUUUAUUUAGUUUAUAGUUUUUUUGAAUAAUUUAUUUGAUUUAUGAUGAUGUGUGUUAUUUUUGUGUUAUAGGUUGGUGUUUUAGUAGUAUAUUAUCUAGUGUAGAAAUAUAUUUGUUAUAGAAAUAUAUUUGUUAUUUGGUGUAGAAGAAUUAUAUAUAUAUAUAUUAAUAGAAUAUUGAGACUUUGGGGGCUGAUUUGGGAAUUUAGAAGAGUUUAAGAGAAUAAGUGGAGUUAAGAGAAAAUAGAUAGGUUAAGGUUAUAAAAAGAGAAAAGUGAGAAGUCAGAAUAGUUUUUCACGUACAACCAGUUUUUGGAGAAAAAGGAAGAAAACCUAGAGAAGAGGAGGAACGAGAAGAGAACCUUGCAAUCCAUUUCUUAAGGUAAGGGUGGGACUAACAUUCAAUAAUCUUGAGUCUAUGAUUCUNNNNNNNNNNNNNNNNNNNNNNNNNNNNNNNNNNNNNNNNNNNNNNNNNNNNNNNNNNNNNNNNNNNNNNNNNNNNNNNNNNNNNNNNNNNNNNNNNNNNNNNNNNNNNNNNNNNNNNNNNNNNNNNNNNNNNNNNNNNNNNNNNNNNNNNNNNNNNNNNNNNNNNNNNNNNNNNNNNNNNNNNNNNNNNNNNNNNNNNNNNNNNNNNNNNNNNNNNNNNNNNNNNNNNNNNNNNNNNNNNNNNNNNNNNNNNNNNNNNNNNNNNNNNNNNNNNNNNNNNNNNNNNNNNNNNNNNNNNNNNNNNNNNNNNNNNNNNNNNNNNNNNNNNNNNNNNNNNNNNNNNNNNNNNNNNNNNNNNNNNNNNNNNNNNNNNNNNNNNNNNNNNNNNNNNNNNNNNNNNNNNNNNNNNNNNNNNNNNNNNNNNNNNNNNNNNNNNNNNNNNNNNNNNNNNNNNNNNNNNNNNNNNNNNNNNNNNNNNNNNNNNNNNNNNNNNNNNNNNNNNNNNNNNNNNNNNNNNNNNNNNNNNNNNNNNNNNNNNNNNNNNNNNNNNNNNNNNNNNNNNNNNNNNNNNNNNNNNNNNNNNNNNNNNNNNNNNNNNNNNNNNNNNNNNNNNNNNNNNNNNNNNNNNNNNNNNNNNNNNNNNNNNNNNNNNNNNNNNNNNNNNNNNNNNNNNNNNNNNNNNNNNNNNNNNNNNNNNNNNNNNNNNNNNNNNNNNNNNNNNNNNNNNNNNNNNNNNNNNNNNNNNNNNNNNNNNNNNNNNNNNNNNNNNNNNNNNNNNNNNNNNNNNNNNNNNNNNNNNNNNNNNNNNNNNNNNNNNNNNNNNNNNNNNNNNNNNNNNNNNNNNNNNNNNNNNNNNNNNNNNNNNNNNNNNNNNNNNNNNNNNNNNNNNNNNNNNNNNNNNNNNNNNNNNNNNNNNNNNNNNNNNNNNNNNNNNNNNNNNNNNNNNNNNNNNNNNNNNNNNNNNNNNNNNNNNNNNNNNNNNNNNNNNNNNNNNNNNNNNNNNNNNNNNNNNNNNNNNNNNNNNNNNNNNNNNNNNNNNNNNNNNNNNNNNNNNNNNNNNNNNNNNNNNNNNNNNNNNNNNNNNNNNNNNNNNNNNNNNNNNNNNNNNNNNNNNNNNNNNNNNNNNNNNNNNNNNNNNNNNNNNNNNNNNNNNNNNNNNNNNNNNNNNNNNNNNNNNNNNNNNNNNNNNNNNNNNNNNNNNNNNNNNNNNNNNNNNNNNNNNNNNNNNNNNNNNNNNNNNNNNNNNNNNNNNNNNNNNNNNNNNNNNNNNNNNNNNNNNNNNNNNNNNNNNNNNNNNNNNNNNNNNNNNNNNNNNNNNNNNNNNNNNNNNNNNNNNNNNNNNNNNNNNNNNNNNNNNNNNNNNNNNNNNNNNNNNNNNNNNNNNNNNNNNNNNNNNNNNNNNNNNNNNNNNNNNNNNNNNNNNNNNNNNNNNNNNNNNNNNNNNNNNNNNNNNNNNNNNNNNNNNNNNNNNNNNNNNNNNNNNNNNNNNNNNNNNNNNNNNNNNNNNNNNNNNNNNAGAAUCAUUACAUAAAGGAUUGUUAUUACUAAUAGAUGAAGUUAUUUAUGUUGUUAAAUAUAAUUAAUGAAUUAUAUGCUUGAUAUUAUUGUUUUGUGAAAUCUCACCCCUUCUGCUUGGAAAUGUUGCUCUUCGUAUGAGUAACUUGCAGGUGAUCGAGUUUAAGUUGUUGUUAGAUUGUUGUUGUGAGUGAAUUAUCUCUCAUGUGUGUCUUUAGGUGCUCUGAUACAUAACGGGAUGGGAACUUUGUUGCAUGCUUUUCGAUUCCUUACGUAUUGCUUAUGAAUUUACAUAAUUAAGUUGUUAAUUGGAUUUUUAUGAGAUACUUUGAUGAGGCCUUCGUGCCAAAAUUAUUUUUAGAUGUUCGAAUAAAUUCCGCUGCGAAGUAUUAAAUAUUAUGUUAUUGAAUUUUGAAGGAUAAUUAAUUAAUUAUUCCGUUUGUGAUUUUAAGAAAAGAAAUGUGACAUUCCGUUUAUGUGAAUUACUCUGAUUAAAUAAAUGAAAUUUUUACGUUGGGAAAACGGGGUGUUACAGUACACCCGCAAAUUAAGGUGUACCGGUACUCCUACUUCAAAAAUCUUUAAAAUAACUAUUAUUUUUAUGGAAUAAAGUGCUAUUUGUUGAUAUUUUUAUUUUUAAAAAUGUCAUUUCAUAAGAAAAAACAUCAUUUCAUUGUUUAUAAAAAUCAUACUAAUUUUUUUUACAUUUUAUUGUAAAAAAUAAUCAAAAUUCUCUAUUAUGAGUACUAAAAAUUCAGAAAAAUUUUAUUUUAUUUCGUCGACGUUUUUGGUGAAUAAGAUUUAAUUAUAGAUGAUAGAAAAUAACAUUUUUUUUCAAAAAAUAACACAUUUAACUAUUAAUUUAUUGAUUUGAUGUACCAAUACACUCAAAAUUUUGAGUGUACCAUAUAAUUUGCCCAAAAAAAACUUAAACAAAAUUCAGCACCAUCUAUUUUAUAUGUCACUAUCAAAUAGAUCAUUGAUUUUAUGAAUAAUCUAAAAAGAUCUAAGACUCUAUUAAAUUUUUAAAUUGGUCUUUAUUAUUAAACAACUUACAAUCAAUUCAGUACUCAUAUUUUAACAACAUACCGUCAAUUUGGUCCUUAAGUUCAUGCAUUUAUUGUUAAUUAAAUCUCUACCAUAUUCUUUAAAGGACUUCCAUGACUAAAAUUUAAAAGAAUUAAUAACUCUAUUGAAAUUUUCGUAUUGAAACAUAAAGUGGAGAUCUUUUUCAAUGUGAUCUAUGUAACGUCCUUGGCUGACGAAGGUGAGGAGUGGUCGGUCUCGCUCCUGACAACUUUUAGGCAACCGGAUCAUAUUGAAAUGAGAGGGGUUAUGAGACUGUGUAUGUAUGAGAUUGCACGGUUAAAGGAAUGCUUAUAAGAAUUGUUUGGUAUUUUCCUCAACAAAAAAAAUUUGUUUGAUAUUAUCUAUAUCAACAAGAUGCAUCUUAUUUUCACAGGCAAUUCCUUAUUAACUUCAUAAUUAAGCGUGCUUGACUUGGAUGAAUAACCUUCUAUAAAAUUUCUCAAAAACAUGUGAGUGAGGACAAAACACGUCAAAAAAACUCAUGUUGGACUAUAGGAGGAAGGAGGAAGGGUUGGAAUUAGAGGAAAAUUGUGUUGAUGGUUUCACUACAUGAACAUUUUACCAUGACGUGUUGCAGGACUAGGUAUAUCUUUUAUAUGAUAUUCUUUUGUAUUUAUAAUUUGAUAUAAAUCCCUCAUGCAAGACUUAGAAUGCUAUUCAAGGGUUUUGACGUUAUUGCCUUCUCAAACAUCAGAUUGGAUUGGAUUUGAACUUUGAGAUCUCUUGUUAAACUUUUUUUUAAACAAUAAUGUUAUCGUAUUUUAAGUAACAAUAAUGUUAUCUUAACACUCUUUUUUCCCUACUUUAUUUAUUAUACACCUAUGUAAAAGGACAUUUUAGUCGUUUCAUCUUAUGUGAAAGAGAAUAUUAGAUGGGAUGGUAAAGACUAUGGAGAAAGUCUACUUUAGUCACAAAUAUAAAUGAAUAGUGCUUGAACAUACUCACAUCAAAAUAUAUAUUUUUUUUUUUAAAAAAAAUGGAAAAUGCUAGAUAUCAAAAUGAUUUAGUCUUCAAAGAAAAAAGUUUUUGACGUGUGUAUGAUUAAAUACUAUUCAUUUAUAUUUGUGCUCAUACAAAAAUGCUUCUCUCACAUUUGUGUAUAAUGAUUGAUAGAAGAAGUGUGUGCCACCCAUGUACUAAUCUAUUUUUAAAGGAGAUUAUUAAUUAAACUUGAAAAUAUCCCAAAAUCGUAUCUUUUGAGAUUAUUAAAAGUAAAAAAUAAUUAUUUUUUUAUAAAAAUCCAGUAUCCUAAAGUAGUUUGACUCCACGUGUUAAGCUGCAUGUUGAGGUUCACCAUUGCAUGCUGCCACCUUUCCCCUCCAAUCACAUCCCUCAUCUCACCAACCGCCACAACCACCUACAUAAACGCUCUAUAUAUCUCAAACAAACAAGGUCAAAAUCGCCAUUACCCCACCAUCCAAGUUCCGUGGAAGCAAACACCGCAGAAGCAAACAGAGCAAAACAGAGGAAGGUAGCAGCACAGCGAUGGUAACAAAACCAAGCAUGUCUCUCACGUGUUUUGCACGUGUUACCAUCUUCCUCUACGCUCUAACCCUAUCAACUGCGUUUCACCGCCAUGAAAACUUGAUUCAGGACGUGGCUAGAAAGCUUGAGCUCAAAGACAACGAACUUCUCAAAACUGAGAAGAAGUUCAAAGUUUUCAUGCAAGAUUACUCCAAAAGUUACUCUACAAGGGAAGAGUAUUUACUACGCCUUGGGAUUUUUGCCAAAAACUUGGUCAAAGCUGUGGAACACCAAGCACUUGAUCCAACCGCCAUUCAUGGUGUUACUCAGUUCUCUGAUCUCUCUGACGAGGAGUUUGAACGGUUCUAUACUGGUGUUAGAGGUGGAUUCCCCUCGAGUAACGGCGUUGGCGAGGUUGCACCACCCUUGGAUGUGGAAGGAUUGCCGGAGAAUUUCGAUUGGAGGGAGAAAGGGGCUGUUACUGGAGUCAAGAUGCAGGUACAUGAGUUUAACAUUUUAACAUGCAUGUUUGAAAUUUCUAGUUUUUCUUUGUGGUUAUAAAAUUUUGGUUAUUGUUAGUGUCUAGUUGAGAAAGUAUAUAUGUUGAAUAUGAUUUUUUAAAGUUUUGUAUAUGAAGUAUUUGAAAACUAUAGAAUUAGAUAAUAAAAUGAAAACAAUGUGAUAUUUAUAUAGGAAUGAUAAAACUUAGUUUUUGUUUUUUUUUUUAAUAUUGAGGAUAAUACUUGGUUCAAGUUGUUUACAUUUUUACAAUACUAAAAAAAAAGUGAAGUAAUUUCUAUUAUGUUUCUAUAAAAAUUGUUUUUGGUUUUUGUUGUGCUUAAUUUUGAAACAGGGUACAUGUGGAUCUUGCUGGGCUUUCAGCACUACAGGAUCUAUAGAAGGAGCCAAUUUUCUUGCCACAGGAAAACUCCUCAGUCUUAGUGAACAACAGCUUGUGGACUGUGACAGCAAGGUAUAUAAGCAUCUCUAUGUUUAUGACUUUUUCAUUGAAGAUUAACUAUGUUCUAUACUUCAAAAUAUGAAAGAAUGAAUAAAAAAAUUCAAUGUUAUUAAACAAGUUUUAAAUGAAUUUCGCAAUGAUUCAAGCCAAUUAUGCUCUUGCUAAUCUUGUGUUUUAUUGUUCUACUAUUUUGCCUUUGUCAAGUGUGACAUAACAGACAAGACAUCAUGUGACAAUGGUUGUAAUGGAGGUCUUAUGACAAAUGCCUAUAAUUAUUUGCUUGAGGCUGGUGGAUUAGAGGAGGAAAAUGCAUACCCUUACACUGGUGGUAAGGGUGAAUGCAAGUUUGAUCCAAAGAAAAUUGCAGUUAAAAUCACAAAUUUCACCAAUAUACCUGUGGAUGAGAACCAAAUUGCUGCAUAUUUAGUUAAUCACGGUCCACUUGCAAGUAAGUCCCUUUAAUUAAUUAAAUUACAAGUUCUAACAUAUAUGCAUGUGUGAUGAAUUGUGAAACUUAGACGGACACUCACAUUGAUUGAAUGUAAUCACAUGCAACACAUCAGACUCCGACAAACUUGAAGUAUGUGCGACAUUGAUUUGUCGAUCUUUGUUUAAUUAAAUUGAUGUUGAUGAUCAUGAACUCUAAUUUGUGCAGUGGGGGUAAAUGCGGUUUUCAUGCAAACAUACAUUGGUGGUGUGUCAUGCCCUCUCAUAUGUAGCAAGAGAAUGCUGAACCAUGGUGUAUUGCUUGUGGGAUAUAACUCACAAGGUUUCUCCAUUCUUAGGCUUCGCAAGAAACCAUAUUGGAUCAUUAAGAAUUCGUGGGGAGAACGAUGGGGAGAAAAAGGGUAUUACAAGCUUUGCAGAGGGCAUGGUAUGUGUGGAAUGAACACAAUGGUUUCUGCUGCAAUGGUCGCUCAAACACAACCAGCUGAAAACAAAUCAUAUGCUUCCUAUUAGCUAGCUACCUAGUUCUGUUCUUGCUUUGCUAUGGAGACAGAAAAAGUGUGGAGUAUUGGCGAUAAGUUCUUAUUAUUAUAGCAAAAUAGUUCCUUUCCUAUUAGGUUUGAUAUAUGUAAGAGACUUCACCAAAUUGUAAUAAGUUUGCUUCUCCAAUUUAGUUUAAGUUCCCUCUUAAGAAAUGUAUUGUAGUGUGUGGAUGUAAUGUAUACUAUAUGAUAUAUGAUUAGGAAUGUGUGUGUUAUAAGGUGUUAAGACCUAACAAAAUCUUUCUACAUUUGAAAGUGGCACAUUGGGAAUAACCCAAUUCCAAAAUCUAAGAAUAUAGUGUUAAGAUAGAUGGUAGAAAAACCUCAAAUGCAGACAAUUAUAUAUGCUUAAGCUAAAAUGAAACAGUCUCUUUUUUCUCUCAUAUAAGUAACUUUAAGCAAUGUUUUAAAAAGUUGUAUUUUUCAAUGAAAACGUUUAUACUUUUGAGUAUUAAAUUCAAAUUAGAAACAAGAACAGUCAAUUAACUGUUUUACGUGUGUAACAGCUGUGGAAAUAUAUUUUGUGAAAAUAUAUUUUCACAGUUGAUAUGAUAUAAGCAGAUUCUAAAAAAAUGAUGAACAAAAAACAGGGGAAAUAGACAAGUUAGAUCGCGCCUUUAGAAUAUUUCUUAUAUAUAAUUCAAGAACAAUCAUCACAAAUCCGUUGUAGUCUAGUUGGUCAGGAUAUUCGGCUCUCACCCGAAAGACCCGGGUUCAAGUCCCGGCAACGGAAAUUUUUUUUGUUAUCUCGAACAUGAAUUCACACAAAUCAGUUAAUGAUAUUUAUGCUCUUAAUAUUUCCCUUUUUUUCUUUGAGGUGUGCUCUUGAUAUUCAAUGUUCUUGCAAUUUUUUUUUAAGUCUGACAUGCCAGAUAAAUAGAAAAUGGUUGUAAUUUACAUGAAUCGAAAUAUUGUAUUUAGCAUGAAUGAAUUUGGUUCUAAAAUAGGGAUUUGUUAUUUGAAAUGAUUUCACUUAGUAAUCGAACUUUUUUUUUUUUAAGCAAGAUACUUAGUAAUCGAACUUAUUAACCACUUAAAUUGAAUUGUUUGAUUUUUUUUUAAUAAAGUUCAAUUGCUUGAUUAAAAAAUUAAUUAUACUGACUUAAAAUAAUUAUUAUUUAGAUUAAACAGUGGUGUAAAAUAGUAAAUUAUUAUCUUUUUGAAUUACUCACAUAAAAGGAAGAUGCGUUUUAUUACAUGUGAUUAAUUUGAAAUUAGAAAUAAAUCAUCUCGAUUUUAUUUUUUAAAAAGCCAAAAUAAAUGUAGAUAAAAACCCCCUAUCAAGCAUAAGAUAUUCUUAACAAGGGAACAAAAGAGUACAAGUGAUCAAGGAAAACAAAACAAAAGGGUUAGUCCAAUGCAAACUGAAGGGUAAGGCCACGACAUAUGAAAGUCGAAAAAUAAGUUCGCAUUUAGAGCUUUAAACCAUCACCAUAAAUAAAGCUUAACAUGAUCUAAUAGUUGCUUCUUAGAUGAGAUUUUGGCGGAGAAAAAAACUCGGAGAAUUAUACUCCUUUCAGAUGACUUGAAUACAUAUCAUCUAGAUAACAUGAAAACAAUAGCAGAUAUCUUUAUAAAACAAGUGGGAGCCAACAAAUUGAAACACAGGUACCCCAUCACAUCAAUAGGCAAGACACUUUGAACUUCUGACCAACGGAGAACAUCAAUCCAAAAUGUUGUCAAAAAAAACACACACACUCAAAAAGUAUAUGAUUAUUAGUUUUCUCUAUUUUGCAACCCUCUAAGCAUACUAACGAAUUCAGGUGAAUGACGAUGCGACACACCAAAUUGUCUUUGGUAGGAAUCAUCUUGUUCAAAAGCCUCAAAACAAAUAAAAGCACCGCGUUGUUUCAAAUGAUUUUUGUGAAAGAAUCGUGAAUAUGUUGCUCCACUUGGGCAAAUAAAUGAUACACUCAUUUGGUAGAAUCAUGCUUCCAAAUUCAUUUGUCUGACAUGCUAUCCUACAAAAUAACGUUAUCGAACAUAAAAAUACACUCUCCCACAUGAUCCUCCUCCCAAGCAAGUAAUAUCAUCCACCAUGAACAGUCUACCCCCCACCCACCAUCAUCAUCAUCAUAACCUCUUCACUUCGCUGCUGAAACAUUACCUUCUACUGUCAACUCAGACAACCGCCUAACGCUUACCCACAAUGGUACUCUCUGUAACCAAGGAUCAUUUCAAAAAGAUGUGUUUUCACCAUGAUCCACUCGACACACUACUUCAUUUGCGAACAAACCACCCACAUCUGGAUCAACUUUAUCUUUAAUACAACAUAAGUCUUUUCACCAACCCAACACCUUACUACUCCUUUCCUUUUAUACAAAUUUAUUAAUACUUGUGUGCAUGACAAGUUUUAGUAAUUAGUUAUUAGAUUAUUUUGUGUCCUUCUUCUGGGUUCGAACCAGGAUUUUCAACUCUUUAUCACUUAGCACUAGUUAAGCUAUCCGAUCUUACAGGUGGAAAUAGGCUAGGCUUUGCAAGGCCUAAGUCAAUUGUGUAAAAAAAUUUAAGACUUGAGUCUGACUUAUGGCUUGUCGUAAGCUUUUUUUUAGGCCAAAGUCUAGCCUCUUGAAAGUCUAGUAUGACUUUUUAGUCUAUUUAAAAGUGUAUUUCAUAUGAUAUAUGUUUAAAUAGACUAGCAUACUAAUAGAUCAAUGAGAUUAAAUUCUCUUUUGAUAUUUAACAUGAUUUUAUAGAGAAUUCAACUAUAUAUGAUAUCGUAUUUCAGUUCUAAUUUAUAAUAAUACAUUUAAAAAAUAUGUGAACAGUGAAUGUAAACAAAUAAGCUUAAAUUACUAAAAAUGUUGACAAAUUUAUAACUUAUUUCAAAAUACAAAGUUUAAUAUAAUAAUAAACGUGGUAAUAAAUAAUAUCAUUUCUAUUGACUUCCUUUAAAAAAAUAUUAUUAAUAUUGGCUUAAAUAGGCUAACUUCAUAGGUCUUAGAAGCCUUGUUUUUUUUUUUUUUUAAAUUAUCUUUUAUCUACCAUUUUUAGCUAAAUAGAUUUAUUAAAAAGUCUAAGCAUUAUAUAUUUUAAAAAAAGUCUGAUGUAGACUAAUUCGUAGGUCUCGCUAAGUCGGUCUUAUUUAUUUUCACUCAUAUCCAACCCCCAAAAAAGUUUUAUUUAAACUAAAAAUGUACAUGAAUUAAAUCAUUUAGUUGGUAAAAAAUUAGCUCCUACAACUUUUGUCAAAAAUAAAAAUAAAACUUUUUGUCAUAAAAAAAUUCAUAUCAGUAUAUGUAUAUCAUAAAAAAGAAAAUCCAAUGAAGAGACAUUUUAGAAUGAUUUGAUUGAAGCUUUCAUAUCUCACCUUACAAAUUGCAAUCAAUUAUUUUGAUUUGAUUUGUAAAUGCUUAAAUUAAGAUUAAAAGGACUUGAUACACUUUAAAAAUCCAACAAUUUAGCCGGAUAAUAAGGGGUGAAAAUCUUUUACUUAAAUGUUUUGAUUUAAAACCAAUAAAUAAAUUAUCUUGAUUUAAAAUAAACAUAUUUUCUUACUGGUCCACCUAAUCAACCCAGAUUUUCCAAUGUCUCAAACCAAAUAACUCCUACUUGGCCACCACGCCAGCGAAGGUGAAAAGGAAACAGCAUGUGGUUCUAAUCACACAAAACAAAUUUACCAAAACACCCUCAAGCAUCUUUUUUAUCCUUAUCCACUUUUUAUGACUAUUAAUGGUUGGUAAUGGGCAAUGUAGACAUAUCACAAUUAUUACACGUUUCUUCCAAUUUACAACUAACAACUACCGUCCAACAACUCUUACAAUUAUCCAAUAAAAUCCACAAAAUCGAAUAUUCAAAAAACACUUUUUUUUUUUUUUCCUUUUUUACAAGACAACUUGCGACUCGCCCACAGACAUAAAAUUCAACAAAUAAAAACACACAGAGAAGUGAAAAAGAUUGCACCUUUUGUUAAUUCUUGUGGUUUAAUGCUUGUUCUGAAGCAAACCCAUUUUUCAUAAUUGUAUCUUGAUAACGUUUUCAUUUCUUUCUGCUUCAAUUCAUCUCUUUGGUAAGGGUAUUUUUUUUUUUUAUGAAAAGACAUGAUUGAAAAAUCUUAAAUUUAUGUUGUUUUGAUCAUGUUUUGUUUUAUGGUUUCUUGAUUUUGAUUCAGAUCUCAAUUGGGUUAUUGUUUUUGCACUUUUUUUGUUGAAUGCAUUACUCACUGUUUGAAAAUGUUUAUGUCUUUUCUUGUUUUUCUCUGUUUUUUGCUUGGUAGUUUAUGUUUCUUGUGUGCAUGCUAGUUACUAGUUAGUAGUAUUCAUGGUUUUCUGUAUGAAAACGUGUUAUUUAAUAUUUUGAUUAAUUUGAUUAUACAUUUGUAACCGACACAAGGCUUCAAACUAUAUCACUAAUCCGAAAUGCGGGUUCUUGAUUGGUCUAUACAAUUAUUUUGCAGUUUUGUUUAUAUUCAUUAAUUAAUUAAUUACGAAAUUUGGUUAUUUCAAGUGAGGUGGGUUUAAGAUCUUAAAGUAACACAUCUGUGUUCUUCUACUGUGAUUAUUUUAUCUCAGAUCUGGAAAGAAAGUUAGUUAAAUUAGUUAAUGAAAUUCAAGUAUUUGAUGGGAAUAGUACUUUAUAAGGUUUUAGAUAAUUAGGUUAGAUUAUAUAAAUAAAGUUAAUUAAAUUAGAUUAGUAGGGGCUUCAAUGUUAGUUUCUUGACUUAAUCUUAUCUUUUGAAACAAAUUGUUCGGUUAUUGACUGACUAUGAAGCACGGGCAGAGACACCGGACACCCCGACACACCAACACCGAUAAUAAUUUGAGAAAAUGACAUAAUUCAGUGUAACAAUAUGUGUUGGUGGGUGUCGUGUCAGUGUCGGACAUCGGGACACACCUAAUUCGAGGAGUGUCUGUGCUUCAUAGGUUAUUGAUGCAAUUUAAAUUUAAAUCAUACUGCUGUGGAAGAGCUAGGAAAUGUGAUGACGGUUUCUCUUUAUGUAUGAAAUUGUGUAGUUUUUCCCUAUUGAAGCUUUUUUCUUGUUAUGCAGCAACAGCAACACUGACGAGUGAGCAUUAGUUUUUUUCAAAACCCGUGACAUUCGAUUGGCGAUAACUGCUAGGAAGCUUGGAGGUACUUCUAAUCUUUAGAAGGAAAUAAUUAUUAGUAUUCAUUGUAGUAUUAUUGUGGAAUACAAUGGAGGUCUGUGCUGAAAGUACCCAUUGCAAUGGGAAACAGACUUUGAAGCAUUCUAAACCUGCAGAUGAAGUAAAAAGAUCAAGUGAAAACACUUGCAGAUGUUCUCGUCCAAACGGGAAGCAAAAUUUGAAGCAAACUUCCACUUUUGUCAAUCAUGGUGAGUCUUUCAUGAUCAUGGAUUCAUGGUUUUGUAUUUGCUUAUCACAAUGGUUCCACACGAUUAUAAUUUUUACUCUGUUGUUUAAAACCUAAUAUUGGUGAAUAUAUUAUGCAGCUGCAAAUGCUUGGCAUGAGAAUAGAAAAAAGUGGGUUGGCGAUAAGGCUAUGCAUUCACCAAGAACACCUAAGGAUCCAAUUAUUAGGUAUACCCCAAUCCAGCUCCAUUUCUUUUCAUUUACAGCAGUUUCAUUCGUUGUUAACACUAAUGAUGGCAGAUUUGAAUGGUUUUCAUCAUCUGUUUUUAUUUGAGAGAGAAAACAAUAUAAAGAAAAAAAAUGGGAUAGUGAAUUAGAAGGGGUUUUAUCUUUCACAUUUUUCUUGUUUCUGCAUUCAUGUUUAAGAAAUAAAAAUUACUUUGCUAAUUGGAAUCAACAUAAUUCAUUACCCUUCUAAUCAUGCUCCCCUUUUCUGGUCUUACUCUUACUUAAAUACUACAAACUCUAAUCAGGCAUACUCGUAUAGUCUUUUUCAGGGUAAAUUUACUGUUUACUCCCCUCUAGUUUCUCACAUUUUCAAUUCACCCCCUCAAUCUCAAUCCCCCUUUGCAUUGAAGUGAACUGAAACUGUUUAUAAUAUUUUUACAUGCAUAUUUCUUGUUGCUGCGUUGAUUGCAGAUGGCACAAUGUACGUGCCACACAAACGUUUGGUUGCUAAUAGCUUUAUUCAAAUACACAAGAUUUGAAAACAUAAUGUGCCUCUCUUAUCAAGAGCAUUGAUCAAAACAUACUAUGUACUUUUGUUUGAUUUCCUUUCAAGUGAUAUGAUAGUUUUGGGGAUAAUGUCUAAACCCGUGUUUUAGUACAAUUGGUUUAUAGAUAUACUGUAGUAAUGUGCUUUCCAUAAUUUUUAUGCAUUUAUUUGGCUAUCAUUUUAUGACAACUCACAAUUUUAUUUAAUUUAUUUCAGCUGGUCAACAUCAUACGAAGACCUACUUUCUACUCACGAACCUUUUGCUGAACGAAUACCCUUGCCUGUAAGAUGUCAAUACCCUUAGCUUACCUAAAAGAAUACAUGUAAUAUAUUAAAAUAUAUAUGUUCAUACAAAAUCUGCUAAUUGAAGCUGAAGAGAAAGGAAAAUCACUCUUUGAUGCUCUUUAGAGUUAGAUAUUUGCAUACUGUUUGAAGUCAUUGAAUAUGAUGCUGUAGCUUUACCUGCUUUAAGCUUUCUGUAUAUUUUUUUCAAUGUACUGAUUCAUAUUUUAUAUGGAUUUGUGGCUCAUACAGGAGAUGGUAGAUUUCUUAGUUGAUAUUUGGCUUGACGAAGAAGGCACCUUUGAAUAAAUCGUUGACGCUUCUUGUACAACAGUAACUGAAACAAGAAGUGUGUAAUACCCUUUAACCAGCAAUAACCUCAAUUAACCACCUAGCAUAGCUUGAUUUGAUGUAAUAGUAUUCUUCAGGGUUGAUAUUUUUUAUUGUAUUCCUGAUUUUCUUUAUGUGCCUCUCUUAGGAGACUCUGCUCGAGUCUGGUUCCCUAGAGGCUUUUAGUUUUUUUCUUUUGGCCUUUGUUCCUCUUUAUUUAUUCACAAAAAAAAAAAAAAAAUUAUUUUUCCACCAUUUAUCUAGUAAGUUUUAUUGUGAAAAAAGUAAAAAUAUAAAGGUUAAAAAGUUAAAACGCGCCAGGUAGGGGUCGAACCUACGACCUUCUGCUUAGGAAACAGACGCUCUAUCCACUGAGCUACAAGCGCAGUUCUUAUGGUCUGUAUUAUAUAUUUCAUGUUUUGAUCAAUACCACUGAGCUAAAGACGCUCUAUACAACAUUAUGUCAUUGAACAUGUGCCUGAGUAAAGUUUGAAUGUCUUAUUCAUUUGGUCAUGAAACGAUAGAAGAGGAUAAACAAAUAUGUACUGACAUUUGUUCUAUGGACAAGUGGCACCAAAAUUAGGUGUCCUUGAAUAAAUUAUUGUAUUCUACAAACAUUUUAUAAAUAAAUAAUAGAUAUAUUUCAAAACCUUUUUAAAAAUAACUAUUCUAAUUUUGUAAUUAGUCUUCCCUCAAGUAUUAUAAAUUUGUCUUGUGGUUCUCCAAUUCCGUGUAUUUUUUUUAUUUUAUAUAGACUCCAAUUCCGUGUAUUGUUUAGAUAAUAUAACAGUGGUUUGAACAAACUCAGCUUAUUAGUGUAGUUCAAUGGUAAAUGUAUAAACUUUAUGAGAAUGAUAUUAAAAAACAUUAACUUUAACUAAUACUUUUUUAUUUUUUACAUUUUUAAUUAAUUUUUUAAUCACAAACAUUUGUCCCGAUAGUGGUUGAUGGAUUCAUCAUACAUGAUGAUAGUGGUUGAUAUAUGAUUUUAUCGUGUAGCACUCACACAGGAUCUUUUCUCUUCCCUCCAACAAUUUUACAUGACACUUGCUCAACAAGCAAAGCAUGAGUUGGAUUAUUAUCACCAUAAUAAUAUUUUUUUUUUCAUUGUUUAAUUUGUUUCAUGUUUUGAUUAAUUUUUUUGUCGAACUUUAUUUAUUUUUAGAUUAAUAACAAUCGUUAUCCUUCUUUAAAAAAAACAAUUGUUAUCCUAAAUAAUGAACGGUUAACUUGAAAGAAAAAAAGUUAAUAGACAAUAAUAUUAUACUGUUUGUUGCUCUUUUAUUUAUGAUUAUGUCUAUGCCGCCACGUUUGAUAUAAUAGCUCAGUGUUAAGAGUUUAUCCCACUACAGUUAUCUCAAAUAUAUUUAUUUCUUAAAUUUAUGUGAUAAAAAGUAAUAUACCAUUAAAUUAUUAUACAUCAAAUAAAACAUAUUUUUAAUAAAAAUGAAGAAAUGUGAUUUUUUUUCUUCCACUAAACAAACAAUUUCUUCAUUUUUUAUUAAAAUAAUAAUAAUAUAAAAAUGAAAAAUUCCUUCUAUUUUUCUAAGUUCGAACAUAUGAAAAUUUUAACUUGUCAGAUAGAGUUGUGAUCUGUGUGUUUAAAAAAAUAAUUGUUGGAAGAUGUCAGCACCUUAAAUGACAAUCUUUUUUCUUUUUAAUAUUUGCUUUGAGCAAAUAAAUCACAUAAACAAAAGGUAACACUUUUACAAAUAAAUCUCACAAUGCACAAAUGUGUACACCACACUCUAAAGUUGUAUGUUGUAACUCAUUAUGUAGACCACAUUAUAAGGUUGUAACUCAAUAAAAACAUUAUGAGAAAAUAUUACAAUAACAUUCAAAAACAUAAAAUAAGUAAAACUCCAAUCUUCUGUUAUCUCUACAUACAUGUAUUCUAAACUACAAUUUGAUUACAUGUCACCUCACCAAUACCCCCUAACUAAUUUUCUAUAAGCAUUCAACAUAUGAUUCUCUCUUUUUCUUUUCCUUAUUUUCCAUCUAUCUAUUUAUUACUACAUAUUUACAUAUGUCAAGGGAAUAUGAUAAUAAUAAUAAUUUUGUAAAAAAAUUCUGAUAAUAAUAAUAACAAUAAUAAAAUUAUAUUUAAAAGUAUAGUUGAAAACGUGUGGUUAUUUGAUUAUAUGGUACAUUUUUUUGAUAAAUGUCUUUUAUCAAUAUUUCUUUUUUUAGGAGUUAGUACCAUAGAUAUGUUGCUCUCUUUUUUUAGUUUUUUUCAUCAGCCAUUUACAAAUUUAUUUAUUAUAUAUAGAAGUUCAACACAUAGCCAAAUAACCUAAUUAUUAAUUUAUAUAGUAAUAAAAUAUAUAUUUUUCUACUAAAAAAUGAUAUAACGUGUACCAAUAAAAAGAGAUAUCUUAACUUUUAAAAGUUGAAGAAUAAAAUUGAUCAAUAAAUGCUAUAUAGAGGUCAUAGCUUAAAUUAGUCCAAAUAAAUGAGAUAAUAAUAUAUACUAUAAAAACAAAACAAAAAAAAGUGUAAUUGAUCUAAUCAAUUAAAAUAUAUACCUUAAAGAUUAUAAAAACAUUAUUGUUUAAUUACACCAUCAUAAUUGAGUUUACUCCUUAACAUUCCUUCAAAUAUAACUUACAAAGUUGAAAAGUUCAGUGCAUAAUAAAUGCAUAAUUUUUCACAUUCACCCUCAACCUUCAUAGCCACCAGCCCACCACUUACCCAGACAUUUAUUUUCACCCAUUCCCACACUGUGUUUGCUAACACAAAAAAACUAACUUAUAGUUUGUUGGAUUAGCUUAUAAGCUUGUUUUUGUAGAAUGAGACAUGUUUGAUAAAAAAAAAAAUUCAUUAGCUUAUAGCGUUUUUUGAGAAGUUAAUUCAAGUAGCUUUUGAGCUUAUAGCUUAUAGUUUUUUAUAUUUUCUUCCAAAUUUAACCUUUUAUUAAUUUAGUUUAAUUUAAUUUUAAUUAAAAAAACUACCCAUAACUGCCCACGUUUAGCAUCAUGAUAUGGCUUUUCAAUUUUUCUUGUUCACGUUCCUUUUUACAUGCUCUUAAUUCAAUGAUAGAUAAUUUUAUAUAAAAUUUACAAUAAAUAGUGAUGCAAGUUUAGUUGAGUAAAAUUAAUGAAAAGGAAGUUUUGUUAAAUAAAAAUUGUCAAUUGAAUUAAUAAAUACAUUUAUCAUUUAGGAGAUGAAAAUAUUUUGAAAUAAAUUUAAAUAUUUAAAAAGAAAUACAUUAAGUAUUAAAAAUUGUAUAUAUGAUUUAUAAAAAAAAAACACAAACAUGCCCUUUUACGUCAUUUUAUAUUUAUCAGCUACUUCAACAACUAAUUGUACCAAACACUUUUUAUUUUAAUAAGCUAACUUUUCAGCUAUAAGCCAUCAGCUAUCAGCUAGCUUAUCAGCUACCAGCUAGCUUAUAGCUUCUUUUUACCAAAUACACAUUUGAAAAUUUACACUCAUUUAUUGAGUGUUUCUACCAUGGUGCUAUUGAUACUAGGGAAAAUUACACAGACCUCCUACGAGGUCUCUUUAAACAACACAAACACCCUUUUUAGUUUUAUAAUAGACAUAAACCUCUCCUAAGAUCUUUUAAAAUAGAUAAACACCUCCCUUUGUGACUUAACGGAAACUUAACACCGUUUGUUUUUAAUUUUUAUAACUAAAAGGGAUAAAAAUUCUCCUCUCUGAACAAUGUAAACAGCAAACCUCACAAUAAUGAUUCUAUGAUUUUAAACAAGAAAAACAAGUCUUCUGUGAUGGACUGUGAAUCUCAAACCAACCCCUUUCAUGGUUGAGAAGUCUUUAGUUGCAGAAUUUCCUUCCCUUUCAAAGUUAUGUAGAACAAUUAGUGUUGUCGUGAAAUUCAUUGUGAAAAGAAAUUGGGUGUAAAUUUUGAUGACAAUACAUGAUAUCAUAAAAGUGUGGGUGCCUUGGUACCUAAAGAAAUUGUGCUGUGAGAUUUUACCCAAACUCUAUGUUUGGUGAUGUCGUUUUUGUGGAAGAUAUAUUGUGCAAAACAUAAAAGUUUGAGUUGGAAGAUUUCUACUAGAAGAGGUCUCUUUCACUAACGGCACACUGAGAGUAUAACAAAUUUGGUUGAUGAAAUCUUUUUGGUGGAAGAUGAUGCAAAACAUAAAAAGUUUGAGUUUUUCUUUUUAUUUUCCAAUAACGCCAGUUUAACACUGUUACAUUAAAGGGAGGUUAGUGUUAUUUGUGAAAAUAGAGGGGGUGUAAGUGACAUAUUAAUAUUAAUAUACUAAAGGGAGGUGAGUACAAUUUAUCCUUUAUACUAUCAUAUUUAUAUGUACUAAAGUUGUUUGUAUAUUAUUCAUUUGCACUUAAGUAAUUGUAUAUUCAUUAUUUUUUCAGGUUGAGAGAAAUAAAUUUCACCAUAGAUAUGAUGCUAAUAUAUGAAAAGGUAUUCUUGAUUCCUCUUAUAACUAUUGUUCAGUCAAAAUUGAUCUUUCACUUUUUUUGACAGGUACUGAAUUUUGACUUAAGUUGUAAAAAUGGUUCUAAAAACAAUCUCACAUAUAUUAUUAACAACACGCUUUAUUGACAAUUGGAAAAUAACAACAUGCUAAGUUUUAAUUUGGCAUUUUUUUUUAAACAAAAAUGUUAUAUUUGGAAAUGUGAUUUUUUUUCUUCCACUAAACAAACAAUUUCUUCAUUUUUAUUAAAAUAAUAAUAAUAUAAAAAUGAAAAAUUCCUUCUAUUUUUCUUAGUUCGGACAUAUGAAAAUUUUAACUUGUCAGACAGAGUUGUGAUCUGUGUGUUUAAAAAAUAUUUGUUGGAAGAUGUCAGCACCUUAAAUGACAAUCUUUUUUCUUUUUAAUCUUUGCUUUGAGCAAAUAAAUCACAUAAACAAAAGAUAACAUUUUUACAAAUAAAUCUCAAAACACAUGAAUGUGUAGACCACAUUAUAAGGUUGUAACUCAAUAAAAACGUUAAGAGAAAAUAUUACAAUAACAUUCAAAAACAUAAAAUAAAAAAAUAGUAAAACUUCAAUCUUAUGUUAUCCUUAUCUCUAUCUCUAUCUCUAUCUCUAUAUACAUGUAUUAUAAACUACACUUUGGUUACAUGACACCUCACCAAUACCCCUCUUUCUAACUAAUUUUCUAUAAGCAUUCACCAUGUGGCUCUCUCUUUUCCUUUUCCCUAUUUUCCAUCUAUCUAUUUAUUACUACAUAUUUACAUAUGUUAAUUCUUAUAAUUCUUAAAUAUGUAACUGAAAAUAGAGUGAGCUUUGUAACUCCUUCCACUAUUCAUUAAUUAAGGGAAUGUGAUAAUAAUAAUAAUUUUGUAAAAAAAUUACAAUAAUAAUAAUAACAAUAAUAAUAUUGGGUAUUGUUUACACUUUAAUAUUAGCGGAACUUAUUCAAACAUAAGUUUAUUAAGAUUCACAUUCAUGUUUAUAUUCUAAAUUUAAAUUUUAAUAUUUGUUAUUCUUUUAUGAAAAGGGUAAUAUUUGUUUUAUCUAUAAAUCUAAGGCUAUACUUUUUUUUCCUUCCCAUUCUUGCUUCUUCACGUGCGCCAUAUUCGGAUUAUAAAAUCUCAAAAAUUAGAGGAUUUUUGAAGGUAUUUUAAUGUGUUUUGGAGGGUCUAUAGGACGUUUUACAUUGUUCGGAUUAUAAAAUCUGAAACUCAUAUGACCUGUGAGAAACUAGUAGUUUUUCCACCCUCAUUUCUUCUUGUGUGUGCGCGUGAUUAAAAAAUUGACUCAAUUGUAAAGGUGUUUUUUCUUUUUUGCGGGUGGUGACGAGGAAAAUAUGAAAAUAGUUUGGAUAAGAUAAGAUGGGAGAAGGUGUGCUUAAUUAAUGUGUCAAGGUGGGUUUGGUGUCAAGAAUCUGGAGGUUUUCAAUACUUCAUCAUUGUCAAAAUGAUUCGAAGACGCUUCAAGAUAGUAUUUGUGGAAUGCCUCAAAUAUGCACCAUUGACCCUACUUUCUUCUUAAGAAAUUCAUCGAAAGACAUGUCCUUCCACUCUACAAUAGCAUGGGAUAAUUUUUCUGAAAUAUGUCCACCUGAAACCCACCCGGACCGAAGCAUAUCACUAUAAGAAUUCUCUAAGGCUUUGUUUGCAAGUUUGGAGAAGAAGUGAGGGGGUUUUUAGAGAAAAAGAAGAAAGAACAAGUGGAAGAAAUAAAGUACAUUGAAAAGAGAGGGGUUUAGGCGUUAAUUUUUCUUCAUAAUACAAAACCCUCCUCAUUUAGGGAACUAAAGAGUUGUAUUGGAGGAGAGUUUUGGACGGUUUAUAUGAAUUCUUCAAAUUUAAUUUAUACUGUUAUAAUAUUAUUAAUAUUAAAAAUAUACGAAUCAUAAAAAUUCGUUUAUCAUUUUCUAAAAUAAUACUCUUUCAAAAAUAUGUGAAAGAUUUCUCCAUUUUUCUCUAUAAUUUUCACCUCUUAGAGUUUUUCCUUCCCCUCCCCUCCAAACGCUCAAACAAAUUCUAACAGUGAAGUGUUGUCAAAUCUAAAGCCAUCAAGUCUUACCAAUACCAAAUGGAGAAAUAAGUAGAGGGUGACGACAAAACAAGUUUAUCUGAUCUAGCACAUUGGCAACUACAUUGAAACCCCUAACCUUCAUCAUCAUUUGCUAAGGUUCUAUCCAAUCCAUCCAAUGUCUAUAAAAGAAAAAAAUUAUGAUGGCUCAAUCAAUGAAGGUUGUGUGUCUAGUUGGCAAAGAGUUGACAUUUUAAAAUAUAUCAUAUUGUCAUUAAGAUCUUUGACAAUUUAGUAGGUGUAAAAGUAUAUUCUCAGUUUUUAAAGAGUGAUUUGUUUAUAGAAUACAUCAUCCAUCUUAAAUUAUACUUCUUCCGUCCUAAAUUGUAUGACGUUUUGGACAUUUCACACAUAUUAAGAAAUGUAAUUAAUAUUGUGUGGGAAAGAGAUAUUAUGAGUUGUUUUACAAAAUUAUCAUUAAUAAAUGAUAUGGGAAAGAUAAAUGAAAGAAUUGAAAAAAGAAAGAGUAAUAAAUAGUUAAGGAUAUAAUAGAAAAAAUAACAUUAAUGUUUCAUUGGUAUUCUAAAGUGACAUACAAUUUGAGACGAAUAUUUUUUCUAAAGUGACAUACAAUUUUGGACGAAGGGAGUAUGUAGUUUUAAAAAAAAUCAUAAAUUAUAUAUCAUUUUACAAUAUCGACGAAGUAUUAAUGUUAUUUUUUUUAUUAUAUCCUUAAUUAUUAUUACUAUCUCUUCUUUCAAUUAUCUUUCUCGUAUCAUUUAUCAAGGAUAAUUUUGUAAAACAACGCAUAAUACAUUUUUCCAACACAAAAUUAAUUACACUUUAUUAAUAUUUACGUGUGAAAUGCCAAAAUAUCAUAUAAUUUAGUACGGAUGAAGUAAAUGAUCACAGGAAAAGAAAAAGAAAAAAGAUGUUUACAAGGUCAAAUUUAACAAACAAAAAUGCCCAAAUACAUGAACGAAGUACAUGAAAAUGAAAAGAAAACAAUGGCAAAUUACUAUUAAACCCCUGGACUGACUCAUCAAGAGAGAUGAUGCAUGAGCGAGUCUUGAGUCUGACGAAGUAGAGUAACUAACCGUUCUUGCUUCUCCAUGUUAUGACACGUGUCGUAAAAAAUGGAUCUUAAGAAAACAACAAACACCAUCGUUCGUAACCACCUUUUCCCCCCCACUCUCUCUUUCUUCGCAUUUUCAUUUUUUUCAUUUGCACGCAAAGCAACAACACCAUGAUGACGACGUUUUGGUUCUCUCUUGCGGUUGUACUUCUCUUGUGGUCCCCACCGUCUUCCUCCGCCGCUACCAUCAACGAUGAGAUAGCUAAGAAUCUAAUUAGAAACCUCAACCUCUUCCCUUCUCACGAUAUCAACAUACUCGACGCCAAACCCAAUGUGGAGGAGAAUCAGAACAACAACAAGAUCAUCGUUGAGAAGCCGCUUAAGUUUCCAAAUUUCUCCGGCGAAUACGACGAAGGAGUUUGCAUUGAUGACUUGGCUCAUCGUGCUGGAUAUUAUCCCAUUCAACACUCUCAUGCUGCUAAGUAAUUCAUAUUCCAUUUUUUCUCUUUCUCAUUUUCAAUUUUGUUAUUAUUUUAAUUAUUUUUUGCAACUCUUUUUCUUCUGUUUAUUUAAUUAGUAAUUGCUUAAAGUAUUACUUUAUUUAGUGAAUCAUUAAAAUAAUUAUAGAUUAUGUUCUCUAACUGACCCUGGGAUUUGUCUUCAUUGAAUUUAAUUGUUUAAUUUUCUCUGUAUCGUUUUGUGGAAUAGCAAUGUUGGAGAACACACAGAAUUUGUGUAUAUAAUAAUAUAUCUAUGGAUUUUAUUCAAUGUAAAGUUGUUUUAUAAAAUGUUUUGAGUAUUUACACCUUGAAAUUAAAUAGACUCUUGAUUUUGAAUUAUGUUGAGCAACUUGAUCAUUCUGUUGGCUUGUAUCUAAUUUACAGUCAAAUUAGUUACAUUAUUAUCGCAAAUGUUAGACGUGUAAAUGUCCGACCCCCUACAAUUUCAACAGGUGAAUUGGUAAUUUACUUAUGUUUUAUAUUAUCACUGACUCAAUCAUAGUUGUCUCAUAAUUAAUAUUGUUUUUAUUCAUAAUUACUUUCAAAACUGUUCAUGUGAUUGGUUGUGAUUUGUUGAGAGUCUAUACAAAUUUAACUUUUAUUACUAUGUUUUGGUUGUUUAUGUGCAGGAUGUUCUACUUUUUCUUUGAAUCCCGGAAAAACAAGAAGGAUCCUGUUGUGAUAUGGUUGACAGGUGGACCUGGCUGUAGCAGUGAAUUGGCUGUGUUUUAUGAAAAUGGCCCUUUCAAAAUUGCUAACAAUUUGUCCCUUGUAUGGAAUGAAUUUGGUUGGGACAAGGUAUUUAUAUUGUUAUAUUUGUUUGUUGUCUUGUGUUGUGUCAUUCAAUUAACUGUUUUUCCUAUAGUUUUGGUUUCUUGUGAUCAGUAUUUAUUGGACAUAACUAAUUAAUUGGUAACCUUGUAGGUAUCUAACCUCCUCUAUGUUGACCAACCAACUGGAACUGGCUUCAGUUACACUACCGAUAAGCGUGAUAUUCGUCAUGAUGAAGAUGGUGUCAGCAAUGACCUCUAUGACUUUUUACAGGUACUUGUAUUUUCUUCAAGUGUUAUGUUAGUUAUUCAAAACAUCGGUGCAUUGGCCCUUUUUUAUUAGCGUAAACGCUCAUCAUAUUAGUGCUUAUGUAUAGGUUAUUUUUAUAACAAAAAAUAAAAUAAAGUCAAGCAAUUUUCAUAUAAGUCGAAAACAACUUUUGGACAUGUCAUAAGUUGUUUUCAUAAGUUAUCUCAAACAGUCGCACAAGUGCUUAUUUUUAGUAGAUGAGGUCAAACAAGUAAUCCAAACAGAACCUUAAUAUGAUAUACUUGACUUAUAUUUAUUGUUCUAUGAACAUGAGUUGUAUUUACAGACUUGUUUUCAUUUCCUUACAUUUCUUGGUCGCUGUUCUUUGAAAUGCAAAACAUAUUGUUUCUUAGUUAUUGUUAUAUUGGAUAAGAGCACCUUGCUAAGCUUCACCUGUGAUAUCUUGAGAUAACAUGUUUUUUCUUUUCCCUACAGGCCUUCUUUGGUGAACAUCCCGAAUAUGCUACAAAUGACUUUUUUAUCACGGGUGAAUCAUAUGCCGGACAUUAUAUUCCGGCUUUUGCUGCUCGUGUCCACAAGGGAAACAAAGCUAAAGAAGGGAUUCAUAUAAACUUGAAGGUUUGCUACUUUGUCAACCAUUCUAUUUGAGAUACAUAUUGAAGGGUAUGAAAUCUUGUUUAUCUUAUUUGAAAUGGUUGAACAGGGAUUUGCCAUUGGUAAUGGACUCACUGAUCCUGCAAUUCAGUAUAAAGCUUACGCAGAUUAUGCACUAGACAUGGGUGUAAUUAAACAGGCUGACUAUGACCACAUCAACAAAGUGAUGGUUCCAGCCUGUGAAUUGGCAAUCAAACUAUGUGGUAAUUGACACGUGAUGUUGUUUCUUUAUCCUUUCAAUCAAUAUAACGUUUCUUCUCAUAUAUGUAUGCUGGAAACUAAGGUUCUUAUUGAAAUGAACAAACUCAUGCAUUGGAGUAUUUCUUUCUUUCUUUCUUUGAAAUGAAUGUAUUUUGAGUUCAACCUCCUUGCACAGUUCCAAAUAUCCAAUUUUAAAUUUGAAUCUGAACAUAGAUUUUUUAAAUGGAUCAAUCAUAAGGUUCAAUUCAUGCUCAGGCUUGCUAUUUUUUUUUAAGUAAUUUAAAACUUACUACAGUUAUUUUAUUUAAACUGCAUAUAUGACCUAUAUAUAAUUUAACGUGUCUUAUCAUAUAAAUACAUAUUUAUCUUAAUAUUAAAUGUAUAUUGCAAUCCAAAUUUGGUGUAUGAUAGAACACUAUGGCAUCAUUUGAUCCAUGUAGCCAACCCCACUUAGUGGGAUAAGGCUUGGUUGUUGUUGUAUUAAAUGCAUAUUGCUAUUCUUAUAUUGUUAUCUAUUUGACAUUAUAUGAAUUUCUUACAAAAUUUUACAUGUACCGCGUUAUAGUUAAAUGAACUGGUUUACUAUUUCCAGUCAUCAUGGCACCUUAUAGUAAUUUUUACUAUCCUGAUUAUUCAUGUAAUUGAAACAUCGAAGGACCAGAGGUCUCUGCUUCACUCUCAUGGUAAACUAACUAGCUUUUGUUAUGUUUCUUCUUAAUACUUAUUUUAAUCCUUUCAGGCACAGAUGGAAAAAUCGCAUGCACAGCUUCGUAUUUUGUUUGUAAUACUAUAUUCAAUUCCAUCAUGUCACAUGCUGGUGAUAUCAAUGUGAGUAACUCAGUUACUUCAUCUUCUGUGUGGUUUACAUGUCAUAGUACUUUAUUUUGUUAAGUUUACAGUGUGCCGAUGAACCUAAUAAUUAAGAGUAAGUUGAUAUUUGCAAGCCAUCAAUAGCUAAUAAUUAAUUACACAAGAUGAAGCAUGAUCUAAAUUACAAGCUUAUUUGCAGACUUCAUAGAAAUUCUGAUACUGUGUUAAAGAGUCACUCUUCCUAAAAAGCUUUUUGUUGUAAGUGAGAAGUGAAGAAGAUUUUAAUUGUGUCUUGAACAAAUUGUUGCUAUCUGUCACUUUUUGCUUUGCUUCCCAAAAUAAUUUCUUGUGGAAAAAAUAGUCACCCACACACCAUAUUAUGUUGUAGUAACAGGUUAUCAGGUUAUGUUUAACAUGGUUAAACAUGUGAAACAUUUUCCCGCAAUAUAAAUUGUCUUCCUUAUGCUGCUGCUUAAUAUUUAAAUUAUUAGGCAUUUGUCUUGACAUUUAUGGAGAAUGUGAAGUCUUGAAAGAACAUGGAUGUUCCAUAUUUAAAAUUUUGACCAGCAAUUAUUAACUUGUGGUGCAGUACUACGACAUCCGAAAGAAGUGUGAUGGGAAUCUUUGCUAUGAUUUUUCGAACAUGGAGAAAUUCCUGAACCAAGGAUCUGUUCGGAAGGCACUAGGGGUUGGUGAUAUUGAUUUUGUGUCGUGUAGUUCUACAGUUUAUCAGGCUAUGCUGGUGGAUUGGAUGAGGAAUCUUGAAGUCGGUAUUCCUGCCCUGCUUGAGGAUGGAAUCAAUUUGCUUGUUUAUGCUGGGGAAUAUGAUCUCAUCUGCAACUGGCUUGGUACGUAUUUAUCCAUGGCCAGAUUUUAGAUCUGUUUUGAACUAUAACAUUUCAUACUUGAACCUUUAAGGUGUAUUGAUGAUUUUUUUUUUUUUUUUUUCCGGUAAUAUUCAACGAAUAGGUAAUUCGAGAUGGGUUCAUGCCAUGGAAUGGUCUGGCCAGAAAGAAUUUGCAGCCUCAUCCGAAGUUCCUUUCACAGUUGAUGACUCAGAAGCUGGAGUAUUGAAGAAUUAUGGACCUCUUAGUUUUCUAAAGGUAUCAUUCUCUAUAUAACUCUUCCUUUUCUUUUGGUGCAAAAAGAUGGCAAAGCCCAAUCAAAACAUUAUAUAACUCUAAUCUCAAAUGAACACACCCCAUACAUAGGUACAUUACAUAUGUAUGACUGUCUUCCAAAAUCAAAUAGGAAGUUAUCAUUGUUGUGUAAGCUAUCCAUCAAUAUUAUAAGAAAUGUGUCUCUUGAGGUAAGGAGUUUUUGUGUUAUUUGGUUUGCUGUUGCUGUGCUGUGAGGGCAGUCAGGGUGCGAAAAUCCUGCUGGUGUGUGGCUGGUUUUUUGUUUUUUCAAGAGGAGUUCCUUUGCAUCAGUACUGGGAGGUAUAGAGGUGGAGUUUUUGGUGUGGCUGGCUCGGCUAAUAUGCUGUUAGCAGCAGUGCAGUGUUCGUCUUUUUUUCAUCUUGUUUUCGGUUUGGAGUAGUGAGGCACGGGUAUGCUUACGUAUCCGGAUGUUGCCGGGUUGCUACCCGUAUGUAUAUUUUGUCCUCAUUAUUAUCUAGGAGGAUAGGGGUGCUUGGUUUUUGUAGGUGUUCCGUAUAUAUGUGGCACCGUUUGCUUGUAUUUUCCGUUUUUUCCGCGAGUGUUUAUGCUUCUUGCAUUUUCUCGCCGUGAUUAAUAUUUGCCGUUUCAAAAAAACAUAUAGAGCCAGUUUGGAUAAACAUUUCAUCAAGUACUUUUGGAGAAUUAAAUAUCGAAAUAACCUUGUAAUACAAAUAAUGGCAUCUCAAAUAUAAGUUAAAAUUAGUUUCUGCUUCUUAAUUGUUCAGAAACUCUUGUUUAACUUUUUUAUAGCCACAUGUGUUUAUAAAAACGACUCCAUUUAGUGGGAUAAGACUUGGUUGUUGUUGUUGUUGUUGUUGUUGCCGCACAUGCGAUCAUAAAGAACUCUGUCUUUUAGAUGUAAUCUAGACCGUGUCUAUAAUUCAUUUACUACCAAAUUUCCGCAUAGAUUGGUAAAUCCUGACUCAGUUUGGUAUUUGUGUAACAAAAAACAGGUUCGUGAUGCUGGUCAUAUGGUUCCAAUGGACCAGCCCAAAGCUUCCUUACAAAUGCUGAAGAAGUGGACUCGGGGAACCCUUUCCAAAUCUGGAGCUGAUGAGGAAAUAUUGGUUGCAGAGAUGUAAUCUCUUCUUGCAAUUAGUCUAACAUCAAUUUGAUGAAAUGAAAAGAGAACUCCAACUAGUGGGAUGUUUGUUCUACUAAACAAAAUUCAUACCAUCUUAAGUGACAGAAUCAAGGCAAUGCAAGAAAAGAAUGAUUUAUAUAUAAUGUUAUGUCUAUAUAUGGUGUUUUGGUAAAAUCUGAUGUGUAGGUUGCUUACUCCCCAAACUACAAUCUAAUGUUUAAAUAGAAUGCAAACAAUAUAAGGAGUUGACGUAUUUAUUUAAUAAACAAUAUAUUGUUUAAACGUGUUUCAAAGUUAAUAUUUAUAGUAUUAUUUGGGUUGGGUCCGGUGACUGACGUGACUACACUUCAACAAUGUGACGAACCAAUAUUCAAAUUUUGGUUGGGAGAGGUAUUCAUGUUUAGUGUCCAACGUCUCGAUUAGAAUUACCUCCGAUUGAGAAAACUUAUUAAAAAAAAUUAAAAUAGUUGUAACUAUAAGAUAGGUACCAAAUGUUUCACCAAAAAAUGUUAUAAUCUCAUUAUAAGUUUCAGUUUUUGUGUUUACCUAAAUUUUUGUAUCAAGAAAGUACAUAAAAAAAACUAAUAAUUUAUUCAAAAUCUAAAUUUUACCUAACUAUAUUCUUUUAUAACUUAAAUGAUUUAAUUUGUAUGUGCAGUAAUUAUAACUAUGUUUUGUUAGACAUAGAUUCACUCACAUUUUAUUAUAUAAAUAUUUUGAAAACAACAUAACAAAGUGAUAUUAUUAAUCACAAUUUACUAUUUAGAUAUAUUUUUUAGACAAUUUACUUUUUGGAUAUUUUUUAUAGAAUUUUAAGAAAUACAUAGUAUGAUAUAUUUACACGUUUACUUACAAGUUACACAUAUUUUUUGACUGGUUAAUAUGGCAGAGAUUAAACAUUGUUAUUAGAUCACAAUAAAUGGAUAGAUAUAAAACACUGUAAUGUAUUUAUGAGUGUGCACGUAGAAGCAAACGGAUAAAAUAAAAGAAUUUAGGAAAGUUGCAGAAGAAGCAAAAUGAUGAUGUCAUUUGGCCUUGGAAUCUCUACGAACUGCAGCUGGUUGAGAUGUCACGCCCGAAUGCCUCCUUCAUGUUCCAUGUUUUCCCAUGUUUCAAUGUCUUCUUCACCUUCUUCUUGUUCCACCUUCAACUCUAAAUCUAAUAAUAAGCUCAACUGGACUCCAAUAAGAGCAUCCUCUGAAGGUUUGUCUUAUUUGAGUGUAUAACAUAAGUUAUUUUCAGCUUAUUUCCAUGAGUUGGAUAACUUAUGAAAAUAAUUUGACUUUAUACAUAAGAACUUGUAUGAUGUGUACUUCAUGUUAUAAACACUUGAACUUGAUUAAACUAUUUAUCCAAACAUGGAUGGAUGGUCUUGUUGCUUUAGUUUAUAUUCUCAUUCCUUGAAAGUUAUUUGCUUAUCAUGCAGGACUUCCUAAUGAGUUAGUUGAAGAUUCAAAAUUUGUUCCUAUAAAUGUUGAGGAUCCUAGAUACGGUCCACCUGUAAGUCAUGGUUAGUUUUCACUCAUUUGAAAUGUGAUGUUUAUCUGUCAUGACCAAAUGAUUUUCAACAUAAACACUUCUGCAGAAAUCUCAUAUGGGGGAUACUUUGUCCUCACUAUAUGUAUUUACCUUUGAGAGUCUAAUUUGAGUAACUUUUUUUUGUGAAAGAAUUUUCAAUCAAUCUAACUUAAUUAGGACCAAAACUUAGAAUGGUUGUCGAACCCAUUCAUACGUAGCUAAGCGCAGGGGUUUCUUUUAUUUUGCAGGCCUUAUUGUUGUUGGGAUUUGAAGCAGAUGAACAUUUUAAGGUGAUAUUACCAUCAUCCAUGCAAUAGGAUAUGAUAAUCCUUGUAAAGAAAUGUUGUUGUAGAUUCAUAUACUUUGUUAGUCUUGAUAGAUUUUACCUUAAUCAAAUGAUUUAGAAAUGCCUUCAGCUGUGCCUUUUCCUCGAUCUCUCUUUUGUAUCCCGUAAUAUUAAGUGUGUGUCCGUCCUGAUCAACAUACAUGAAUUUCUAAGUCAAUCAUUGCUCUGAUUAUUGUCUAUGCUUUCAAGAUGACCCAAAAUGAUUGAUAGAGCAACUCUUCUUGAAAAAUUUUAUACUAAGGAAAUUUCUACAUGUAAAAUGUUACAAGUACAGCAUGAAGUCUACUUUAUAAUAGUAUUAUUGUUUGCUUAUAGUGAAUUACAAAAUGGAUAUAGGCAGAAGCUUACAAUGAUUAUCUAGUGACAUCUUUCUCUAGAUAUAUUAGCAUUCAAUUACUUAGCCACUAUAUUAUUUUACAUCUUUCCAAAUGGGUCAUUCAAUCAUAGUUUAUUUGAGCUUGUGCAGAUUCAACAGUUUUUGAAAGAGUUAGAGGGUGAAUUCCUGAAGGUAACAAACAUCUUAUUUAAUGUCUUUUAUGUUCAUAUUUUAUUCGCAAAGCAAGAUCAAUAAGUAAAAUCCUAUUAAUAGCAGGGAGAGAGAGAUUAGUUAUUUGAUUAUUAUUUCCAACAGUCUGAAUAAACAAAGAUUUUUCCACUUUAAUGGUCAAAGAUUGUUCCGAUGCAUAACAACUACUUCUUUCAAUCUAUGGUGACUUCUUUGACCUCGAUAAUGCAAUAAGCUACUCUUAAAAAAAUAAUAGAAAAUGUAACAUAUUGCAUUGCAUUGUAGGUCAUCUAUUGUACCAAGGACAUGCUUACGCAUUCACUUUGGGAUGUAAUGCAUACAACACAAGAGAGUUUAGAAGAGGUCAAGGUAGAAUUUUUUGAACACCAAGUGAUGUACUAUUUUCAUCUAACUUGUGCUCCUUCUAAAUCUGUUCAUGAAUUUGUAGUUUUGUACUAACAGAUAUAUUGAUUUGUAGAAAUGAAUUUGUGAUGAGAAUAAGCUUCUCCAUUGUGAUUUUUGACAGCCAUUUCUUAUAAUUUCAUCAUUUAUUUGCAUCAAUUUUUAAGCAGGUGCUCAUGGUUAACUGAUUAUAGGUUUUCCGAUAUCAAAUUUAUGGAGAAUUAUCAUUUGUCUAGAGUGAUUAUAAAAUCUAAUUUUCUAAGCAUACCAAUCAAGAACUUUGUAGCAACGACUAAAUGAUGUUAGUUAAUAAAUAUGUUUCUAAUGUUCGAAGACCUUUUUAGCGUGUAGCAAUAUUUCUCUUUUCUUAAGUAGUGAGAUGACAUCCCUUACAUUCCUAAAUUAUAUUCAAAUCUCUGCACAUGUUCAGCAUUUUGUGCCUUGCAUUGCAGAUAGACAAGUCACUUCCACGAAUAUGUUUCUUAUCUGGUUUAAGUGGAGAGGAGACGAUGAUGUUCGUUGAUGCUUUCCCUGAAACUGGUAUAGAAAAUCUGUUCAGUGCUGAAGUGUUUAAGUUUAACACAUUGAUCUUAUCAAUUAUGCCUUUUGGUCUGUUAACAUUGAAAUCAUAAAUAUUUCUCUCAGUUUGGCACAUUUCUGUGCAUGAAUGAUAGAUCUACUGGUUUAGUGUUCACAUGUAAUUACUGCAAUUUGAAAAUUGUUUUAUGCAGGACUAAAACCAGCCGCGUUUGCGGCUCUUGUUCCCAACAGUGCUAACAAACCACUAUAUGAGUUGAUAGAAGAAAUCACGGGAGAUCAUGAGAUGUUGGUAGGUGUUUAUUUUCUAGUGUCAAUGUUUAUCACUAUCUUCUAGUUUAUAGUUAUGUGAAAUUGUCUUUUAUCAUGUGCAGACCGGAGAACAGUUGUGAUAAAAUUCCCAGUGAAUUCUAGGAGCACACUCGCGGAGCAUACGCAUUAUCAAUAUGAAUGUACUUAGAUUUGAAGUGUAUAAAAAACUAAUUCCAAAGAUUAUUCAAGUUAGCAAUUGAUUGUUUAUGUCUUUAUGAGCAUAUGCCUACUGGAACUGGAAAAUAUGGACGAGUCUUUUGUUAUUUGAAAUUUUCAAAAAAAUUGAAGAUGUUCUAAAUAAAUCUGGGUAUUUAUUUAUUUUAUUUACGAAAUGCUACUAAUAGUCCCUCACUCCUAUACGUCAUCUUAACAAAACUAUCUCAUUUUAUGUCUUUUUACAGUAUAAUGAAGUAUUAGUGUCUCUGUUCCUUUUUGGCAUAAGUAUUAGUGCCUCCUCUUUUUAAAUUUUUGGCAUAGUAUAAUGGAACACUAUAUUUAGUACUUAUGAUAUUAAUUGUAUUUUAAAUUUAUGUAUUGAAACCUUGAACAACUUAUAAUAAGAGAGAGUAUACCAAGAUAUUGAACAAAAAAGAGACAUCAAAUCUUCUAUUGACAAAAGAUAAAGGAAAAUGAUAAAUGGUACGAUUGUAAUGUCUACGAAGUUUCACGAACGAGCGGAUUUUGAAAUGUUUCACCUUAUAUGAGCACCUCUAUAUCAAUCUUGUCGGAUUCUUCCAAGCUAACACAUGUUUUUAAUUGACGCUUUAUAACACAUGAUGAAAUUGAUUUCUAAAAUACUUCUCUUCCAAAUUUCUAGUAAGGUGGUUGUAUUUUUUUAUGUUUAAUUUAAUCUACUUAAUUUUAAAAAAAUAAAAAAUUCGUGAAAUUUCAAAUGAAAGACUUACGUACUAUUUAGCAGUAAAAAUUUGAAUACAUCAUAAGUAUGUUCGUGCUCUAUUCUCUAUUCGUAACAUGUUUUGGCUGGUUUUUAGUAAAGAAUGAACAUUAUCUUAUUGAUUUUUUUUGUGAUUUUUUUUUCCUAUUCUCAUUAUCUUACUAAUUAACUAUUACUCCAUGUUCUUGUUCUUUUAAAUUUGUUUUAGACAAACACGAUUGUAUUUAUUCCAUUUAAAUUUUUUAAAUAUACCCUAAUUUGAUCCACUUAUCUAUUUACUUUCUUUUCAUCAAUAUAGGAUUAAAUAAUUAAUAAAUAUAAAAGUAUAAUUGGUAACAAAGCAACGUAUGGUUGGAUUCAAACUAAUAUUUGAUGAUACAACCAAAAGAGAUCUCUUAUCAUCUCAUUCAAAUGCUUUUGGAUUCUCAGAUGCUCAAUUCAACAUCAAUUUAUCUUGUAAUGAUAAAGAGAGAACGACAAAGUGUAUGACAUUAUUGGUAAUCACUUUGUUUUGGUUGAUAUUUCCUCUACGAUUGUUAACUUGAUUUCAGUACAGUAUUUCGUCUGGGAUGUUUCAAUUGAGGUGAGAAAGAGAUUAUUUUUUCCCCUAGCCACAACAACACCUUCCUUCCAUGUCAUCUUGUUCGUAAUCAUUAAUUAGAAUUUUCCACUUACUGGCGGCUUGCUUUGAAGCAUUCAUGGAUAUUUGAAAUCUGAAGGCAAAUUGGCAAAAUCUUACGAGGCAUAGUUUGUAAACUCAUGAGUGAAUGAGUACAUGGUGAUGGGGAAAAAUGAAACUGAAACAGCGACAACGAAUCGGCAUGGUUUGAGCAAGCUACAUGUGGCAGUGAGAUAUGUUGGGGAGAAAAGAACUAAAGAGAUCGCAUGUACUUAUUUAAUCCAACAGUUAAAUGGAACUUAAUUGAACCGGUAUAUUAGUGAGGGACUUAAUUGAACCCUCACCUUAGAAGCCACAAUUGUAUUCCGUAAAAAAAGAAGUUAAUUCUUGUGUUUUGUGGGCUAAUAUAUCGUGGAGUAAAGUAAUUCUGAAUGUAAAAAAAUAUGUAGAAAUGAAACAAUCAAAACGUUAAUGAAAGGACAUUAAACACUGUGUCCUACAAUCAUUUGCAUAAAUAAAUGCAAUUCUAUGUCAAAAUUUCCUCUGACAAAGCUAAAAAAUACAACCCCAGGAAACCCUGUCACCACUGAAAUAGUUGUGAUUGGAUUGAAUGGACGAAUCUACAUAAUUCCUGUCACAAACAUACAGCACCGCUACAAUAUACAAAGGCCUAGUGGACAAAGGAUGAGGUGAAAUAAUGCCGUGGUCAUCUGAUUCUCUUCCACAUCAGAAUCUCUGUAGUUUUAUGGAUAACGGCUCUAUCAACUAUACUAUACAUUCAAUAUAUAUCCACCCGCAUUAAAAAUUAUGAUUGCAUGCCACAGCAUCAGUGGCAAAUAUGUUCUCAAAAUCUAGGGAAGGAAAGGAAAUUAAUUCCCUUUACCUUAAUCACGCUACAGAGGGUCAAGGGAUCCACUUUUCAGCCGUUCCAUCCGUGCUUGAAGCCCUGACAAAGCUUUUUCAUCUACAGGAUGUACCCCACCUUGUAAAGUAUUUUCAGCUCCAACAUGUUCUGAUGCAAGAGGAAUCUGACUAUGAGGAAGUCCAUGGUUAAAGUUAUCGUUAACACUUGUCAAUGGCCUAGUACCAGAUUCUGUGCUCCCAGCAGCAGCUGCUAAUUGCAUGCUCUUCAUUCUCUCUCUGAUUGCAUCCAAUGUCCCACUUGUUACUGCAGUUGAGUAACCUCUCCAAGUCAAUAUUCUUUCUUUAAAAUAAACAAUUACGAAAAACAAAACUUACCAUACCUCCGGUCAUAAAUUUAUCAUUUCUUUGGUCACCUAAGGUGUAAUCAGAACUUAACACUCUCGAUGCAAAGGCAUUCACAGCCCUAUUCUCCUCACUGUAUGAUGAUGGCGGUAGAUUGAAAUUUGUUGGUUCGGAUUUCACAUUUAAUCUGGCGUCAUUCAAUGAAUUUGCAUUUACAGGAGAGAGGGGUGCAAAAUCUGGGGAAGAUAUAUUUAAAGAUGCUGGUGGAGGAGUCGGCAUUGGCAUGCUUGACGGAGUUCUUCCAGCUGCAGCAUUCUUCGCCAUCUGCCGAAAUGUUAAAAUCAAUUGCCAAUUGUCAAAUACUCAACUGUACUCGUCACAAUCAUAAACAUAGAAAUAAUAAUGCAGGUUCAGUUAAGCACAUAAGUAUUUUCAUCAACCUGGGCAAGACCAUCUCUGAUGUAAGUGCGAAAUGCCUCACUGGCAUUUUGAAGCUGAUCAAAUAUGUCAACCUAUGGUAAACCAAGAACCUUAAUCAAAUAUAAGAUAAAUAAAAGAAUACAAGCCAGAGGUUUAUUGAUAUGUGAAAAAUAACAUGAAACUUGAAUAUACACUUAAUUUGAUACCUCUGGGUACAAUUGAGUAAUCCGAUAAAGUUCAUAUAGACCAAUUGUGCAAGUUUGCUUCUCCCCGAUCUUCUUAAAUAUUGCAGCCAACUCUUGCUGCAAUUUAUUUAUUUUCAAGUAUAGAAACAGAAGACAAUGAAUGUUAGGUCAUUGCAGUUACAAUCAUAUAUGUAAUAACUCAUACAAGCACAAAAAACAGGUAAAACUGAUUAAAUUGAGAUAUAUAGACAUAGAAAGCACAAAGUGGCAUUAUUGUAUACCUAGUAUGCUUUUAAUUACUAAAUUUCCAAGUAUAAUAGCAUAAAAGUUUGAAAAACUAAUUAUAAAAGCUAAAGAUUAAGUACAUCCUAACUUUAUUCAAGAUAAACUUAAUGCAGGGAAUAAAACUAAACAUCGGUGACAAAAAAUUCAAAAAUAUUUCUUGCAUAAAAUAGAUUAUUUUAGUAGACUAUAAUGUGAAGGUUUUUACGACCUUCUAUACAUUAGAAUACAAUCAAACCUAAUUCACACCUUAAGGCAUCAUAAAAUUAUCCAUUAUAUUCAUGUAUAAGAGACGUUUAUACUAUUGAAAAAUUCGUGAUGUAUUUAAUUUACAAAUAGAAAAUGCCAUUGCCUAAGGAAGCAUGCAUGCCAUCCGAGCACUAAUUGUGAUACCCAAAACACUAAGAAAUACCUUCAACUGGGCAUCAGCAGAAUGGGUUCCAGCCGCUGAGUUAUUGGUUGCUGAAUCAUUCCAAUGGUUUGGCCCCCCGGGUCCAGAUGCAGUCAACAUUCUUGCAGCAGCCAAAGUCUGAAGUUUAAGUGUAAGAAAGAACAUAUAUUAACACAUGUAUAUAAAGCCCCCCCAAAAAAAUCAAAUGCCUACCUCAAGAUUAAGUUCAAUGUAAGCAAGGAUGAUGGGUUGAGGUUUCGUAUCGAUAGGAACCAUUGAGAGAUGACCCUUAAUUGCUGCACCACGAAGCUUAACAAGCUCGUGCAGAACAGUUUUCACCAUUCGUAAGGGUUUGUCAUCAGCACCGGCCCUGUUAAAUUGAAACAUUUUAUAAAAAUGAUUUAGUCAAAUAGAAGUAACUCGAUGCAACAACAAUGGCUAUAGCUAUGUACCUUCUCCUAAUUUCCUCCAUUCCCAAGUCUUGCAAGUACAGAUGGAUGCUUUGAAGUAUGCGAUCCAAGUCAACAUCAUAGAUGGUGCUCUGAAGGACCUGAAUUGCAUCAAAAUGCAUGUGAAAUAAUGCAACCAAGUUUUAAAGAUCAAGUCUAUCUGAACGUAAUUUUGUAAAUUUCAGCUGAGUCUUGACAUGAAAAAUUCGGUCAAUUAUCAAUAGAACUGUAUAAUUUAAGAUUUUUGCUACUGGGUGGCAAGUUACCUUUGUAAGCUUGAUAAGGCAUUUCACAACCAGAUCAGAAAACUUCUGGUUUCUGGUAGCAAGUGACUCAUUUGGUGCAGGUGAAGGCCACCUCGAUGGAUCUAGCGGACGUAAAAGAUUAAUUAGGACAACAAAGGAUGAAGUUCGAUCUGCAUUAUCCUGUAAUGAUGAUCACUAGUCAGUAAACUAACUUGCAUUUGUUAUUUUCAGUAUAAAAAAACACAUUAUCAUUACUACCAUGAUAUGAAGUUUCAUUUCAAACAAAAGGGCAAAUAAAAUAAAUCAAUUAAAAGCAAGUCUCUUACCAGAAUCUUAAGCAUCAAUACAUUCAAUGCUUUCAACAACUGGCUUCCAUCAUCCAUGCGUGGAACAUUAUCAUCCAAGAGCCACAGAAGAAGCUCUGUAAUGAGGCUAUCAAGAGUGCUCUCUUUUACAGCAUGUGCUAAUCUUUUAUUUUGAAAAGUCUGUAAAGGGGUUGUAAAUAGAAACAAUUACUAAAAGACGCAAUAAUCUCAAUAUACACUGAAGAAAAACGGAAAAUACA
Molecule: long non-coding RNA, 92206 nt
Filed under: Medicago truncatula (barrel medic)
Lineage: Eukaryota; Viridiplantae; Streptophyta; Magnoliopsida; Fabales; Fabaceae
Description: long non-coding RNA (MTRU_LNC007681)
Rfam family: tRNA (bases 64393-64465)
Source: RNAcentral